UGCUCACAACAUUAUAAUUUGUAAAAUUUAUUUCUACCGUAUGCCAUCUAAGCAUUAGAUGUGAAGUUGAAAUUGGCGCAAGUAGUUUGCCUACCCAAAAGGGUAGAGCUGAACCCCAGCCUUGAAGUUGCCAAAUCAAACUGAAGAAGAGUGUCCUCCAAUUGGUACCCUCCAAUAACAAUGGAAGUCAUUGGGUUCGAGCCACCAUUCACGAACCCAAGACACGACACUUCCCUGCUAACCUCGACCAUCGAGUUUGCCCCAAAAAUCCUCCAAAAAGUAUUCUCGUUCUGCAACACGAGGUCUAUUGAUGGCACCGCUGCUCCUAAACGUGUUCCUACAAUGUUUCUUGAGCUGAAACAUACCUCAAAUGGGGCCACACCAGCCACCCUGGUGAUGUUCCUAGCAGCAGCUUCAUUAAUGAAGGCCUCAGUAACAGCUUUGAAGAUGGAAGCCUCUAGGGCAGUGUAGGGAUUCACGGUGCUAAUCUUUGUGCCCCCAACACCUUCGCUGUUAAUGGACAGUAACGUUGUAUUCAGUGAGACGGGUUUUUCGUUCACUUUGAUGGACUUAACGCCGAUGAAAUACUCGGCGGAAGGUUCACCGAGAGGGAAAGAAGGGGCUGUGCUGAUAGGGUUAAUGAAGAGCGGUGUGAAAGUAAGCGAUUCUGAUGCAUCAACUCCAGGGAGGAACACAUAGGGACCAUCACCGAAGAAAAUAACACCAUUGGCAGACGAGAGACAAAUGGCGAAUUUCCUUCGGAAACUGAAAGCAGCAGAGAAUUGCGAAGGAAGCCCAAUUCUAUACCUACCGAAACCAGCCAUUCCCACAACACCGUUAGCAAGGCCUUGAAGCAGGGAAGUUGGUGCACAAGCGAAAAGGAAUCUAGGCACGGUUACCACUCUGCCAGGAUUCCUCCCAUCAGUUGAUUGCAGAGAGACAACAUCUUGUGCAACCUCACCAGGACCGGCGGUGUUAGUGACGGUGUUGCCGGGUCCGACAGCACAUGUAUUGUUGUUGCACCCUGGCCUUGGUCCAUCGAAACAAUCUCCGCACCCAUUGGCUCCAGCCAGCGAGCAUUGGGCUGAACCGCACCUGGCAGGACGGUAAGUCGAUGAAACAUAAUCCCGUUCACAAUCAACCCACAAGUAUCGGCCACCGAGAUCAACCACAACGCGUAUAGGAACAAAGGGUGUCCUUUGGUUAAUAGUGGUGAGGUAUUGAAGUGUGGAGGCGUCUUUAGAGACUGGAACGACCAGGGCCUUGGGGCGGAACGACUGUUGGGCUAAACCAGGAGCAACAAAGAAAACUAAGAAUGAAAUGAAGAGAAGAUACUGAAGAGAAGCCAUGAUUGAAAGAUGAAAGGGGAAAUAGGUAGUGAGAGGCAAAGGCAGAAGUGAAAGCUGUAUUUAUACUCGCGUUGAUCAACGCUUGCGACAAGCCGCCGACGCGAGGGGCCGAGAGCAUGCGCUAAAGGUCAAAACAGGCUGCUAGAAGCAAAGGCAGCUAGGCAGCCAGCUGCUCUGGACGUGUUUGCAUGGAAGAGGACUUUUGACUUUGACCACAUUAUCCUAGUCCAUUAUCUCUAAUCAAAUCUAUACAUUAAUGUGAGGAUGAGAGUUGGUAUUUGAUAUACGGAAAUUAUAACAUUUUCACUUGUCUAUUAAUAAACAUUUUUUAUUAUAUUUGAAUUACAGAAAUUAUAACAUUUUCACUUGUCUAUUAAUAAACAUUUGACAUGUUUUAUUUAUUAGGUAAUUAUUCACUCGUACUUGAAUCUUUUAAUUUCGAAAUUUUAGUAUGUGUGUUGUAUUUAAAAAAUAAAAAAAGAUAAAAUAUAUAAUAAAAUAUAAUCUUAUUUAUGGAUUAAAUUUUUUCGUUUAUAUACCAAAUAAUUAUCCUUUUUUAUUAAAUAUUAAAAGAAGUAUACAUCACUUUUUUUGAAUAAUCAAGGCAUCGUUAAUGCUUAUUUUACGGUUCGUAAAGAUUAAUUCUUUCAAGGUUUGUGGUUACAUCUCCGAACAAUGUUUUCUCUAAUGUUUGACCUCGAGCCCUCUCAUUGGGUGUAGGGGCGAAUUCCAAAAUUCUUUUAAGCUUUGUGUGGUUGGUUGAAAGAAAAUUCGAAAAAUGAAAAAUUGAAGGAUAGAAAACUAGAAGGAUUGAAAAUAUGUAUUUCCUUUUCAUAGAUGUGUUUGGUAGGAGAGAUAGAAAAAUGAAAUGAAAAUUUUCUGUGGAAGGAAAGAAAAUAAAACAUUUGAAAAAUGCAUAGUUUUAACUAAUAUAUACAUCUCUCUUAUUUUUUUCAAUUUGAAAAGAUUGAUUUUUAUGCAUUAAGAUGGAAAAUGAUUAUCAUUCUAUUUUCUUUUCUCUCACUUUUCUUCCUAACCAAGCACACUCAAAAUUUAUUUUCUUUCUACUUUUUCACUCCCUCCUCCCAUCCCUUCAUUUUUCCACUCAACCAAUCACACCAUUAAAGUUAAGAGAUUAAAAUUGAAUUAUAAAAUUUUUGAAAAAUCAAAAUAUAAUUUAUUUCGUGGAAGGAACAAUCUCUACUUUUGUUUUUCAAACUUAGAUUCCUUUUUAAAAAUAAAUUAUUAUUUUUCUCAUAUUCAUUUGUAAUGUAACGACACGUAUGAUGAUGCAAUAGCGAUGGAAAUCUGUUGCCUUUAGUGGGGAAUUGUCUCGAAUUUGUGACGGAAUAUAUUUCUAACUUGAAAACGGCAUUAUUUAUUAUGCUGGAUAUGUAAUAAUUGAUUAAGAUAAUGACAAAGAGACUUAAUAUUUUUUGGAAAAAGAUUUCCGUAAUUUCAAAAGGAAUACAAAUAAUGUUUCACUUUUGAUUUAUCAUCUAAAUCAAGUCCAUAAUUUUUGUGUUUUUCUUUUUCUAUUAUCUAAUAAAAUACAAUAACAAUUAAUCCAUAAUUUUGUUUCAAUAUAUUUCAAUUUUGAAUAUAUAUAGGAUUAUUAUUUCAUACACUAUUAUUAGAAUUUUUUAGACUCUACAAAUAAAUUAAAUAUAUGAUAAAUGUGAUAUUUAUUUAUACAAUUAAAUUUUUUAUUUUUUAAUAUGCUCUAAUAAAAUAAUUUUUUAUUUUUUUAACAUGACAAAGCUCGGAUGCCACAUGUUAGAAUUGUAAAAUAAAUCUAAAAUUAAACUUAAUAAACCAGGAUCUAUUAUGUCAAAUCAUCAAGAAUAAAACUAGAUGCAGAAGUGUACAUGAAUCCAUGAAUUCCUUAAAAUUUUUUCGGAUCUUGGCGAUUUGAUCUUCCAAAUUAGCACAAAAAGAAAUUCAGAGAAUAUUUUCCCUUUACUAAGGAUGGGAUAUUAGAAAAGAUAUAUUGUGUGUAAUUUGGGGACCAUAACCCUAAUAUAUAUAACUUUGGCAUAUUAGCCCUAAUUCCUAAUUAGCCCAUCAUUAAUUAAAAAUUAAUUAGAACUCAAUUACUAGAGUAUCUACACAUAUUUGAUCCAUACUUUAUUUAAUAAUUAAAGCCCAAUAAACCUUAACUAAAUUAGAUCACUUUUAAUUUGGGCUAACCUAUCAUGAUAGUAAAUAAUAACAUGUAAUUAUCCUUCUUAUAUAUGUGGUGUCCAUAAUGUCCAACAAUCUCUCACUUGGACCACAUAUAUGUACUAAUAACUUUAUAAUUAUAUGUCAUUAUAUAAUCUUAUGAGCUCAAAAUUUUACUAUCAUAUCCAAAAGGUAUUCCGAACAAUCUCGUCCAUUAAUUAUGUUAACAUAGAACCAAUGCAACUUUCGUUACAUAUAUCUUAACUAAAUCCAUCCUUGAUCACAUAUAUUAACACAACCAAAUGACAUAGAUCAAGUAUGGAUGUGUAGCAUGGAAAUUACAUGCAAUAUGAUCUAAACAUGUCUAUUUCCAACUGGUCCUCCUUAACCCUUAGUGAGAUCAAAUCUUACCAAAACCAAAGUGUGAAUAAACCAAAAAAAAAACUUUAUUUCUGCAGAAAAUAAACUUAAUAUCUGUAAACUGAAAUAACUGAAAAUGUGUCUAUAACAUAAAAGCAUUUAAAAGUACAAACUUUCACUAAAACAAAAUAUCCUUAAAUGAUAUUACACCCAUAUGAGCAAUGUGCUCGUGAAAAACCUUGGGUGUAGUCCUUUAGUAAGCGAAUCCGCAAUCAUGGAGUUUUUCCUAAUAUGCUUUAUAGACACCUAACAACUCUGAACUUUUACUUUAACAACUAGGAACUUAAAGUCUAUGUGUUUUGAUUUUGAUAUGCUCCUGUUGCUAUUGGAAUAAAAGACUACAAUUUGUUUUCACAAUUUGCACCUUAGUGACAAAAUCUUGUAUCCAUAUUCCAUCAAAAUCGGAGUCUGUAUACCUGAUGAUCUUUAACUAAUUAGACCUCUAAUAUGUGAGUAUAUAAUCUUUUGUUCUUUGAAAAUACCUUAUAACCCUCUUGGAUGCUAUCCAAUGGUCCAAACUAGGGUUGCUUAAAAUAUCUGUCUAACAUCCCAAUAGUGUACACAAUAUUCCAAUUCAUACAAACCUGAACGUACAUUAGACUUUCCACUACUAUAAUGUAAAAAAUCGUAUGCAUUUUUGUAAUCUCAAAAUCAUUCUUAGGGCAUUGAUUGAGGCUAUACUUAUUAUUGACAAACAGAAUGUCAUUAACAUAUAAAACCAAAUAUAGAACCUUACUCCCACUAAACUUAUGGUAUAUACGAUUAUCAACAAAACUCAUCUCUAAACCGAAUGAAAUAAUCAUUUGGUAAAAUUUGUAAUAUUAUUGAUGAGAUGUCUACUUAAGCCCAUAGAUGAAGUUCUUUAAUUUGUAAAUCAUUACCUUUGCAUCAUUAGACACAAAGUUUUCUAAUUGCACCAUAUAAAUGUAUGAUUAAUGUUACCAUUGAGAAACCAUUAACUUAAUAUUCAUCUGAUGUAACUUAAGGUCAAAAUAUUCCACUAAAGCCAUUAUAACCCUUUCUCUAGUGGAAUUUUUUAAUGGCAUUCAUUCUUGAGGUUGUUGUAACAACACGUUUUUGGUAAAACCAGAACAAUGGUUUCAGGACCACAAAUUCGAUUCUGGAAGGGAGAUUUAUUUUAAUAUUAUUUUAUGAUCUACAGUACAAUAAUAAUGUCGUAUGAAAAUUUCGUAAAGAAAUUUUACCGAUUGCAUGUUUAACUUGAUAAAGGAUCAAAUUGCACAAAGUGCAAAAAUUGAGUUCUAAUAGCUAAAGGAAUUAAAUAACUAUGGAAUUUAAAAUUUGAGGUCCUUAUAUGGCAAAUAAACCAUUAAAAAUGCUUAGUGGUUAAGGAUGAUGAUUCAUCCAUGGAAAAUUAAUUAAAGAAAAGGAUAAAAUUGGAAAGUAAAAUUUUAAAAGAUGAUAAAUCAUAAAAAAUGAAAAUAUCAUCAUUUUAUCAUCAUCUUUCCCAAAUAAAACAUGGAAACCCUAGCUAAGAGAAAGUGAGCUCAAGCAAGCUAUUUUGGCUUAAUUGGGUAAGCAUUCAAGUCUUGUUUUUAGUAAUUUUCAUGUUUCUGAGAUCGUAAUAGCUUAGUAUAGUUAUAUCGGGGACUAAUUUAUAAAGUUAUCAAAAUACUAGGGUUUUUCCAUGGAGGAGUAUGCAUGAAUUAUGAAAUUUUAUGGUAGAAAAUGAAAUGUUGUUGAUAGACAAACAACUUUUGUAAAGGGAAAUUUGAUGAAAAAUUGAUUUAGGGACUAAGUUGAAAAGAUGUAAAAAUUCAUAGAAAAAUUCUGAAUUUUAUGAAAUAUAUUGGCUGUAAUUUUUACAUGUAAAAAUCAGCUAGGCUUGGAAUAAGGAUUAAAUUGCAUGAAUUUCAUUUUUUGAGCUUAGGGAUGAAAUUGACAUUAAUUAAAAGUUUAGGGGUGAAAUGGUAAUUUUGCCUAAGAUGUGAAUUGAAUUGAAAUGAACAUGAAUUGAUGUUAAAUUCAUUCAUAUAGAUUUGGAUAGACCAAAUUCGGAGUUAGAACGAGGAAAAGAAAAAGUGUUGGAUUAAUAGAUUUUACAUACACAAACAUUUGUUGAGGUAAGUUCGUGUAAGUAAAUUAUGUAUAUUUAUAUGCUUGAAUUGAAUGUUGUGUAUGUGAAUUGUAUAAAUGUCAUAUACAUGAAAUUGAUUACAUAUCCGACAAAUCCCGAUAAAUGUUAAAUCCCGUUUGAAUAAUGAAAUUCGGUGGAUACAGGAUUUUCUGAAUUGGUUGUAGUCCUGCAUAAUAGUUCUUACUAGUAUCCCGUUAUAAGCCCUCUCGAGCUUCCUGUUAUAUGGUUCCUGCGAGCAUCCCGAUUGGUAAUGAUCCUGCAUGUGUUGCGGACAUACCGCAGCUCUUUGUGAGUGCCCUGUUAUAUGAUCAGUAUUAAUCCUGCAUGUGUUGCAGACAUACCGCAGUUCUUUAUGAGUGUCCUGUAAUAUGACUCUCCAGAGCUUCUUGAUAUGGCUCGCUUGAAAUUCCCGACAUAUGGCUAUCCGGAGCUCCUAAUUAAAGGCUCUUCGUGAGCUUCCUGUUUAAAGGCUCUUCGUGAGCUUCCUAAUUAAAAGUUCUUUGUGAACUUCCUAAUUAUGGCUCUUAUGAGCUUCCCGUUAUAUAGCCCGGAUAAGUUUCAUGAUUAAUGGCUCUUUGUGAGCUUCCUAUUAUAUGGCUCAAGAGAGGAUUUCCCGAUCAUGUACUUUAAUGAGCACCUCCGAAUAUGAAUUGACGGAUUUCUGAUUUGUACACUUUAAGUGUACUACUUGUGUAUCCAUCGAUGUUUUCAAUGAUUCAACGGGUAAAAUCCUGACAUGAGAAAAUAUGAAUACGAAAUAAAUUAUUGCACGUAUCCACCUGAAAUACAUGAAAAUGAUGAUACAUGAUAUAUGGAAAUAUGAGAUGAUGAUAUAUGAACAUGGAAUUUGUUUGAUGAAUAUGUUCAUCCAUGAUUAUAGAAUUGUACACCUCAAGUGUACUACCCGUGUAACAUUGAUAUUUCAAAUGAUUUAAUGGGCAAAAUAUUGACAUGAAAUAAUCUGAACUCGAGAUGAAUUAUUAUGAAAAUGUACUUGAAAUACAGGGAUAUGAUUUGUAUAUAUUAUAUGAAUACAUGAUGUGGAAAGUAUAUGUACAUGGAAAUCUAAUUAUUGUUGAGCCCAUACAUAUUUCUUGAUAUUUAUAUGAAAUAUAUGACUAAUAAGGGUGAUGAGGAUAUGUGUUAGGGCUCAUGAUCCAAUUGAUUGAAUGUGCAUUGUAGAUUUAUCUGGAAUUUAAAUGAGUGGUAAGUUAAUUGCUAUGUUAUACGAACUUACUAAGUAUUUCAUGCUUACUCUAUUUUAUUUUUCCCUGUUCUAUAGUAAUUCGGAAGCUCAUUGGAUUGGAAGCUUGGCGGAGAUCACUCACACUAUCUAUCAACCCAUUUCGGUACAUAUGGUAAAUCAAUUAUAGUUAUAAUGGCAUGUAUAGGUUAAUUGACUAAUAUUGAUAUGUAAAUGUUUUGAAUGAAACUAGCCAUUAGAAUGGCUUGUGUUUAACAUAUUUUGAUAUAUUUAUAAGUGGAUCUAUCAUGUUUGAAGAAUAAAUGUGGUCAUACAUAUAUGCAUUUGGUAAAUAGGUAAGUAUGAAUGAUAGAUUAACAUGAUAAUAAAUUGUCAUCUGAGGUACCUAAGGGUAUAUUGGCUAUAUGUGAUAUUAUGUCAUGUUUAAGACAUAAUUUAGACUUGUUUUAAAUACUUUGAUAUGGUUUGUGAAUGUAUUUAAGUGUUGGUUUAGGUGGAAAACAAGUUUGGUGAGAAAUGUGGCUUGGAAAAUAGCUUGUUUUCGUUCACACGGGCAAAGACACGGGUGUGUGUCUUAUCCGUGUGCGAUACAUGGCCUAGCACAUGGGCCCUGUGUCCCCUGCAUCUUUAAAAUUUCAAAACAGAUUGCCCAAGUAUUUUCACAUGGCUUAACACACGGAGGUGUGAUUUGGCCGUGUGACCCCUACACCUUCACAUGGCCUAGCACACGGGCAUGUGAUCAAAGUCAGAGAGUUACACAGCUUGAGACACGGGCGUGUCCAUGUUCACACGGCCUGACCACACGGGCGUGUGACCCCUGUACCUUGGAAAAAAUUUUGAGAUUUCACGAAAAAUUCUCUAAGUACCCAGUUUAGUCCAAACUCAUUUCAAAUGCAUGUUUUGGACCUCGAGGGUUCACAUAAGAGACUUUAUGAUUGAUUUCUGAUAUGGAUAAUGUAUGAUGUAGAAUAUCUGUUAUUUGAUCUGUAAAUUUUGGUAAUGCUCUAUAACCCUAUUCUGGCGACGGAUUCGGGUUAGGGGUGUUACAGUUGUUGAGUUUGUUCUUCCGGAACAAUUACCUAAUCUUGAAUAAGGAGUUAUUCAACAUUGUCUUAUUGAGGUUCUGGAUUUACUUCUUAAUCAAUGAUAGGUAUGAGAACCUAAACAUCACCAAAAGUGAUAGUAGAAACUGAGUUAGAAUUCAAUUCCUCCUUAAAAGCAAUGUUUCUAACCUUAUUUCUUCCUCCAAACUCAACAUCCUAAAAGAAUGUUGCAAUUCUCAUCUCAAAAAUAUUCCUAAUUGUGGGAUCAUUAAAUUCAUAGCCUUUAAAUCGUUCAUAAUUUCCUUGACCCUUAUACUUUAUAGACAUCAAAGAAGUCAAAAGUGAUGUCAUUUCAACCUUAUCAUUUUUAGCAAAACAUUUCUCAGUUUUGUCAAGGAAACCUUGGCCUGAGUAAUUUUUUCAGAUUUUGUGCCCCUAAAGACUUCUAAAAUGUUGUGCUUCAUGAUCAUUAGACUCAUGCAAUUUGAAUGAUCCCACCUUUCAAAAUCUCUUUUAACAUAAGGGGUGUUUUCUGUAGUGAGAGGUACAAGUUUUUCUUCCCUUAGUACAAGGUCUAAGUUCAUACAACCAAGCACUAUAAGUAAGUGCCUUUUCCGUUCACUGAAAUUAGUCCCAUUAAGCAUGGGUAUAGAAUUUAUAUUAGCAGAUAUUGUGGCUGUAAAAGAUGAAUUAGCUGAAUAUAAAACAAAAAAUAAAUAAAAAUAAGCCCACAUCAAUAUUCAUAAGUAAAUAAUAAAUUCAGGAUAAUGACUAAUCCCAUAUCAAAAUACCAAACACAACAUUAAUAUCAAGUUUUUGGAUAGUAAUAUUAACAGUAAGCGGUACUCUUGUUAUAGCAAUCAAACAUUGACAAUAAAUUAUGUCAAACAAUGUAUUAAUCUUUGGACUAACAUAUUGCUCAAAUAAAGUACCUUAUAAUUGUCACACAUUUAUCACCAUAAAUGCUGUUGAAAUUCUGCCAAAUAUUAAUUUACCUUUGGGUCAAUUAAUAAACACAUGAAUCACAAAAACAUAUAAUCAUCUUGAUAUUUUAAAUAAACUAAUCUACGCAAAAGAGGUCACUUUGGUGGCAUUUUGUUUCAACUAAUCUAUUUAAAAUAUUAGACACCCUUAAUUAAAAUCCAAAGCCAAAAUUUGAAUUUAUUUGUUUCAAAAUAUUUCUUUUAAUUUCAUCCAAUCAAAUUAAAAGAUAAUAGUAUAUAUAUGUAUAUAUAUUUAUCCCAAAACAACAUACAAUGAUGUUGGCAAAUAUAAUAAUAGUUGAAUAAAUAAUAAACCAUAAACAACCUCAUAUAAGACUUCAAAUUUAAACCAAAAUAAUUUGAAUAAAGGUAAACCUCAUCUUAAGAUAUCAGACACUCCUUUAAUAUUUCAUCUUUGGAGAAAAUAUUAACUUGUAAGUGAUAUCUUGGUGUAGUAAUCAAACAUUGACAAUAAGAACAUGUCGAACAAUAAAUCUUCUUUUGGGCCGAUUUAUUACUUAUAUGUAAAACCGAAUAAUCAUCACAUGUUUAUAACCAUAGUUGCACAUUUAAUAUUAUUAACCUUCAUUUGGGCAAAUCAAUAUCAACAUAACUUAAGUUACAUGCACACAAACUUUUAUAUUUUAAAACAAAAUAAUUUAUACAAAAAAAAUCACUUUGGUGACUUAUUGCUUCAAUUAAGUUAUUUUAAAAAAUAUAUAAACAUACCAAUAUUCAAAAAUUUAAAAUUUACCCAAUAGUCAAAUAUCAAAACUAUUUUUUUUGCUUUAUAGACUUCGAAAUAACCCAAAAUAAGGCUAUCUUAAUAAUGCAAUAAAAAACCGAAAACCUUACUUUUUGACUAUUUCUUUUUUAUUUCAAAACCAUAUAUAUCAAAACCAAACAGAAAUAAUGUAAUAUAUUUAGAUGAUUAAUGUAAUAUUUUUAAAAAAUAUUACAAAAUUUAAAAGUUUGAACAUAUAAAAGUAAGAGUUAUUUCCAUUAGAGGUCCCAAAACGGUACAAAUUCUAUAAAUUAGUUAAAAAAAUUUAAUUGUGUAUUUAAAAUAUCUAUACUUGUUGAUUGAGUUAGUGUCGAGUUGACUUGGGAUAACAAUUUAGUUAUGAAAGGGUAAUUAAUAUUAUUCUAAGGAUAUUUUCAUCUUGCCAUAUUUUUAUAUAAUCUUCAAAUAAAACAACUAAAAAUCAUUAUUUGUGAAUUCAACAUAAGACUAAUAAAUUCAUAUCCCCUUGUUACUCCAUUAAUAAUCGUUUGUUGAUAUAUUUUUAUAAUAUAAAAUAUUUUCGUUCACCCACAUAGUGAGUGUGAUAAAAUCUAGUUAACAUUAUAUCAAUUAGAUCUUUUCGUUAGUUUAAUUGUCGAGUUGCAUUGAAUGUUAGCUCAGAUUUGACAUGAAAUGUGCUUCAAACAUGUAGAUUAAACUUUAAAUACCUUUGUAUCUUUUGCACAUAUAGCUUGAAUUUCAUAAAUUUAAAAAAAGAUAUAACCUUGUUAAAUUUUAGUGGCAUGAUUUUUCUUUAACAUAUUAGAUUCAAACUAUUCAUAUAGUAAGUAUAUAUGCAUGUAACACCCCAAAAAAUUUAAAGUUAGACUUUUGGAAUUUUUCAUAAUUAAAUUUCUAUAUCUGUGGUUCUAUGCUCUGCUUAUGUGUUUGAGGUCAAGACUUUGAGUCGCGUCUUAGAAGUUUUGCUAUUUUAUUUUAAGAUAACCUUUAUCCUUGAAUUACAUAUUUAAGUCUAAUUCUGUGUAAACCUGUGUUAAGAAUGAGCCUGCUGGUUUGAUGGUUAAGCUUCUAUAUCUUAUCUGGUCCUGUGUUUAAGUCUAGAUACAUGCGUUAAGAAAUAUUUUUGCUAAUUUUUGAAUUUCUGACUGGUGGUUUAAGCAUUUAAUUUAACGUCUUCUUCUUUUUUUUAUUUCUUUCCUUUUCUCUUUUCUUUUAUUUUUCUUCGUUUUUUUGUUUACUAGUUGUUCCUUUUGUUUUCUUUUAUCAUUUGCUUAGAUUCGUGCUCUUUGUCUGUUACUGUUGUCGGGUAAGUUCAUUUCUGUUAACUUCGUGAGUUCGACUGUUCAAUUUCUAAAAUCAUUGGUUGUUGAUAUUUUGAUCAAGAAAUUAGUUUUUGCUUAAAUUAUUGAAUUCUUUGUUUAUGUGUUCGAUUAAUGUCUUUAGGAGGAGGUCUCGAGGACAACGGUCCUUCUAAUGUUCUAGAUUUGUGAAAUUCAGUUUGGUGUGGAGGUAAUUGUUAUGUUGAGUUGGGGUUUCAUGUCGAAACGUUUCAACAAUCGUGUUGCACGUUAAUUUUGGUAAUUGUUAUGAUCUGUCACUUAAUUGGCUAUUGAUUGUCCAUUCUAGGUCUCUGAAAUCCUCUACGUUGUUCCUGGUUCAAAAUCACUUUAGGUUCAUAUCAGAAACUUAAGUUUUUGUGAAUUUCGGACGCCAAAAAACAUGGUUGUCGACGUCAUAUGGCUGUGUGCUAGGCCAUGUGGUAGGUCGUGUGACAGGUCGUGUGUUAGGCCGUGUAACACACUAUCUACCAAAUACGAGCCACACGGGCAAGGGACACGGACGUGUGUCCAGGCCGUAUGUGGUUAGGAUAGUGCAGGGUUCACACUGGCCAAGGACACGGAUAUUUGUCUAGGCUAUGUAACUCACUGAGUACAAGAUAAGGAUCACACAAGUUAGGGACACUGGCGUGUGUCCAGGCCGUGUGACUCACUGUUGUUUUUAGAUACCAUAUGAGCUAGAGACACGGACGUGUGUCCAGGUUGUGUUACUCACUGUUUGCGAUUUAGGACCACAUGGGCGGACGUCACGGGCGUGUGUCAGGCCGUGUAAGACAUACGAGUGGGCACAUAGGCGUGCAUCAAGCCGUGUGGAACCACAUGAGCGUGUGGGCAAGGUCUAGCAUUUCUCUCCAAGGUUGUAAGCAUCGUCUAACGUGAACGUAGGCCUUCCGUUGUGUACUUAUGACCUGAAUUAGACUGUGUGAGUACUAUCUGAUGCUUUUAGAUUGGGGUACUGAUUGUAUAAAUGUAUACUGAUUAGAUAAUUGUCGAUGAUAUUGAUCCAUAUUAUCUUACUAUGAAUUGAAUCUAAAUUACUGUGUAUAUAUUCUUGAUAUCUGUAAUCUAUAUUUGCAUUGGAUGAGAAUUAUGUAAAAAAGGAAGUAAUCUAUUCUGAUUCAGUGGCUAAGCCACGAUUUAUAUGAGGAUCUUGCGUUAAUUGCAAUUUGAUCUGGCAGUUAGUCUGCAUCUUAUUAAACGUGUCGGAUUGACACUAUAUGGUGUGUAGGGAUGGAUGAGUAUUAAAUGCCCUUAACGGUGUGUUGGGUGGUCAAAAAUGGUGUGUACCAAAUGGGAGUAGAAAUAACUACAUAUGUUUCUGAUCUAUUCUGUAUCUGAACUGGAAUUGUUCUGCCUUAUAACUACAUAUGGUGUGUAACAAUUGUUCUUUUAAUUGAAUCUAUGUUGGUUAUACACUGAGUUCUCUACUCACUGUGUUGUUUACUGAAUUUCAGGUAACUCACAAGCUUGAUCAAGUCGGCGUAGUGGGAGCUCGAUCAAUCUGCUUUCUCUAUUAUCAUGUAGUUACAAUAUUUCUUAGUACUAUGAUUUUUCUAAGAUUGUUGAACUAUUAGUUGGAUUCUAUGGUUGUUAUGUUUCGUCAAAUGUUUUUAACUGUGCUUACAAAAGUUGGGUUUUCUUUAUAAUGUUAAUGUGACUCUUCAGACUUGGUCUAGACGCCUAGGCUGGGUUUCAGGUGUUACAAUACACAUAACCAUGAGGUGUAGUGUGGUGAUUACUCACCUCAUUCCCUAAUCAUGAAGUCAGGAGUUCGAUCUCCACCCAUGAGAAUUGAACACAUUUCAUGGCCAACAAUUUAUCUCUUUAAAGAAAACUUCGGUGAUAAGAGAAUAAAAGUGAAGGAAGAAGAAUUUAUUAUUAAAAAGACGGGGGUUGGGGGAUCAACUUUCAAAGUUUCCCUAAUGAACUAAGAGAAUUUCAAAAUUUUAAGAUAAGUUUGUGCAUAGUUGGAUUAAAACUAAAUUAAUAGAUCAGUUUGAAUUGGAUUAUAAUUCGGUCUAGAAUCAAUUAAGCAUAUUUUUAAAUGUUAAUUAUCAAUUAAUUCAAUUAAAAUAAUUAAUUAACCAAAUUAAUUGAAUAACUAAAAAUAAUAAUAUAUAAUGAAAUAUAUAAUAUUUAUAAGCCCAAUAUAAUGGACAAAAGAAACAAAUUUAUGUGGUAUACGACAAUAGGUUGUAGGUUAAGGCAAAAAAAAAUUAAAAAUUAAAAAUUUUGUUAUUAUUAUUUUUUAAGUAAAGAAGAGAACAACUAUUCUAGGUAAGGAUGUUUAAACUUCGAAUAAAAUCGAAUUAAUCGAUUGAAACAAUCUAAUUCGAUUAAUCGAUCGAUGACUAUACUUAGUUCAGUCGAAUGUCAGUUAAUAGUUUUUUUGGAAUUUCAAUUAUUGAUUAAUUUGGUUUGAAAUCGAAUAAUUAACUGAAUUAACUGAACUUAAUAAUUAUGUAGUUUUUCAAGACUUAAAAUUCCUGUUAAUUCGGUUAACUUUUAAGACAAAUGAACAUUAUCAAAGUAUUUCUUUUAUAUGUUUCAUACUUGUUUUAACCAAAAGACAAAAACAUAUAAAUUUUGGUUAAUUCGUUAAUCGAAGUAACUGAAAUAUUUCGGUUCAGUUAAUCUCUUUUAAAAAAAAUUAAUUCAAUUAACGGUUAAAGGAUUACACAGUUCAGUUAAUUUAAUUAUCGCUAAUUCGAUUCGGUUAUUAAUCGAACUGACUAUUUGAACACCCUUAAUUCUAGGAACACCCAAUUGAACGACAUCCUCAUACAAGGUUCGCAACAUUACCAUUGGAGGAGAAUGAAAAAAUUGAAGCUCUAUUUCCUCUCUGUAUGUGUGUUGAAUGAACACAUCCCAUGUAACGAUCUGAAAGUCAAUGGUGUUGGAAAAUGUGGUUUUAAAACCUCGUUUUGUAAAUCAGAUCUGUAAAUAUUUUUAUUAAAUGUUUAUGGAGUUAUAUUAGAAGUGGAUUAAAUUUUGAUUAAGUAAUUUUAUCGAAUUAGGCAUUAAUUCAAAUAAAGGGGACAAAUCGCAUAAGUGAUAAAAGUGUAAUUUGCUUAUGAUCUAUAAAUAGAAAUCAUGACAGGGAUUUAAAUACUAAUUAUACCUUUAGAUUUCAUUUAGUGGUCGGUUGGGGGAAUUAAAAUAUGUAUGUUUGAUGUUAUAAAACAUUAACUAAAAUGCUAAUAAAAAUAAAAAUAAAAUACAAUAGAAAUUAACAUAGUGGGAGAAGAAAAACAUUUUAUCCAUCUUCAUGCAAGAAUACCGAAUGUGAAGAAAGAAACUCUCCACGCCAUUAAUGAAGGGUUCAAAGCUUUUAAACAAAAAUUGGUUAGUCAAUUUAGUCCACUUUCUUGUAAUUUUUAUAUUUUCAGAAUCCUGGUAGCUCAAGCUAGUUGACCCAUGUCGUAUUUUUUAAUAUUAUUAAUGUAACACCCCAAACUCGGCCUAUACGUUAUGGCUGAAUCUGGCGAUGUCACAUGGAAAGAGUAUGAAGACAAGAUUGUCGAGUUUAAAAACUGUUACAGUAAGUUAACUUUUAUUUAAUUCGAAAAAAAACUAGUUCAUUGCUUUAAAACUUGUCUUUUAACGAAAGCUUUUGUAACCAAUUAAUUUAAGGAAAUCGUUUCUAUUUACGAAAACCUUAGUUUAUAAAAAAAUUGCAUUUUGUUGAGUUGCAGUUACAUAGUCCAAAAGUUACAUAAAAACCCCAAAAUAAGUAAUAAAUUCUAGACAUUAACGAAAAAUAGUCUAAAAUUCACGUGUGGCCACCGUCGAGUCCUCUGCUGCACCGACCCGUCAAGUCUGGGGAUUACCUGUACAAAUUAAACAGAGAAACGGUGAGUUUUUGCAAACUUAGUGUGUAAUUCCUACAGAAAAAAUGCAUAUAGAUAAUCAACCAAAAUUUGUUAGAUACAGUCUGGGGCCUAUGCCCAUCACAGAAUCAGUUUGGGCCUUAGCCUAUUCAGAUACAGUCUCAGAAAUACAUUAGGGACUUGGCCCAUAUCAGAUACAGAAUGCAGAUACAACCAAUCAGAAUCCUACCCACCAGUCUCUGCACACCAUCUCUGUCUAACCCUACACACUAUGUGGGGAUUAAAUCAACCCAUCCAUCCCUACACACCAUGUUGUAUCGAAAUGCGGCACAUAAUCAGAAGGUUGCAGCUGAGCUGCCAGAUAACAGGCUUAAUAGCCUUUCAGACACUUCCUCUAAAUAUCAUCAACCCACCCCGAUACAAUGCAACAUACAAAAUAUGUGAUGCCAUUGCGCAAUUAAUAGUACAUACAUUCAGAUAUCAUAAGUCAUGCUUGGUAUAGAAAUCAGACAGACAGAUCACACAUAUAGGGGUCUAAGUAAAGCUUAAUGAUCCUACAAUAGGUCCAUAGUCGACUUGGGUGACCCGUGCAACCUUAUAGAACUUUUCAGAAAAAUGGGCUCACACGCCCAUAUGGCUCUCUCGGCCCAAAUUGGCCUUGGCCACGUGAUCCAUUUUUAAUGAAACCCUUACUACUUAAUUAUUCAUAUAUAUUUUCACUAUUUACUUAUAUGUUCCUUCAAAGCUGUCUACUUGAGUCACUAUUCCUAAAUUAUUUAUAUCUUGAGCUACAGAAUUUCGAAUUAAGACCCACUUGAUGUAUUUGAAACUAGACUCAAAUAAAUUUCUACCAUAAAAUUUUCAGAAUUUUUGGUUCAGCCAAUAAGUACAGUAAAAUCUUCAAACUUACCCCUGUUUUGCUGUCUGACAGCUUCGUCCCUUCUUUGCUAAAAAUUUAUUAUCUCUUAGUACAAAAUUUGGAUGAUAUUUCCAUUUGUUUCUAUUGAAAAUAAACUUAUUAAUAAUUUAAAAAUGUAAAUUUUAACCCCUAAUUAUUUGUCUCCAAUUUUUGAUGAUUUUCCAAAGUCAAAAUAGGGGAACCCAAAUUAAUUCUGACCUUGUCUCACAAAGUUUAUUAUAUCUCACGAUUUACUAUUCCAUUACUUACACAAAUUCUUCUAUUAGAAACUAGAAUCAAUAGGCUUUAAUUCCAUAUUUUAUUCAUCCUCUAAUUCGAUUUUCACAAUUUAUGGUGAUUUUUCAAAUUUAGCCUACUACUGCUGUCCAAACAACAAGCAAUUUCGGCUUUUCGCCGAAUCUUUUUUUUUUGCGUUUCGGGUACAGAUCUGGUUUUGUUUGAUGCUAAAAUAGUCCCCGAGCACUCCAAAGCCUAUAAUCAAGAUACUCAACAUCAAUUUAAUGGAUUUACAAGCGAAUUGAUAACCAAGAACGAACAGAAACCCAACUUACCAUCAAUAAUAACCCUCCGUUUAACUAUUGUUAAGACGAGAACACCGAAUUCACUAGUCCGAGCCUCCCCCUAUGCCCAAAUCGCAGAGAAAAAACAUUACGAUUUCAGUCGCUAAGAGAUUCAUGAUAGAAACAAAGAGAAACACUUACUGAAACUGAGUGAGCACUAAUUGCGUGCGAAAACGAAGGAAAGUAAAUGGAUUAGGGAAAAUCAAGAAAAAGAAAAAGAAGAGAAAGAUGGAAAAACUCAGAGAAUUUCGGCAAGAGGAGAGGGAGAAGAAUAGAUGGUAGAAUUUUUUUGAAAAAGAGAGUAAAAUUUUGGUUAUGAGAAAAAAUAAAAUAAAAUCCUGAGAACCCCCCAAAUCCCUUAAUCUUCUCCCCUAAUUCCCACUAAACAUCCACUACUCAAAAUCCCCCUAUUACACAACUCUAUCCCAAAAUCUGAAAAAAAAUAAUACCCUUGCCUGUAUAAGGAUUCGAACACAAGACCUAAACCAUAAUAACACACUAUAUAACCACCAGACCAGUAGGCCCAUUCUGAUGUAAUUUACGCAACAAUCAAAUAAAAGCCUACUGAACAAGAGUAAGGCCUAAUUCAUUCAAAAUACCAAAAUUUUUCCAAUCGAAGGCUUGAAUUUGGGACCUCCCAAACACUCCCUGAACUUAUAACCACUAAAGCUGAUAGAUAUUUGUGUCAUAUUUUCACAAUAACGAAAUUAGAAAUUUUGGGGAGUUACAACUCUACCCCCUAAAAGAAAAUUUUUUCCUCGAAAUUUUACCUGAUCAGAGCAGAUGAGGAUAUUGCUGACGCAUCGCAUCCUCAGGCUCCCACGUGGCCUCCUUAGUGUUAUGAUUACGCCAUAGAACCUUCACUAAGGGAAUAGAAUUUUUUUGAAGGACCUUUACAUCACGCUCCAAAAUCUUAACCAGCUCUUCCUCGAAUGUCAAGUCUGGCCUAACCUCAAUCUCCUCAACAGAAAUAACAUGCGUGGGAUUAGAGUGGUAGCGCCUCAACAUCGAGACAUGAAAAACAUCAUGAAUGCAGUCCAACUCCGGAGGUAACUCCAACUGAUAAGCGAUAGGUCCCACACGUUUUAGAAUGCGGUAAGGUCCAAUAAACUGAGGGCUUAGCUUGCCCUUACGACUGAACCUCAGAACCUUUUUCCAUGGCGAGACCUUGAGAAAAGCUAAGUCCCCCCACAGAAUACUCGAUCUCAUGCCUCUUUAAAUCCGCAUACGAUUUCUGCUUAUCAGAAGCCACUUUUAAAUGAUCCCGAAUCAAUCUAACCUUAUCCUCCAGACCAACUCAAGGCCCAAAAAACGUCGCUCGCCUAACUCAGUCCAACAUAAAGGAGUGCGACACUUACGACUGUAGAGUGCCUCGUAAGGUGCCAUCUAGAUGCUAGACUGGAAGCUAUUAUUGUAGACAAACUCCGCUAACGGCAAGUACUCCUCCCAACUGCCUCAAAAAUUAAUAACACAGCUCCUCAACAUGUCCUCCAGUAUUUGAAUCACUCUAUCUGACGGUCCAUCUAUCUGAGGAUGGAAAGAAGUACUAAAGUCUAAUCUUGAACCCUGAGCCUCAUGAAGCUUCUUCCAGAAUCGAGAUGUGAAACAAGAAUUUCGAUCGAAAAUGAUCGAGAUAAGUACCCUAUGCAAUCUCACUAUUUUCGAUAUGUAGAGCUAAGCUAAUUUUUGAAGAGAAAAGUCUAUCCUUACUGGGAUGAAGUGAGCAGACUUGGUCAAUCGAUCCACGAUGACGCAGACAAAAUCCUUCUUAGUGGGUGUUAGAGGCAACUCACUAACAAAGUCAUCGUUACUCGCUCCCAUUUCCAUAACUGUAUCUUAACUGGCUGCAGCAAACCCGAAGGUAACUGAUGCUUAGCCUUAACCUGCUGACAAGUCAAACAGCAAGCAAUGAAGUCGGUAACCUCACGCUUAAAUCCUGGCCGCUAGUAUAAUUUUGAAGAUCUCGGUACAUCUUUUUCCUACCGAGAUGCAUAGUAUAUGGACUACCAUGCGCCUCUCUCAGAAUCGACUGCCUUAAAUCCUCAUCAUUCAGUACACAAAUCUGACCACAGAAACAAAGUACCCCAUCACUGUUUAUCCUAAAAUCAGUACCAUUCUCAACCUGACGAAAACGUAACUUGAGAGACUUAUCCCCCAACUGUUUACCUCGAAUAUGUUCAACCCAUGUCGGUUUGAACUGAAGUUCUGCCAACAGACUUCCAUCGUCGAAUAGGCUAAGUCGAGCUAACAUCGCUCUCAAAUUGGUCAUAGCCCUACGACUCAACGCAUUGGCCACCACAUUGGCCUUACCGGAAUGAUACUCAAUGGUACAAUCAUAAUCCUUAAGCAGCUCAACCCAUCUACACUGCCUAAGAUUUAACUCCUUCUGAGUGAGGAGAUACUUGAGGCUUUUAUGAUUAGUGUAGAUAAUACACUUCUCACUGUACAGAUAAUACCUCUAAAUUUUCAAUGCAAAGACUACGACAGCCAACUCAAAAUUGUGUGUCGGAUAGUUUGCCUCGUGUGUCUUAAUAUGAUGAGACGCAUAUGCAACCACCUUACCAUCCUGCAUCAACACACAUCCCAAACAGACAUGUGAUGCAUCAUUAUAAACCGUGAACUCCUUUCUAGGUUCAGGCUGUACCAAAAUAGGAACCUCAGUCAUUACGGUCUUAAGCUUCUCAAUGCUCUCUUACUGCGCAUUACUCUAGAUAAACGGUACACUCUUACGUAACAGCUUAGUUAAGGGUGCUGCGAUCAGUAAAAAUCCUUCCACAAAUCGUCGGUAAUAACCUACCAGCCCUAAAAAGCUGUGGAUCUCAAACACAUUCUUAGGCUGCUUCCAGUCCAAUACAACCUCAAUUUUUUAAGAAUUGACUUGACUCCCCUCAGUAGACACCACAUGAUGCAGAAAUGUUACUUCAAGUAACCAGAACUCGCAUUUGCUGAACUUAGCAUAAAGCUACUUUUCCCUCAAAAUUUGAAGAACAAUCCUAAGGUGUUCGUCAUGCUUAUCCUCAGUCCUCGAAUAAACCAAUAUGUUAUCGAUGAACACCACUACAAACUGAUCCAGGUAGGGCUAAAACACUCGAUUCAUCAGAUCCAUGAAAGCUACCAGUGCAUUAGUCAGUCCAAAUGGCAUCAUUAGGAACUCGUAGUGACCAUAACGAGUCCUAAACACAGUCUUAUGAACAUCUGCCUCCUUAACCCUUAAUUGAUGAUAUACAGAUCGGAGGUCAAUCUUAGAGAAAACUGAAGCUCCUCAAAACUGGUCAAAUAGAUCAUCUAUCCUAGGUAGGGGGUACUUGUUCUUAAUGGUCAUCUUGUUCAAUUGUCAGUAGUCAAUGCACAUCCGCAUGGAUCUAUCCUUCUUCUUUACAAAUAGUACCGGUGCUCCCUACGGAGACAUACUAGGGCGGAUAAACCUACGAUCCAAUAACUCCUACAUCCGAGCCUUAAGCUCCGCAAGCUCCUUCAGUGCCAUUCGGUAGGGACGAUGGACACUGGAGCUGUACUAGGAAGGUGCCCUAUCCCAAACUCCACUUUACGAUUCGGAGGUAAACCCAGUAGCUCAUCAAGAAAGACGUCCGGAACAUCCUUUACCGUUCUGAUAUCCUUAACUGUAAAGUCUCCAGAAUCUGAAAGACUUACAUAGGCCAAGAAUGCCUCACAUCCCUUACAAACCAACUUCUUCGUCACCAGUGCAGAGAUCACAUUAGAUAAGUAGUUCCAACGUUCUCCAAUCAUGAAUACCUCCAUAUCCUCCUCGGUGAAUUUCGCCUUCUCGACCAGGGCAGAAAGAUCUCACUCCCUGUACGAGGCUAUCAAAACUCUCAAAUUAUCUCUGAGGCCAUCCUUAAAGCGGACACAUCGCUCAUACUCAGAUGCCACCAUACCUUGCGCAGAGCGACUCAGUCUUAGAAACUCGACCUCAUACUCAGCCACUGAUCGAUCCCCUUGUGUAAGAUUCAGAAACUCCCUCCUACAUGCAUCUACAUAACUAACUUUGACAUAUUUCCCCUGGAAGGCGGUCUUAAAGAACUCCCAGGUCAGACAUUCGAGCUGAUUUCCCUCAUUAACAAUCAGCCACCAUUGAUAAGCCUCGUCCCACAGUAGCGAGACUGCACCCUUUAAUUUCUACUUAGGGUUGCAAUCUAGAUCAUCCAUGAUCCUUUCUGUGGCCUCAAUCCAGUACUCAGCCAAAUUAGGGGUGACCCUAGUGACACCCUUAAAUAGCUCAACCCCAUUGGACCAGAGUCAUUCCGUAAUCGACCCUCGACCCUAGAUCUAGUAUUGGGCCCAUCGACUCUCUCUAAUAUCCUCAGCAUAGCCUGGGCCAAGGCAUCGUCCCCGACCAUGCGAUCAUGAGACCCAGUCUCUGUAAUAGGUGAAAUCGGCAUCUUACUCGUACCCAGAGUCGACAUGCUACAUAACGACAAGGGCUUAGCUCGAGCCCCUCUAUGGCCUCUACCUCGGCCUCUAGUACCCCAUCCACGGAUACUUCGUGCACUCAUCGUAGAAUUCGUAGCUUAUCUGUGUUAACAGUUUUUAUGAAUCAGUUACAGUUUCAAUAUCUAUUAGUAGAUAUUUUAUGCAAAACAGUAUCAGAAUUUUAGAGUUUGUUAUCGCGAAUCGCAGUCUUACUACAAUUUUUAGUUUCACUAUUGUUUUCAGUAUACACUAUCUACAGUGUUCUCAGCAUAGUGUACUACCUAUAGUAGUUUUAGAAUAUACUAUCCAUAACAGUUUCAAUUUAAAACAAAUCAUAGUUCAGAAUACUUACAGGAUCGGCUCUGGAGACUAGAUGUACCACUUAGUAAAAACAUUUCAAAUCAUUUGGAAAGCAAUCAAUUUUUCGAAAGCCUAAUUUUUAUAAAACCCAUAAUCCACAGUCGAGUUUUGCAACUUGGCUCUAAUACCACUAAAUGCAGCACCCCAAACUCGACCUAGACGUUAUGGCCAAAUCUGGCGAUGUCAAAUGGAAAGAGAUUUGAAGACAAGAUUGUCGAGUUUAAAAACUGUUACAGUAAGUUAGCUUUUAUUUAAUUUGAAAAAAAACUAGUUGAUUUACUUUAAAACUUGUCUCUUAGCGAAAGCUUUUGUAACCAAGUAAUUUAGGGAAAAUCAUUUCUAUUUACGAAAACCUUAGUUUUUAGAAAAAUCGCAUUUUAUUGAGUUGCAGUUUAAAAAAAUGCAUAAAACAGUAUAAAGUUCAAAAUUUAAAAUCAACCAGUCCAUAGUCCAAAAGUUACAUCAAAAACCCAAAUAAGUAAUAAAUUCUAGACAUUAACGGAAAAUAGUCUAAAACUUACGUGUGGCCACCGUUGAGUCCUCUGUUGCACCGACUCGUCAAGUCUAGGGAUUACCUAUACAGAUUAAACAAAGAAAGGGUGAGUUUUCACAAACUUAGUGUGUAAUCCCCACAGAAAACAUGAAUACAGAUAAUCAACUAAAUUCUGUUAGAUACAGUCUGGGGCCUGUGCCCAUCACAGAAUCAGUUUGGGCCUUAGCCCGUUCAGAUACAGUAUCAGAAAUACAUUAGGGACUUGGCCCAUAUCAAAUACAAUAAGUAGAUACAGCAAAUCAGAAUCCUACCCACCAGUCUCUACACACCAUCUCCGUCUAACCCUACACACCAUGUUGUAUCGAAAUGCGACACAUAAUCAGAAGGUUGUAGUUGAGCUGCUAGAUAACAGGCUGUUAAUAGCCUUUCAGACACUUCCUCCAAAUAUCAUCAACCCACCCCGAUGCAAUGCAACAUACAAAAUAUGUCAUGCCAUUAUGCAAUUAAUAGUACAUACAUUUAGAUAUCAUAAGUCAUGCUCGGUAUAGAAAUCAAACAGAAAGAUCACACCUAUAGGGGUCUAAGUAAAGUUUACCGACCCUACAGUAGGUUCACAGUCGACUUGGGCGACUCGUGCAACCUUACAAAACUUUCAGAAAAAUGGGCUCACAUGCCCAUGUGGCCCACUUAGCCCAAAUUGGCCUUGGCCGCGUGAUCCAUUUUUAAUGUAAGCCGUGCUAGUUAAUUAUUCAUAUAUAUUUUUACUAUUUAGUUAUAUGUUCCUUCAAAGCUGUCUGCUUGAGUCACUGUUGCUAAAUUAUUUAUAUCUUGAGCUAAAGAAUUUCGAAUUAAGAUUUGCUUGAUGUAUCUUAAACUAGAAUAAAACACCUUUCUACCAUAAAAUUUUUAAAAUUUUUGGUUCAGCCAAUAAGUACAGUAAAAUCUUCAAACUUACCCCUGUUCUGCUGUCUGACAGCUUCGUCCCUUCUUUGCUAAAACUUAAUUAUCUCUUAGUAAAAAAUUUGGAUGAUGUUUCCAUUUGUUUCUAUUGAAAAUAGACUUAUUAAUAAUUUAAAUAUGUAAAUUUUAACCCCUAAUUAUUUGUCUCCAGAUGAUUUUCCAAAGUCAGAAUAGGGGAACCGAAAUUCAUUCUGACCUUGUCUCACAAAGUUUAUUAUACCUCACGAUUUACAAUUCUAUUACUUACAUCGUUUCGUCUAUGAGAAACUGGACUCAAUAAGAUUUAAUUUCAUAUUUUAUUCAUCCUCUAAUUCGAUUUUCACAAUUUAUGACAAUUUUUCAAAGUUAGCCUAUUGUUGCUGUCCAAAGAGUAAGCAAUUUCGGCUUUUCGCCGAAUCUUUUUUUUUUUGCGUUUCGGGUACACACCUAGUUUUUUUUAUGCUAAAAUAGUCCCCGAAUACUCCAAUGCCUAUAAUCAAGAUACUCAACAUCAAUUUAACUGAUUUACAAGAGAAUUGACAACCAAGAAUGAAUAGAAACCCAACUUACAUCCAACGAUAACCCUCCGUUUAAGUAUUCUUAAGAAGAGAGCACCGAAUUCACCAGUCUGAGCCUCCCCCUAUGCCUAAAUCACAGAGAAAAAACAUUACCAAUUUAGUCACUAAGAGAUUCAUGACAAAAACGAAGAGAAUCACUUACCGAAACUAAGCAAACACUAAUCGUGUAUGAAAAUGAAAGAAAAUAAAUGGAUUAGGGAAAAAUCAAGAAGAAAAAAAAGAAGAGAAAGAUGGAAAAGAUCAGAGAAUUUCGGCAAGAGGAGAGGGAAAAGAAUAGACGGCAUAAUUUUUUUUGGAAAAGAGAGUCAAAAUUCGGUUAUAGGAAAAUAAAAUCCCGAUAACCCUCAAAAUCCCUUAAUCUUCUCCCUUAAUUCCCACCACACAUUCACUACUCAGAAUACCCCUAUUACACAACUCUAUCCCGAAAUCUGAAAGAAAAGAAUACCCUUGCUUGCAUAGGGAUUCGAACACAAGACCUCCACUAUAAAAACACACCAUAUAACCACCAGACCAACAGACCCAUUUUGAUGUAAUUUACCCAACAAUGAAAUAAAAGCCUACUAAACAAGAGUAAGGCCUAAUUCAUUCAAAAUACCAAAAUUUUCCCAAGCGAAGGCUUGAAUUUGGGACAUUCUAAACACGCCCAGAACUCAUUACCAUUAAAGCUGACAGAUAUUUGUGUCAUAUUUUCACAAUAACGAAAUUAGAAAUUUUUGGGCGUUACAGUUAAAGUUUGUGGAUGUUACCAUUGGUAAAUAGUUAAAUUUUUAGGGACCAAUUUGGUAGAUUUUAAGUUUAGUAUUGAAAGAGAAGUAAAUUGUCAAGUCAAUCAAUAAUUUUGUGCAAUAUCGACUAAAUUCCACAAAUUCUAAAUUUUUUGGUUGAAAUGAGAAAUAGGAAGUUUAAUUAGGCUUAAAGUGAAAUCAGCAUGAAAAUUUGUAAUUAAAUUUGAAAGUUAUGUUAGUCUCGAUUUUAGGGAAAAAAUUGAAUAAAAUGAAAAAGUUGCAUAAUUUAGAAAUUGAAUGUGAAAAUGAUUGAAUAUUGAUGAAAUAUAUUGUUUGUUUUAAUCCAUAGCUAACAUUGACCCAAAUUCCUCGAAAAAGAAAGGAAAAGACAAAGUCUUCAACAAAUAGCUCAGAGUUUACGAUUUGUUUUUCUAUAAUCCGAACUACUUGUGAAUUGUUGCAUAUUGAAUUGUUUUUGUGUGGUAAGAGCAUAAGGUGAGACAAUUUGUGAUAAUGAGAUGUAUUUGGAUUGAUUUCAAUUGAUUGAUGUUUAUGAGGGCUAAAUUGAAUAUAUGUGAAAAAUGUGAAUGUUUAUAUAAAUAUGAAAUUGAAUAUAUGAGAAGAUAUUUGAUGUUGCCAUAUGUUUGAAUAAAUGAAUUCAUGAUAAAAAUUGUUGUGAAUUGAGAGAUUAAAUGAUGAUGAACUGAGUAAUGAAUACCGUAUUAAUUGUUCGGGUAGAGUCAGAUAUAAUUGACAUGACAUAGGAUAGGAAGAGUUUAAGGUUACUUCGACUAAGAGUCGAUGAGGUACUUCGUGCCAAUUUGCUUUAGUAAUGAGACACUGAGUGUCAAACAUAUUGCUACUGUUGGGUGCAACUAUUUGUUUCAUAUUUAUUCGAUGAGGCACUAGGUGCCAAACUAGUGUGCUGGUUGGAACUGUGUAUCCGACCGAAUCCGAAUCGUGUUAAUAAGGAAAUAAAUGAUAAAAAUGAAAUGCUUGUAAUUGGAACAAUAAUUUUGAAUAAGUCUUCAAGAUCCAAGUGAUAGAGAAAUCCAUAAGAGAUUUGAAAAUGGACAUUGAAAUGGCAAAUGGAAAGAAAUGGAAAAGAAAUGUGAAAUGAAAUAUGCAUUGUGUAAUGCAUUAGAACAAUGUUAGAUAAAUUCAUUGUCUUCAUGAAAUUGAACAUGGUAAUGGAAUGUUCUAUCAUGUGACUUGAAAUAUCAAUAAUAUUAAAGUGUUUUUGGUCAUGCUUAAAUAUUGAUAAGUUGUAUUUGUUUUGAUUAAAAAAAUAUGAGAAAUGGUUAGAUGAAACGAUAAAUUGCAUAGAAUCAUUCAUUUUUAAUUUAGGCUAUUAAAAUGUCUUAGGUUCUGCUUUAAUGUUUGGAUGAUAGGAAUACCAAUAAGUUAUACUUAGCAUAAGGUUUUAUUUUCCGUGUGCAUGUUAGGUACUUUACCUUUCGAAUGUCAACCCAGCAUCCAGCGGUAAUCCAGGACUCAAUCGUUUGUGAUGUUUUAAAUUUUGGUCAUGGCAUUUACCUAAAAUGUCAUUUGGGUAUUUAAUGUUUUAUUUUGGGAUUCUUGUGGCAUUUUUAGGAUUAUGUAUAUGUUUAUGUUUAUGUAUAUGUGUGUGAUGGCAAUGGUCAUGAAAAUGACAUCUUGAUGAGUAGUUUGACUAGUAUAUUUACUUGCUUAGAUGGUGACUUGAUUAUGUGCCAAGGAAUAGGUGUAUAAAUGUGAUUUAUAAGUUUAUGUAUGCUUGAAAUGAUUUGGUAAGCUUGAUGUAUAAAUCAUGAGAUUUCUUGAAUGGCUAUUUGAUGCAUGGCUAGUUGAUAGUUGAGGUGCCAUUGAAGGUUUAUUGGAUUGGUAUGUAUGUGGUCUUUUGAUUGGUUUUAAAUUGUUGAUUGAGGUGUCGGUUAUGGCAUAUUGGUUAGGCACUUAGGACAAUUGUAACACCUCAAAUCCAGUCUAAACGUUAUGACCAAAUUUGGCUAUGUCACAUUGUAACACCCCUUACCCAUAUUCGACUCCGAAAUAAGGUACAAGGCAUUACCAGAACACAUACACUUAUAAACAUGUUAAACCGAGUUAUAAAAUUUCAUUCAAAUUUAAACUCUUUAAAUUUUUAACAUGCUUUUAUAAAUCUUCACGUUAUAACUUCAAAAUACUAUAUUUGUAACAAAUACGGCUUCUAAGACCCAAAACAUACUGAUGCAAUUCAAUACUUCAUUUCCAUUUCAUUUAAUUCACGAUUCUCAUGUUCAUGAUUCAAUUCAAAUUCUCAAUCUAAUAUACAUUUCAAUACCACAAUAAUUCAUUUAAUUCAAAUCAUAUCAUUUGGAAUUUCCAUUUAAUUCACGUACAAUUCAAUUUCAUUAAGUUCAAUACUAAUACAUAUUUAUCGUUUAACUUAACUUCCCCUUUUUGCAUCAUUUUACAUUUAAAGCAUGAACCUAGUAUCUAGUACUUAGCUUCCAUUUUACUUACCGACAUUUAUUCAAUUAGAGAACGUCUUACAGAAUUGAGUACUUCGUUUUCUCUAUGCCAUAGUCCAACUAUGGUCUUACACAUAUUUACAUAUUGAUGCCAUAACCCAGCUAUGGUCUUACACAGUAGCAUAUAUCACACCGAUGCCAUAUCCCAGAGAUGGUCUUAUACGAAAAUCACAUAUCACAUGUUGCCAUGGUCCAACCAUGGUCUUUUUCGUCAAUUCAUCACAUAUCACUGAACGAAAGUACUCAUUCCUGCAUUUUACUCAAUUUAAUCUUCUAAUUCAGUUUUCAUACUAUUAUAAUAUUCAUGGUUCAAUAAUAAAGAUAUAAAACAAAACAUCAUAUUACCUCUAAUUUAACAAUUAAAUAUAAGAUUCUAUCAUAUGAACGUACUGGUUUCACUUAUUCAAGCAGAUGUACAUAAACACACAUUCCAUCUAUUUAAGUAAAUUCGCUUACCAUAUUCACUUAAUCAAAUAUGUUGAGCACAUAGCAUCAUAUAAUCACCAAUAUACUUGAAUGAGCUUAUCACAACAUAAACUUUCAUUUCAUUUUUUUUCAACUUAUGAUCAUCUCUUUUCAUACAUAAACACAUACAUAUCACGAAUUUUUAUUCUUACCUUUCCAAAUUCCAACAUAACCUGAGCAUAUUUCAUUUAUGUCAAUAUCAUUUUCAUUAUUAUCGAAAAUAGCUCGAUUGAAAAUCAUCUCUGUCUUAACAAAACAAUUCCGUUAGAGCCCGGAGAUAUCACACCAUCACGAGUCAUAACAUGGCAUGUAUAGUUGGACUCACAUAUGCUACGUUCGGUCUGAGAAUCGACUAAACCGUAGCUCUGAUACCACUAAAUGAACACCCCAGAUUCGGUCUAAAUGUUAUGACCGAAUCUGGAGAUGUUACAUUGUAACACUCCUUACCCGUAUUCGACGCCGGAAUAGGGUACGAGGCAUUACCAGAACACAUACACUUAUAAACAUGUUAAACCGAGUUAUAAAAUUUCAUUCAAAUUUAAACUCUUCAAAUUUUUAAUAUGCUUUUAUAAAUCUUCACGUUAUAACUUCAAAAUACUAUAUUUGUAACAAAUACGGCUUCUGAGACCCAAUACAUACCCAUGCAAUUCAAUACUUCAUUUCCAUUUCAUUUAAUUCACGAUUCUCAUGUCCACGAUUCAAUUCAAUUUCUCAAUGCAAUAUACAUUUCAAUACCACAAUAAUUCAUUUAAUUCAAAUCAUAUCAUUUGGAAUUUCUAUUUAAUUCACGUACAAUUCAAUUUCAUUAAGUUCAAUACUAAUACAUAUUUAUCAUUUAACUUAACUUCCCUUUUUUGCAUCAUUUUACACUUCAAGCAUGAACCUAGUAUUUCAUCUCCUUUCCACUCCCGUUUCCUAUGCAUAUCACACAAGAUAUAAACAUUACACUCAACCAUAGUCGCAAGCUAGUCUUUUUGAAGACUAACCACAUGAUAAACCAUUUUAAUAAAGAUUACAAACUUUAAACCUUACCACCAUUUUAUGAUCACAAGCAUAUUUCCAUCUAGACAUUUACCAUCUCAAUGCAUAAUUUUAUAAAUUUAAUGUGGCGUAAUCCAGCCACAACUUGGCCAAAGCCUAAGCAUACACACCAAACAUGCUAGCCAAAUAAACAUAUAGUAUAAGCAUUAUAAGCAUGGAUAAGCACCACAUUUAUUUAUGUAUCAAACUUAUCAACAUGAGUUAAUUCAUAAACCAUUUCUGACAUUACUACAUACCAAAUCAUAUACCAAGUAUACCACAUACACAUACUAUGAAACUUUAUUUUCUCACAUGAACUUUAACUAUAACUAAUAAUGCACAAUUAUAAACAUCAUUUCUUUUCAAUCGUUUAUCGAUUAUAAUCAACCAUAUGGCCAAUUAUACACAAAUUAUUCAUAUGUUCUUCCAAUUUUCCUCCUCCUCCUCCUCUCCAUUCCACAUCCUUAAUGUGUAUAACACACUUAAACAACAUUAACUAUAAUUUCACUAUUCACUCACAUGUAUAUUCAAAGUUGUCUAUUCGAGUUAGAGUCACUAAAUUAUUUUUACCCAGAGCUACAGAACUCUAAAUUAAGAUCCGUAAAUUUUUCCUAAAACUUGAUUCACAUAUAUUCAUACCAUAAAAUUUUCAGAAUUUUUGGUUUAGCCAAAUAGUACAGUUUAUUCUUUAAAGUUUCUCCUAUUUCACUGCUUGACAGUUCUGACCUCUCUUCACAAAAAAAUAAUUAUCUCAUUGUACAGAAUCCGAAUAUUAUUUCCAUUUGUUUCUUUUGAAAAUAGAUUCACUCAGAAUUCUAAACAUAUAAAAUUAUCCAUAAUUAUUUUUUUACAAUUUUUUACAAUUUUCCAACGUCAGAACAGGGGAUUCCAAACCCAUUCUGCCUCUAUCUAACUAAAAUUCAAAUAUCUUAAAAUAUAUAACUCUUUUGCUUGCUCUGUUUAUUUUAUGUGAAAAUAGACUCAUUUAGCUUCAAUUUCAUAUAUUAUUCAUUCUCUAAUUCAAUCUCCACAAUUUUUGGUUAUUUUUCAAAAUCACACAACUAUUGUUGUCUAAACUGUUUUAUUGCUAAAUGUACUAUUUCAUAAUUUCACUUUUUCACUUUCAAUCGCAAUUCAAUUCAAAAUUCACUUUUCUAUUUCUAAGUCGAUAUUCAAUUCAAUUCCACACCUAUAUUAAUUAUUCAAUUACACUUAGUCAAUUUCCCGAUGAACACUUCGGAAUAAUAACAGAUACUCUGUGGAUUCAGCACAUAACAACCACCUUACUAAUUAAUGAUGUUCGGUUCACAUAGUAGCCUGCACAUAGUACUAUACAUGUGACCAUUACCAUUCGUUACACGUAGUAGCCUGCACAUAGUACUACACACGUGAUCGAAACUAUCCGGUACGCAUAGUAGCUUGCACAUAGUACUACACAUGCGACCUAUCAUUCCGGUACAUGUAGCGGCCUGCACAUAGUACUACACACGUGACCAUCACUUUCACUUUUACAUAGUGGCCUACACACAAUCCGUGCCACACAUGUGAUCAUUCCUGUCACUUCAUUCGUAUCCCUUUUUAUUUAAAAGAUUCAUUCGGGAAUUUUUCACUUUUUCUCACUUUUCUUUUUAUCGAUCAAUUUCAAUUUAUCGUCUUUCUUGAUUUAUAACAAUACAUUUAACUUAUAUAACAUUAACACUAUUCAUUCUAGUCCAGAAAUCAUACUUUGGAAAAAGUACAUUUUUACCCUAAAGUUUCACAAAAUUAUGAUUUUGCCCCUAGGCUCGUAAAAUAAUUUUUUAUUCAAUUUCCUUGCAUUUUAGGCCUAGCUGAACCAUUUUCACAACUAUAGCAGUCCACAAUACUCGCUUAUUCACACACUUGUGACAUAUUUUAUAACUUUUAUAAAUUAAUCCUUUUAGGCAUUUUCAUCGAAAAUUACUUAGUACAAAUCGUUUAACACACUUCAAACAUUUAUAUUCAUCCAUAAAACAUCAAAAUACAUGCAUAUCAUUCAUGGGUAAAUUUUUAAACACAAACCCCAGUUCAAAACAAUGGUAAAAAUAGGUAAAUCUUGUUACGAGGAUUUCAAAAGCGUAAAAAUCAUUAAAAACAGAGAUAGAACGGACUUACAAUCAAGCUUGAAAGCUUGAAAAACCCUAGCCAUGGUUUCUCCAUGCAAUUUUCGGCCUAGGUGUUGAAGAUGGACAAAAAUUGGCUUUUAAUUUUGUUUUUAAUAAUUAAAUAACCAAAAUGCCCUUAAUGAAAAACUUUGGAAACAUGCCUAACCAUACCCAUUUUUUUCCACCAACUUAACAAAUGGUGUAAUUACCAUAUAAAGACCUCCAAUUUAAAAUUUCAUAAGAAUUGAACACCUCUAACAUAUAGAACUCAACUUUUGCACUUUUUACAAUUUAGUCCUUUUGACUAAAUUGAGUGCCCAAACGUCAAAAUUUUUGAACGAAAUUUUCACAAAAUCAUUUUAUGAAAUCGUUGACCAUAAAAAUAUAAUGAAAAUAAAUUUUUUUCUCAUCAAAUUUGUGGUCCCGAAACCACUAUUCUGACUAGCCCCAAAUUCGGGCUGUUACAAUAAUUGUUGUAAGUGAUGUUUUGGCAUGAUUUUGAUGCUUUUGGAAUUGAUAUAUUUGGUUUCUUGUGGUAUAAGUUAGGGUUAUAAAGCUUGCAUUGAAUGGUAUUACCAGGUGCACACGGCUUGACACACAGCCGUAUGCCAUAGAAGGGUUUAUGGCACGGUCGUGUAGUUUGUAAAUUUUAGGUGAUUUUUGGUUCACACGGCCACAGUCUGUUCGCUGCUCAGUAACACAACAGUAUGAAAAAAUUUUGAAUAUUUACACUUUUGACCUACACAGUAUCAUUGAGUUACAUAGUCUGUUUGCAUGGCCAUGUGACUCCAAAACUAAACGGCAUCAAGCUGUUACACGGUUUGCCUAUACAUCCAUUUGAUCCACCCCACACGACCUCAGCCUUCCACACGGUCAAGGGAUACGGCCAUGUGACCCCUAUUUGCAGAUUUUUCCUAUCUUUUUAUUUUUAUAUCAAAAUGAUCCUUGUUUGAUACCGAGUUAGUUUUAAGCUUUUGUAAGCUCAAUAUAAACCAGGAAUUAAUUGAAUUACAUGUUAUACUUGAUAAUUUAUGAUGUAAUGAUAUUAAAUUGAGAUUUUUGAUUUAUAAAUUGUAUUGUAUUUGUUUGUAACACCCUAUUACUUAAGUUCGACGACCGGGCCAGGUAAGGGGUGUUACAUCCCAGUCCUUUUUGAGUUAGCUCCGAAUCGAUUGAACCAACGCAUUAGUAGCUAUUCCAUAUGUUUCUUUGGUAAUCGUAUUAAUAUAUUCUAAACCAUUUCUCUUUAGAAUAACCUGUUGUGCAUCAAUUUCCCGAGCUAUCUUCAAUUUGUCCCUAAUAUUCCUUACAAAGCCUCGUAUCUAAUCCCCACGAUCAUUCCUUACAACUCUACCUGAAUUGGCCCUAUUAUUUGUUCUAUCCACAACACCAUCUGAGUUGACCUUGAUCUAGCCUAACAAUGGUGGAAUCUAUUUAACUACUCUCAAGUGUUGAUCUCUUGCUUACAUAGCCUUUAUUUGGUUCAAUCACAUGAAUCGACAAACUUCCUUGCACAUUCUCUUGUUUUUCUCCAACAUGCCUUCAACCUUUAUAAACUCGAGAUUGAAGAUCAAUUUGUUACACCUAUUCCUAAUACACCUCAACUUUCAUAUCCUAAUCAUCACUAUCUCUUGCAAAAUAACUUGGAUUAAAGAGGUUAGUAACCAACCAAUCUUAAUCCAAUCAUCAGAAACUCAUCAAGUUGAUCCGCUCUCACUAGUCUUUCCCAAAUAGCCAGAGCCUCAAAACAUCAACAAAGAACAUGAACCACAUAUUCGUUAAAAUCUUUGGUAGAUUGGGAAAUUUGCCUCCCAUGUGAGGUGUCUUCUAAUUCUUUUAUCAUUCGUCAGAAGUUUACCAUUAAAACUUAACCAAAGGAAACCUUGACUCUUUGAGUGCCACGAAACUGGUAGAUCAAUCUCCAUCGAUUAACUCUUUGAGUGCCACGAAACUAGCAGAUUAAUCUCCAUCGAUUAUCAAUAUUGAUAUUGUAACACCCCACACUCGAUCCUAUCGCUAGAUCCGAAUUUGUGAUGUCACAUUUCGUUGCCAAAGCAACUUAGGAUAACUUAAUAUAUAUAGACUCAUGACAUUUAGUUCAUAAAUAUCAUUCAUACCAAUUCAAUCAUCCAUUAUAAUCACACAUAUACAAUCAUAAUACCCAAUAUGUUAAUUCUUCAAGUCAUGCAGUUAUGCCAAGUUAAUUUAAGAGUUAGGACUCGAGUCCAAACCUAAUUAUCAAAUUUUAUAAUUAUGUCUUGUGACAAAUUUCAUUUUAUUUUUAGAAAUUUAGUUUUGAUGAUGACAUAUCUUGAGACAUUAGAAUUUAUGACUUGAGACAAGGUUUCUUAUGUCUCGAGACAGGCCUUCCUUGUUUCUUUAAUUUAACUUUGAUGUUUGGAUGUCUCGAGAUAAGGGGUUCUUGUUUAAAGACCUGAAGUAGGACAAAAUGAAUUUAGCGUCGAUGUACCAUUGUCAUGAGAGAAAGACCACUUUGUCUUAAGACAUAAGUCAAGUUGUCUUGAGACCUAACAGGUCGAUCUCGAGACCAAGUCUAAUACAACAUCGCAAUUAGUAAAAUUUAUCUUCAGGGUCUCGAGACAUGCUCUUCUUGUCUCGAGACUAAAUGGUAAAACUACCUAAAAUGCACAUUUUAUAACAAUCAAAUGUGUUCCAUUACAAGUCUAACCUAUACCAAUAUGGAAUCACAUUGACAUACACCUUCUCGACAUGUUAAAACAUAUCCAAACUAUUCACAAACAUGACAUCCAAUGCAUCAUCACUUAGCCUAUUUGAAUAAGUUAACAAACAUGCAAAAACAUGAAUAUAAGCACCCCAAUUAGGUAACCAAACUUAACUUUAGGAACCUUAAAGGUCCAUCAAAUACCAAAAUGUACCAAAAUAGUUGAAAUAGCAUAUAAUCAUACAACUCAAUCUAGAUACAUGUCGUUAACCAAUUAAAGAUGAAAAAAGCACAAACUUGGUCUGAGCUGAGCUGUUGUGUCUUAGAUGCUUCAUGACUCCCUUAUUCUAUCAACAACCUAUAUUUGACCUACACAUGGAAACAAUAAAUCUGCACGCUGAGUAUUGAAUACCCAGUGGUGCUAAUGUAAUUCAAAUUCAAUACAAUAAAAUUAACUUAAAGCAAACAUACAAAUAUAUAACAUUAGCUUCAUUACGUUACUUUAUCUUUACUCAUCACAAAAUUAAUAGUCCCUGAAUUUUCUCAUUCAAUUUUUUUUCGAUAUUUCAUAAUUUAGUAUGAUAAUGUAAUUAAUAUUUCAACAUGUCAUCCACUACCAUUUUUAAUAAUUACUCAAUUUGGCCCCUAUUAAUUGACGAAAGACAUUAGGACAUAUACUUGAAUCUAUAUAUAAUGAGUAAGCCCAAGACCCUCUGGGAAUUGUGACUACUCAAUCUGAAUAUCAAUAUAUGUCCAUGAACUUUUGAGAAUUGGGACUGCCCACAACCCUCUAAGAAUUGGGGCUACUCACGACCUUCUAGUAAGUGAAGCUAAUAAAUCUCUGAUAUCAAUGACCCUAUGACUUGCCAAAUAUACAUAAACUACGUCUAGCAUUGUUUGAUGGGGCAUUAUCAUCAUUAAUGUUGGAUUCAACAUUUCUAAUAUUGAAUGCAUUUCAAUAUCAUAUUAUAAAAAUAUGUAUUCAUAAAUGAUGUCACAAUUUAUAUCUCAAUUACAUUAUAUCAUACUAAUCAUUUCUAUUCGCAUAUAAUCAAAUAACACCAUAUUAUUGUACUCUAGGUCUCAAUCUCAUAUAGACACGUUACCAUAUCAACAUCUCAUAGAAUUUCAAGUAGAAAUAUAUUUACCUUGUCAUGUUUCCCACAUUUGUUCACAGGAAGCAAGUUAUUCAAUUAAAGCAUGUAAUAAAAAUUAAAUAUAUAAGCACAAAUCUCAAUGGCUAUUUGAUGUUUUCUUUUUCCUUUUCCUUCACUUUUGUCGUUCUGGUAUUGUCCUUAACUACGUUCGAUAAUAUAAAUACAAAAGCGUUGCUACUUAUACAAUUCAACGCAAAGAUAAAAAAAUCAAACAUGGAUGCAUUUAAUUUAAUUUAGUCCCUUAAGAUCCUAAUUAAUACUCAUAUCUUUCGAUAUUUAGUAUCGGAUUAAAAACUAAUUUUAUAUUUACUCACUAGAUACCUCUAGCUUCCAAACCAUGACAUAAUUUUCUAACAACUUUCAUUCUAUUCAAUUUAGUCUAUAUUAUCAUAAAACUAACUAUAAACUUAUCUCAAAUUUCAACUUAAUUCAACAUUUUCCACAACUUUCUAACAUAAUCCUAUCCUUAUCUAAGCUUACCAUUUAACAAUUCUCAACAUUCAAACUUUAAUUUCACCAAGAAUUCAUUAAUGGCAACCUAGAUUAAACUUGAUGAUUAGAAACUUUAAUACAUGGGCUGAACAUGAGCUUCCAUAAUAAAAUAUUCAUCGAAAUUUCAAUUAAAAACCAUGCUUAAGUUGAUGAAUUUUGGACGUAGUGGAUGAAGACUUGCAAAAUUUUUCCUUUAAGUUUUCGUUAACAUGGAAUGCUAAAGAAGAAGAAGAUGGGAAAUUGGUUUCUCUCUCCCACUCACAUGACUUUUAUACAUAUAAUUAGAGAAUUAAUUAAUUAAUUAGCCUUGAUUAAUAAGAAUGAAUGAAUAAGAUUUCAUAAUACAAAACUUAGUGGAAUUUAAUGGCAAGGGUUGGACUUAGCCACUAAGAUACUUUCAGUAUGGGUAAAUUGCAUCUAAGACGACAUUGUUUGAUUUGCCAUAUAAAUUCUCUUGCAUUUCCUAAAUUAAAACGUAACAACGAUUGCACUUUUAUGACUUUCUUGGUUUGAUAACUCUAUAAUUGAAUAAUAUAUUUUUGAACUAAAUACGUAGAAUUUCCUAUUCAUAAUUUCAAUGACUAAAUUCAUGAGAUUCGAUUUCUAAACUGACCAUCGAUCAAUUUUCCAACGUGAUAAGGAAUAGUUGCAAAAUAAUAAAUUUUGGACUCAAAAUAGUCCUUUGCCUUUUUUGGCAAAGGUUGUUGUUGGGGUGCUUGCUAUUCACUUGGCCUUUCUUAGGAUCAUGUCUUUCACUCGAUUGUAAAGACAUGAUGUUGGAAUUUCAAUACUAAGGAAGAAUGAAUUGUAGAGAAAAAAUGAGAAAGUUUAGCAACAAAAUUGUCUACUAAGGUUUUUAUUAUUUUCACUCAUAUAUUUUUAAUAAUGUAACAAGAGUAUGUAUAAAAAGAAAAAUCAUUAAAUAUAGAAAGAAAUAACUUAAGAUUUUAUGCUAAUAAAUGCUAAAUAUAUUAUACUAAUAAAUACUAAAUCGUCUAGAAAGAAAAUAUAAUCUAUAAACGUAACUUGCAAGCAAGCUCUUCAAAUACUAUUCAUAUUCUUAGUUCACCAAAGUAAUGAACUCGCCAAUCUUGAUGGGUUUGCCAAGUGUGUUCGCUGCAUGAAUGCUCAUCUCCUAACACUCCUCCUUGGUAUUUAUGCUACGAACACUAAUUUUAUCCCUUAAGUCUUUAAACCUCAUCUUUCCAAGUGGUUUGGUUAGAAUGUCUGCAAGUUUGCAUUUUUCCUUGUUCGCAAGCUUGUACUUUGAUGAGCUUGCAUUCUUGUGGCCUUGCACUUUUACUGCACGUACUUCAUUCAGCUUAUAGCUUGUACAUUUCAUAGCUCACACAUUUUUCAACUCGCACUUUUUAUGAUUUCACAACUUGCAUUUUGGGGAGCUCAAAAGCUUACACUUCAUCCUACUUCUUGCUACUGCAUGAGUGGCCAAUUUGUAACACUCUUUUUUUACCAUCUUACAAAAAAAUCCAAUGUUGUUUUCUCAUGUAACUUUUAAAAAAUUUACAGGCUCUAAUACUGCUAAGUCACAUCUAUGAUAAGUUUCAACAAUAGGCCUGAUACUUUUAACAAGAAGAUCAUUAAAUUCUUAAUCUUCAUCUUUAUCUACAAAUUUAGUCAUCUUCUCAAUCGAUUUUGACUUGCACACUUGAAUAAAGGAAUUAUAGUUCAGAUGUCCCUAUCUUUUGCGCAAAAUAUAUGACUCAUCCAAUGAACUGGUAUAGGCUCUUGAAGCCUCAAAGUUUCAAUCCAGCACAAAGCUUUUAUUAUUCAUUGAGAUUGUGACCACUUCUUGUCCCAGUGAAUCACAUAUAGUGCAACAUUUAUCUUUGAAAACAAUAGUGUAAUUCUUCUCCACCAAUUAACCAAUGCUAAGGAUAUUAUGAUUUAUUUUAGGAACUAAAAGCACAUCUGUAAAUACUUUAGUACCUGUUGGAGUGUUGAUAAACUCAUUCCCUUUUUCCUUAGCUUUAAUAAGCUGCCCAUUUCAAAUUCUAAAUUUUGAAAUACAACUUUUGUCAAUUUUCUUGAAGAUGCUUUCAUCUGAAGUCAUGUGGUUUGUACAUCCACUAUUAAUAAGCCAAUUCUUUAUAUUUUUGGUAAAGGUUUCGCAUGGUGCAAUGAGUUGUACUUCACAAGAAGGCACAGAAGUUUUCACAAACUGGGCUACGUAUGGGGUUUGCAGGAUUUUUGCGAACUGGGCUUUGCAUGAUGCUAUGAAGAUGAAUUCUUUUUGACUUGCCCCAGUAAUUUGAGCAUGAGUGUUUUGUUGUUGUGUGUGCCCCUUAUUCUUGCACACCCUCUCUAUAUGACCAAAUUCUUUACAACUUCUGCAUUGAAUAUCUGGCAUGAACCAGCAAUACCUCUCUUAGUGAUUUGUCUUUUUGCAGCAAGAGCAUGAUGGGUUUUCUUCCUUACCACCAUCUCUCCAUCUAUCCUCUUUCUUUUCUGUCGAACCUUUCUUACCCUUAUGUUUCUGAGGGUUCGCAUCAUCAAUACUCAGGGCUUACAGUGUUUGUUCUUCCGUGUGCUCCCAAUACCUUGUUACUCUUCUUUGCUCUUGAGCAUAUAAGGCAUUUAUCUACUCUGAAAGAGAGAUCACCAAGAGUUCCCUUAAGUUUUUGAGUGAGGAAAUCUUAGAUUCAUACAUUUCAAGAAGUGUUGUUAUGACCUUCUUAACGACCCUACUAUCUGCGAACUCUUCCCCAAAUAACCUGAUGUUAUUUACUAUUGCUAUAAUCUUGUCUAUGUACUGCUUCACUGUUUCAGCCUCGUUCAUCUUCAAAUUGUCAAAAUUUCUCUUGAGAUUAAUGAGUUAUUGUUAUUUUCUAGUCUUAUCCGAAACUUGAAACUCCUCAUUUAGCUUAUCCCAAGCUUCUUUUGGAGUCUCGCAGGCCAUAAUACGUGUGAAUAUGAUAUCUGAGACACCAUUCUAUAUAUAGGACAUUACCUUAUAUCUUUUAGCUCGUUAGUCACCGUGAUUCUUGAUUUGAGUGAAUGUAGCGUUGUCCCUCAAUGGGGCGAGCUCAAUGUAAAUGUUCACAACCUCCCACAAGUCAUAAGCUUGUAAAUAGGUCUACAUCUUAACAACCCAUAUAUGAUAAUUUUUGAUGUCGAAAACAAACGGUGAAGGUGGUAAAAAACUCAUAGAAGCCAUUUAUAAGACAAGAAGAACAAUAAUAACCAUUAAGAAGAUAACUCUGAUACCAAUUGUUGGAAUUUUUAUACUAAGGAAGAAAGAAUUGCAGAGAAGAAACGAGAAAAUUUAGCCAAAAAAUUGUCUGCUAAGGUUUUUAUUAUUUUUACUCAUAUAUUUUGAAUAAUGUAACAAGAGUAUGUAUAACAAGAAAAAUUUCUAAAUAUGGAAAGAAAUAAAUUAAGAUUUUAUGCUAAUAAAUACUAAAAAUAUUUUACUAAUAAAUACUAAAUCUUCUAGAAAAUAUAAUAUGUAAACAUAACUUGCAAGAAAGCUCUUCAAAUCCUGUACAUAUUCUUAGUUCGCCAAAGUAAUGAGCUCGCCACUUUCUGUGAGCUCGCCAAUCUUGAUGGGUUCGCCAAGUUUGUUCGUUGUAUGAAUGGUCAUCUCCCAACACAUGUCCAUUUUUUGUGCAAAUGAUGACAUUUUUUUGGUAAGUGUUUAAUUACUGAUGUUUUGUGUAAUCUUUACCAAGAUUCCACACAUGUAUUGUUUCAUGUUUCACAACUACAACUCAAUUAUUUCGAAAGCAAUGGCAUUUGUGAAAAGGAUUCAUCUCAUCAAGGGGCCCCGUUUCCUUGAUGGUUGCCUGCCAAUGUAAUGGCUUGCUUUAGUGGCUUUUGACCAUUACUACGACUUUGAAUCUUCCUUAUCUCCCCUCUUAUGUUCGAUGAUGGAGGCCUAAUUCAAGUGUGAAAACUUUUUGGGCUACACUUGAGCUUCAGGUUUAUCAACUUUUAGGGCAUUAUUUUGUGUUAGUUGAAGCUUUGGCUAUCUUGUUUAAACUAUUUAGCGAUAUCAAGAAAUCUAAAUUUCACGAAUUUUGACAUGGAUCAAUUUAUUCGAGUCAAAUCAUUUUUGAAAAUCGGGUUCGCAGUGUGUUAGGAAGGUGAAAUUAUAAAAUUAGUCGGGUUGGAAUCGGUUUGAGGUAAAUCCAUUCCGUUCUUCCUUACAAUAUUUACCAAAAUUCCCUUAAUAUAUAAAAAUAUGUAUAUGCAUAUAUAUAUAUUAAGUUUUUCCUUUUAAUAAAUAAGUGUGUAAAUAAAUGUUAAGUUUUGAGUCUAAACUAAAAAAAAAUCUUAUUUGCUUCAGAAUAAAAUAUAAAUCAAUUAUAUUAAGUUCAGAUCAUGUUGAUGUCGUGUCUCCUAUUAAAUUUUACGUUCGGAAUGGAUUUACUUUUCUUAAGAGUCGGGGCCAGGUGGGGCAGAUUAGUCAAUCUUCAAGUUGAGCAAAUAUCUAAACUAAAAAAAACAAUUUUAUUUACUUAAAAAUAAAAAAUAAAACAAGUAAAUUAAGUUCAGAUCAUGUCGAAGUCGGGUCUCCUAUUAAAUUUUGAUUUCAGGAUGGAUUUAUUUUUCUUAAGAGUAGGGAUCAUUUGGGGAGGAUUAGUCAAGCUUCGAGUCGAGCAAAAAUCCACUCUAUCCUGUUCCACCCCAUCCCUAGAACUAUAGCUCUUAUUUACUUGUAUGAGCUUGGCUCUUUUGCCUCUAAAGUUUUUCAUAUAUGGAAGUAUCUAUAACACCCCAAACCCGGCCUAGACGUUAUGGUCGAAUCUGGCAUGUCACAUUGAAGUGUUGUUUGCGAAUUUGUCUGUUGGAAAAAAAUGUUUCUAAGCUUAAAACCUCUUUGGUAUUAUUUAACAAUCAUCUAGUUAAAAUGUUUGCCUUAUUAUCUACUACUAUUAUAAUAGUUGUUUUCAAAACGCGGAAGCAUUUGAAAACUCCAAUCGUUUAAAGUUCGUGACUUUGAAAACAAUUAUUAUUUUGAAAACUCGUCUUCCCUAAACUAGUAAUUUAAAGUAAAUAAGAAAAAGCCCAAUUAAAAACUUAAACAAACUUAAAAGGCCCUUAUUACAUGAACAAAUCCAACACAAACUUUAAAUUUAACUAAAAGCUCUAGGGUAGAGCAUCAGCGUUUGUGUGGCCACCUCCGAGUCUCUCACGGCUCCAAAUCACCUAAGUCUGGGGAUUACCUGCACAGUUAGAUAGAAGGGUGAGUUUGCAAAAACUCAGUGUCUAAUCCCUUAUAAUACAAACAGUCAGAUAUACGGUAUGCAGAAACAGACUAGGCCUGAGCCCAUUAACAGAACCAAACGGACCUAAGCCCAUUACAAAAUCAAUAUCAGAUGCAUAUAUGCAGACAGAAAUCCAGCCCAAUCCAACCAGUACACCACCCAUACCAACCAACACACCAUGUGGGUAUAAAAUCGACCCACCCAGUCAACACACCAAGCUUAGCAUCGGUUGCAGCACUAAGUCUACAGAAUGGCUCGACACUGUAGACAAAAUGGUUAAAAGCAAUAAGUACUGCAACAACGCUGCCAAUUAACAGAACGGCUAAAAGCCAUAAGCAGAAAGGAGUAAGCCUUGAACAGAACGGCUACAAGCCAUACACUUCCUCCGUCAAUAUUAACCCAACCCCAUGUAGGAUGACAUGCCAUAGUAACAUACGUGAAUGCAGGAUGUCAUGCUCAGUAUCAGUUGUAUAAAUUUCAUACAUACAUCAGUCAACCUACCACUAGGAGUGUAACGGUCAUUUCGUCAGUUAGGGGUAAAACGGUAAUUUUACCCCAGGGGUAUUUUGGUCAUUUUACCCUUCGAGGGUAUUUAAGUCAUUUAACAACCUUUUCGAAGGCCUACAAUCACCUUGAGCGACACAUAUAACCUAAAUGGUCAUAAUAGUGUAAAUGGGCCCAAGGCCCAUAUUCAGCCCAAGUGGGCCCACACGCUCAUGUGGCCCAUUUAGCCCAAAUUCAGUCACGACUAUGCGAACUAGAUAGCCCAGUCCAGAAUUUGCCACUUAACAAGGAUUUUAUCCGUGUAGGGCCUACGAGCCCUUUGGGUCCACACAACCCAUUUCAGCCCAACGUGGCCUAUAACGACCCAAGAGCACGAGAACGCUCGUGGUGGCCUCUACGGUCUAACACCAUGUUUUGUGGGCUCAGUUCACCACAUGAGCGUUCGCACGCCCAUGUGGCCUCAAUUGCCAUAUUUCCACCUUUUUAGCUUUUCGACUUUUACCUAUUCACAGAAGAGACAAUGUGAUUACACACACUCUUUCGGCUUUACGACAAUAAUGAUUUACGGUGUACAGAUACACACCUGACUGCAAAAUCGAGUGAACAGUUUGCUGCCAAGGCCUACAUUCAUUCAAGGUAUACCGUCAGUUUUCCCAACAUUAACGUUCACAAUACUUAAACCCAAAUCGUCUCUCACUACUCACUUUGAACGAAUGAAAAUUGCUUAAUGCCCUUGGAUCGCAAAAUAAGAAUUGAUCACACGACCUCACCGAUUAUUUUCCUAAACAAUGAAACCUAUAAGACUGGGUUGUUUACAAAAAAUAAGACUUAAGGCCCCAACAUUAAAACGCAGCACCAUCGACGAACAAACCAACUUACCCCCUUCAAAUAUACAAUUGAAAAACGAAAGAAGAAUCUUGAAUGUCUCAGCACUCCUGAGGAACCCUCCUAAAUCGCGAUGAGUGCAGUACGUGAGAAAAGAAAUAACAAUCGGUCAGUAAGGUAAUUCAAAUUUGAGAAAGAAAAGCAGAGAAUAGCUUUUGAUCACUUACCGAUAGUCAGAACCUUUGUAGUAGAUCGACGUAGAGAAAGAUUAACAACAGUGAUAUUCGACCAGCCCAAAAUAGAAGGUGAACAGAAGUUAAAAGAAGAGAAAAGGAAGGUUCGACUAGGCUAUGAAAGAAUCCGAUUACAAAAGAAAAGAGGUAAGGAAAAAUAGAUGUUAGGUUCAGCCAAGAAGAGAAAAAGAGCAUAGCAAAGAUGCAGAGAAGGAAUAACACGAAUGGUCAGUUUCGUAGCAUAAAAAGAACUAGAGGGAACUCGACAAAAAGAUGCACGACUGGUUAGUUUUAGUUCUGGAACUGGAAAAAAAGAAGUUAGAGAGGAAAUUCGGCACCUAUACACUUACCAAUUGCCGAAAUGCACCAAAUGAAUUCCCAUAGCCAAAUUUGCACAUAGAAGUUGCACAAUUCGGCUACAACACUCCUCCUCUCCUCCAAAUCCCUUGAAAAUCUCCUCAAAUCUCUCCCCCUAUCCUCCUUGAUAUCCUCCAUAACAACAUAAAUAUCCUUAUUGCUUGCAAUGAGAUUCAAACCCAAGCUCUUGCAUUAGCCAAUUCACACCACUUGCCUCAUUGCCACAAUCUCUUUUUGUGUCAUAUUUUGUCUUCAAUUAAUUAAAAGGUCUAAAAGCCAAAGUCUAGGUUCCUUUAAAAGAAAAACCAAAUUAAAUUACAAGAGCCAAGACUUAAACCCAAGCUCCCUUAUAACCAUAAUGACGCCAUAGCCACUAGACCACAAGCUUCGUUAUGACAUUUUUUUAACACAAUAAUUUAAAAGGCCUACAUCCAAGCAUCCAGGGUUUUAUCCACUUAAAACCAAAAUUUUUGCUAAAGCCCAGGUUUGAACCCAGGACUUCUCAGACACUUCCAAACACUCUUAAAUCACUUAACCACUGAAGCAGACAUUCAUUUAUGCAUAGUUUCCUAACCGUUCCCUUGCUCAAGGCCCAAUACUUCUAGGCCCAAAUUUCUGGGAGUUAUAGUAUCAUUGUCAAAGGAAAGCUUUCCUUUCCUUUUAUUAUUAUUAUUAUUAUUAUUAUUAUUAUUAUAGAUUUAACCUUGGUUUUAAAUAAAUAAAUAAAAAACUCUUUCAAAUUCAAUGAAAGGGCAAAGCCAAAAAUGAAGAUGAAAAAGAUUAGAGGUAUCAUCCAAUUUAUUAAUUUCUUUACUUUAACAAGGAUGAUUUUAAUCAUCUGAUUCGUUUCGCUAUUAAAUAAAUAUAUAAAAUUUGUUACUCAACUAUGACAUUCGUAUAAUUACAAGUAAUUAUAUUCAAAUUUAAUUAUUAUGUGGUUUUUCAAAUCUGCCCAAAUAAUACCUCAUUAAACUAGAACUUCAUAAGUCCAUAAUAAUUAAAGUUACAGGGAAAUGUUGGAGGUGGUAACUAUCAAUAGAAGAUGCAAUUCAUCUAGGAUUAAGGUAGGGAAAUUGGGACUCCAAAUCUACAGCAGAACAGAGCCUUCCAUCAUCGUAACAACUUUUCCUCCCAGAAGCACUCUAUGAUUCUAGUAAUCUAAAUGGAUCUUUACUAUUCCUCCUCUAGAUGAUGCCUGUGCAAAGCAAGCAACACAAUCAACGUCAUAAUGACAAUGGUUUCGUUGGAUGAUUCAAAGGAAAAGUAAUGGAAGAGAUACCGCAGGCACAACAAAAUCGAACUUCCUCAACUUUUGGCUCCAAUAAAGUUCCAAGGCACAAUGUACACUUCCACAAAUUGGAUCCUGAUAGAUAUGAGAAAGAGAUAUUAGCACAUUUGCAUAAUGAUCCAACGAUGACCAGUGAAAGAGAAUCAUGUUCCAGGCAAGCUAUAUAUGCAUGUAUCCCAAUGUUCAUAAUGCUUCUAUAAGAAAAAAUUCAUCAGCACUUCACUAGCUAUCGACUAAUUUUUUGCAAGUAAUCAUCUUCACCUCAUCAGCUACACUAGACAAACUUGAUAAUUAACGUCAAAAGUUUAUUCCGGGGAAAUAAUUGUGAUACAUUUCAUCACCAUAUUCAAAGGGCAUGGAACAUAAGUUAAGCAAAAACUAUCUGCCUAGAUGAAAUAAAAAGGUUGGAUACUACGACUCACCAUAUUAAAACCACUUUUAGGAUAGAAGUGUUGGUACGUGGGGAUAAAAAUAAACAUGUGAAAAAUUAAUGAAGGCUUUAAGGCAUGUAUCAAUGCCACUUUCUUUAAGGUUCUAUUCGCCCCACCUAUAUUAUGGUGUGAGAAAGAGUUACGGGCAAAUAAACAUUGAGGAUACAAUGAAGCCCAAAGACUGUCUACAUUUUGCACCGACAAAAAUAGUCCAUUGAGCAUUGAGCGAAGUACAAUAAGGAUAUCAAUUUUUAUAAAGAAUUUUUUUAGUAUUUUUUUAUAGAACAAUCUAGGAAUAUAAAAUAUGGUGAGAGAUCAGAAAGAAACUUUUUUUUUAUGUUUUAGGGUUGUCAUGCAAAUGAAACUUCACUCUUAUUUAUAGGAGACCUCAUGUAUCUUCAUAGGGACAUAACUACCCUAAUGGAUAGUCAUAUAUUCAAUAAACGUUAUUAUUCAAUAGAUUUCUACUUGAAUAAUUAGGACUAUUUGUUGAUAACCAAGUGAAUAACUUUUGAUUACUUAUAACUUUUCAUUUGUAAAUAUUGGAACACUAUAUAUUUUGAAAAUGUUCCAACAAUCGUCCCCUAUUUUUAAAAUAUUCUAGAUUUUGAUAAUCUUAGAAAUCAAUUGCAUAAAAGAAGGUGUCUUACGAUUAAACCUUCACUUAGUGAAAAUAUGUUAAAUUUAAUCAAAAUUGCAUGCUAAACUAUGCUUUGAACCAACUAUUCUACUUGAUUAACCAAACACAUCUCAUACUAUGAUUUUAACAAUAGUCAAUGCACAAUAUCCAAGGACACUAUUAUGGCCAUGUAUUUGUAACCUCUUUCAUUAGUGCUUUUAGAGCCAUGCCCUUGAGCUCCUAGAAGUGGCCACACUUCCACUCAUAUAGGUUGAUCCCAUCAAGAGUGUUCCCAUAAUUAUAACUCUUUAACAUAUUUAUGUUAUGGGUAUAUUAAGAGUAUAAUACUCAUCAUUUCCCUUAUCAUUACGGAUACCUAACACUUUUUACCUUGAGAUGAUAUAUUAUAUAUUAUUUUAUAGUGAUAGCGGUCACAUAUCGAUGAUGUAAUUUUUCUUAUUGAACUCAAGACUUGACGUUAUACCAAGCAUUGAAUUGAGUUUCCGUCAUGGGUGACUCAAAUAUUAUAGGCUUGUACCUCAUCCCUAAAUUUUUAAAUUCUCAACAUAGUUAUGUUAAUUGUCCAUACCACAUGGUGAAACUUUAUAUUUAUUUGUGUCUUAAAAAUUCACAAGACCAACAUCCCUAACACAUUUAGUUACCCAUCCUUUCGCAAAAGAAUGAUAUCAAAGAUAUUUUUUUUCUUAUCAUGAAAAUUUCAUAUUUGGUUACUUUAUUUAUUUCUUGAUAUCCAAUAAAUUAAUUUCACAAACACCAAAUAUAUGAAACCAUACAUCAUGUAUUUUUCACCAAGUAAGUUGUUGUAAAGAGGCCUUGAAUCCCUUGGUGAAACCUUAAAACCUUUUUUUCACCAAGUAACAUAUUUACUAUUUGUCAUAGCUUCUUUUCAAAGUCAGUACAUGACUUUAAAACUUUUUUUUUUGUAUUCAUAGUCAAAUAAUAAUAUUAUUAUUUCUUAACUCACCAUAUAUAUAUACACAAUGCUGUAACAUAUAUAGUCAUAUUAUAGGACCAUCAAUUGUCCAAUCAAGUAACUAUAAAAUCACACAUUUAUUCACCCUUUACCAUGGACAUUAUCAAUUAAUUUUUGACUAUGAUUAAAAUAAUGUCCAUCACCUAAAUGGGUCAAAUAGCAUUCACCUAAAUGACUCAUGAUUGCCAAAGUAAAUUUCAAAAUUUAAUACAUUUAAAAAAAUUAUAAAACCAUGGGAUUAUAGAUUAUAUCCAAGCAAUAUAUAAAUACCAAGUGCAUCAUCAUAAGCAUGCACAAUAUAAUCUCGUUUUCAAAUAUAUGAUUAUCAUGUUCACAUUUCCACUAGAAGAUUACAUACCCAAAUAGUGAUUUUGUGAUAUCAACUAAUGUUUUCCACUAUUCUACCUUGCUAUAAAAUUUAACCAUAUAUAUGCAUAUAAUUUAUUUCAUUUCUAGUCAAAACCACUUCUAGUCCAAACUUUAUAACAUAGAAUAAAAAUGUGCAAUCAUAUAUAAAACUUAUUUAGCUUAAGGUUAUUUAACAAAAACAACAAUCAAAAUUAUUUAUAUUAUAUGAUCAUCUACAAAAUUUCAUUUUUAGCAAUGAAAAUAAUGUCUCAUUAAUAUCAUCCAAAUGCUUGUUACUAAUAUCAUGAUUUGAAUAAACAAAUAAUUUCAUAUCUCAAGUUAAAUAUAUAUCAAGAAGAAUAAAUAACAAGAUUUUCACUCAUAAAUUAGAUGGAAUGAGUUAUAUUUCAAUUCUCCCAACUUAUUUUCUAUUUAUAAAGCAUUGAUAGGUGCCUAAGUGAUUCUUUAAAAAGAUAUCACUUUUUAAGUUGCACUUUUUGGUUUCAUGAAACCAUUCAUCCAACCUUUUAAAAAUAUUCGUUGGACCAAGUGAGACAACUUUUCGAUUUGGGAAGGCUCACUCGAAUGGUCAUAAUGCUUUUGUUGAACAAAAGUACGUUCAAUUAAUUUUUGAACAAUGUCAUCACUAUUCAAAAUGAAAGUAACUUUUUCAUUCCAUCUUCUUUCUUUCUUUCUUUCUUGCAUAAUAUAUAUAUAUUAUGAUAUAAUUUAAUACCAAUCAUAAUCAUGCAUCUAAAUAAUCAUGCAUACAAUGAACUUGCAUCUGAGUUUAUUUUUGUCAAGUAAUUGAUGCAAGAAACACCCACAUCUUUUACAUAAUACAAUAUAGUAGACACAUGACAAUUGAAAUCUAAUUAUGCAAUAAGAGUAAAAUAAUAAAUUUGACAUACCUUUUCUUGCGAGAAAUAUUUCUUCUAAAUUAAAAUUUGAAAAGAUCAUUGAUCUUUAUGAAACCAUAAUUACCGAUAUCCAUCCUUAUAAUACCAUGCUUUUAGUUGUUAGAUCUAGUGCCCUAAGUGUAGUAUUUUUGUUAAUAAAAACUUGUAAUUUUUUGAAUAGAUUGAUUAAUAAGAAAACUUCAUUGAUUACAUUAAUAUACUUUAUAUAUUUGUCUUCACAUGGUUUUUGCACUCGAAACAAAAUGGAAGCAAAUGUUGCUCAUUGGUUGUCUAAAUGUUUAACUAAUACUAAGCGGUAUUAUGUGGUUGGAUCGUAGUACGAAAAGACAAAUUGUAUUCGCAGAUGAAAUUAAACAUGUCCUUAGUCUAAUCAGAAAUGAGCAAACCGAUUGAAAGACUAAUAUGUCAUCUAUCAAGUCCAAUUGAGGAUAUGCAUUGUCUUGGGCAUCAGAGCGAAUGACUCUUAGAAGAUAGAGACAUAGAUGUGACUGAUUGGACUUACAGUACAUUAGAUAGGAGCCAAGAAGAAUAGAUCCUAAAUCUGUUUAUGGAUUUAUUCACUUGUGAUGUUUAUAUUGUGACAUACCUAAAUCUUGAGUGGAUGGCAGACUAUGUAUACGUGACUUAUACACUUUGAUGUAAGUAACAGCCUAAGUUCAAAUAGAUAAAGAACUGAAAACUGGUGUGUUAGGUGUAUGACUUUUUUAGUAUGUAGCGUCAUUCACAAUAGUGGAAUUCAUAACCCCAAUCAUGGGUAAAUGACAUCCUCUCAUUAGCAUUACAUGGUUGAUGAACAGUAAACGAGGCCACGAGUCAUCUAUCUUUGUGAUAGAUUACUUGAUCACUAUUUGAUAGUGAUUGACUUUUAUGAAAAAAGAUGUCAUGUUUACCAUGAGAUAAAGUAGGAUCAUAUUGGGAGAAUGGAUAUUAUCUCAAAGAGAUCAAGGAUAUCUUAUGAGGGUAACACACUUAUGACAAGGUCAUUGGACGAGUACUGGGUAGUUGCUUUCAUAAUGGUAUGUCGUUGAGGAGAGCUUAGUCACAAUACUAUAGUGGAAUGACUUCGUGAGUAAAUGAGUUUAUAAUUAAUAGGUAAAAAGUUGAAACUUAAUUAUAAAUCAUUUGAUCUUCAAACACAUAUGUAAAAUCGAUCCCUCCACUAGCUCGUUGAAACCAGACCUGAAUUACGUGUUUGAAUAAAAAUGAACGAAAUGAAUAAAAAAGAGAAAUGAGAAACAUUCAGGAAUGAUUAUGGUUUUAUCUGAAACAGAGAAAUGAAAUCAUUUGGAAAUGAAUGUAGGUUUCUAAAAAUAGAAAUGAAAAUGAAAAUGGAAAUGUAAACUUGCAAUCCUAUAUAGGAUUACUUAAAAACUGAUGGAAGAAUGAUUUUGUUUUUGGAUUGUUUUGAAGCCCGAAAAUGAAAAUAAAUUAUUCAGUCAUAGUGAACAUGUUGAGUUAUGACAUAUUGAACGAAUUUUCUCGAAAUUUUGCCGGCGGUAAAAUCUUCAAAAUUUUAUUGGGGUAAAAUUGAGGUGAGAAAAUUAUUUGAUAUGUAGAUAUUAAAGUUUAUUUUGGGAAAUAGAAAAACUCAAUCAUAUUGAAACAUAUUAUAGAGUACUGGGUCAAAAAAGCCUAGGAAGUACUCGCAAUUGGACCCGAUGUGAGAGAGGCCUAAAAACACUCAUAUAACAUGAAAGGGGCGGCAACCCUAGUAGAAAUACAAGGGUGAAUCGUUCACCCCUCUCCUGUAACACCACAUACCCAUUCCGAUUACCGCACCCGAGCUACGAGAUGCUACAAAUAAAUCUGGAACAAUCACAUGCAAUUUAAAACAUAUAAUGAUCAUAUAAAUACACACAUUAAUUAUUAAAAAUCAACACGAAACUAAAUUGAGCUUCUAAAUAUAAUAUAUUAGAUUCGAGCAUGAAAAAGGACCAAACUAUAUAUUUUCAAAAACUUUGAACCUAGUAUCGAUACCAAAAAAAUAAGUAUCGAUAUGUUUGCGAUAGGUGUCAAUACCAAAAUCAAUAUCGAUAACAUUUUGGCAUUCUGUAAGUUGAAAACACUGUUCAUUUGAUCAAGUAUCGAUACCUUGAUCCCUGGUAUCGAUACUUUUAUCCAGGUGGUCAAAAAGGACAAGUUUGAAAAUUCAUUUCAUGCCCAAACCUAAUCUUAAUUCAUAGAUACUGUAACGCCCAAGAAUUCAAGUAUUUGAUUUGUUGGAUUUAGUCAAUAAAUAGGUGUGUGUUUCAAUGGUUGUGAGCCUUGAGUAGGAGGGUGAGGUCAUGGUUUGAGACUUGGUGAUAACUUAUGAGAGUCUAUUUAUUUUUGCUUCUCACGUAGGUUGGCCAUUUAGUAGAAGUAGGGUCAUGUUAGGAUUUUGUUUAGUGGGAGGUGUUUAGAAGUGGGGUGCUAAUUUAAUUCCUAAAAUCCCUCAACUUUAUUCCCAGGUCUCUCAUUUUUUUUAAUUUUAUUAUUCCAUUUUGUUCUCCACGUUCUUUUUUUUCUUUACUGCUACUAUUUUGUUGACUUCUUUUCCUCAAAAUUUUUUUUCGAUUCUUGAUUGUGGGAUUCUAUCUUGUGCCACGCUAAGACUACUCAUAAACUUGAAACUCUAAUUCUUGUUGUAUUAAAUUCCUUCGGUGAUGGUUUCAUAGUGUAAGGUAAGGUUUAAGUUCUGUUUCCUUUUAUGUUUAUUUGUAUUUUGGUUGAUGGUGGUGAAAGCUAUGGAUUAGUAGUUUGAUUUCUAUGAAUGUGUUGUUUAGGAGAAGAUCGAGAAUCAUUAGGUUUUCCUCUAAUGACCUAAUUUCGUUGGUGGAUUGUUGCUUUUGAUUGAAGGUAAGAGGUUAAUUUGAGUUGUUAGGUUGAAAAUUUUCAAUUAGAACUUUGAGGUUAACUGUAACGAUUUUGUGAGUCAGAUUUGGUAAUGGUAAAUGUGGCUGAUUUGGUGAACUAAUGGUCGAUUUUAGGUUCUAGACGACUCGUAGAAGUUUUGGCAUCGAGUUUAGGUUAGGUGUGUAAUGAGAAACUCGAAAAAUAGUGAAUAGUGAAAGUUGAAAUUAGGCUCUGUCGACGCCACACGGCCAUGUGCCAGACCGUGUGUGACACAUGGCCAUGUACGAGAACGUGUGUGACACACGGUCUAGGCCAGUUUUGUUCGUGUGGACCACACGAGGGUGUGUGGGCCAUGUGUGACACACAGUCUAGGCUAGUUUGGUUCGUGUGGGCCACAUGGGCAAGCCAUUUUGGGUCGUGUGGGCCACACGGGAGUGGGCCACACGGGUGUGGGCCACACGGGUGUGGGCCAAAAAUUCAGAAAUUUUCCCUAGGAUCUGUUAUUUUGUUUAGAUCUGACUAUGGGGUGGUAUAUAUAUAUUAUGUGGAGGUAGUGUUUUGUGUGAGGCGAUAUCUCGCCACUAUACUAGCAGCACUGCUGCAAUUAUGUUGAAAAGUGUCGUAUGGACACUAAGUGGUGUGUAGGGCUGGGUGGGUGUCUUAUACCCCACAUGGUGUGUUUGGAUGGUCAGAGCUGGUGUGUAGACGUUGGGGGUAGAAUUAUAUAUAUCUGCAUCUAUACUAUUCUGAUAUGAUUCUGAUGCUGUAUAAGAAGUAUGUCUGUAUCUAUUCUACCGUGUAAUUAAAUCUGAAAUUAUGUUUUCUUAUGAGUUACACAUUGAGUUAUAAAAAAUCACUCUCUGUUUGUCUGAUAAUUUCAAGUAACCCUCAGACUUAGGCGGGUUGGUGUGACGGGAGCUCGGUUACGUCCAUUCUUCCAUAAACUAAUUUUUCUUAAAUUAAACUUAUUUAAAAUUUUGGUUUGAUUGUUUUGUAAAUUUUGGAUUCUCUAGACUUUUGGGAUUUAUUUUUUGUUUGGAUUUUAUCUUGGGAUUUCUAGCAUGACAUUUGAUAAAACGACUAUACGAAAAUGACUAUUUUUCUGCAGUCAACUAUUUUCGAGAAAACAAAUUCAGUUUUCCAAAAUCCAACGUUUUAAGAAAUUUCGUUGCAAAAUAUUUAGUUUAUUAAGAAGAUGUAAACAAAUAACGAUUUUAAUUGAAAAGGUAUGAUAGACACAAUUUCCAAUUAAAAUGGGCUUUUUUAGUAACAAAGGUUCGUGCUGUUUUUAGUAAAUGAAAGCUAGAUUUCAAUCUAUUUUGUGUAAACACUCCAGAUUCAGCCAUAAAGUUUAGGCCGGGUUGGGGGUGUUACAGAUAGAAAUAGGUGCACAUAUGACCUGUAUAAAACUCUCUCAAUUCAUUACAAACAUGCCAUAAUUCAACCAUGAUCUAUUAACCAUCUUAUCUAUUACAAUUAAUAAGUAAGUAUGCAAUUAGAUACCAUUAUCCUUAUACUAACCAAUAUGCCAUUUGGCACCAUCACAAAAAAAUUCAAACAUAAAAUCAAUUGUACAUUCAAGCAAUUUAACUAAAAAUGCAAUCAUCAUAUGAAACUUAUUUCAUCUUCAAUAAGGUUCCAAAUCCAAUUACCAAAAUCACUCAUUCAUGCUACUUAAUAGUGAUAAAUAUAAGCACUUCUAGAACCACAAGUUACCAAUACCAAAUGAACAUUUCCAUAUCAAUUCACAAAUAUGAUAUCAAAACCAAAACAUGCCUACCAUUCAAAUGACACAAACCACAUUCAGACGAAAUAAGAUAAACAUGAUAAUUCUACUAUUUACUCUACAUUCAACACAAGAACAACAUGAAACACAAGAUUACAUCAUAUUCCAACAUUCACUAAUUUACAUAUUUAACUAAAACCUUAAAUUUGAAAACCUCAAAACCUUAUAUACAUGCCAUAAACCAAAAUGACCAAGUAAAAAAAAACAGAAGGUUGAUAGUGUGAGCCUUGAACUUGGUUCGUUCGACCAGUUCCGCAAAAAAACAAACUAUAAAAAACAAUAAAUAUAACAAAGUAAGCUUAUAUAGCUUAGUCAUUUCAUAAUUAUUUAAACAAAAUUCUUACCUCAGUUUACAAUUAAGUAAAUAAAUAUAACUAAUUUAAUACAUAUUUCCUAUCAAGUCAUUUACAACAAUAAGGUGAGCGUUUCACAUAUCAUUUGUAUAAUCUCUCAACCAUUCAAUACAACAUAUUUUAGUAUCAUUCAAUUAGGAAAGAUUAAACAUAUAAAUCGUAUUAACCAAUUGCUCAUGUCGAUUCAUAUUCAUAUUCCAUUUCUUUUAUUCACACAACUUUCUCACUAAUAUUGCAUUUAUCAGGUAAGCGUUAAUACAUAUAACUAUAAACUUUCCAAUCAUUUUAAUAUCGUUUCUAACAACUCUUAAACAUAUAAUUAUUAGUUAUUUAAUUUCAUCACUUAAAAUUACAAUAUUCAUAUAAACAUAUCAUCUCUAAAUAAUUCAUAAAUUUAAUACAUAUAUAUAUUCAUCAUAUGGCCCGAUAAACUAAAAUAAAUAGAUACAGAUACAUGGGUAACUAUACCACACUAGAAUGCUCGUAAGAUUUCAAACUACAACACACCAGAGCAACGGAGUGUAAAGCCCAUAGGCAUCAUAUAAUUAGUAUCAAUACAUCCCUCGACCACACCAGUAUAACUCGGUAAUCCGCAACAAAUGCUAGAUUCCAGUAUAAUCAAUAAUAUCUCUGUACAAUUACAUAUAUCCCGUUGAUGGUACUAGAAAGAAUAUAUGUUUUCUCCCUACUUAUUGAUUAAUUUGUCCCCAUUUAGUUAUCUUUAGCACAUAUUUUAUCAUUUUCAGUUCAGUAAAUUACAUUUUAUAAAUUAGUGGACCUUAGCCUAUUUAUCCUUAAUUUUUUCAUGUUUUGGUACCAAUGUCGCUGCAUGAGCAUUUUCAGAUUGUGCCUAGAAUUGUCAUCGCACCUGAUAACUGUCCGGAUAAGAACAAAAAUGUGUGCGCUGUUCAGUCUAGUAUGGCGGCUAUGGCAACUUUUGAAGCUUUUUGCCUAUGUCGGCUUAAGCCUCCUACAGGUGAACCGACAUGAAAGGAAUGCAACUUAGCUCUUGACGAGGAGCCCUGAGUGCGACAUAAGAAAGAAUAGAGAGAUUCAAGUCGAGUUGUCUAGGAAUAGUAUUAUCUACUUGUUUCUUUUAUUUUUCUUUUCUAAACGCUAGUGAUUACUUUCUAUUUCAUGUUAGUACGGAAGUACACAUGAUUUUUGGGUUAAAUGUUAUUUUAUUCAAUCUUGCUUCUACUUUUUAAUCUUUGGGUUUGAAUAUUUUUAGCAUAGAAGUGUUAAUGUGAUCACUGCCACUAGAAGGUGCAGCGACAGUUCAAGCUAACAAGCAUGACAACGAAAGUUGCUUGAAGAUUAGAGGAAUUUAAUCCACCUAUUCUUAAUAGUGUUCUAUUGCCAUCAUCGGAAAGUGUGGUUAAUGUGCAUGUUUAAGUCUUAAAUUAAAUAUAGAAGUUAAGCUUGGUAAGAUAUUCAUUGCAAAUUACUGCAUCGACAAUCACCUAUCCUUUUACACCUUGUGAACACUUAGUAUUCUGUUGAAUAUUCACAUUGGGGAUCCCAGUUUAUCAUUAUCAUAUUUUAUCUUAUUGUUUUCAAGUUAUUGCUUCGACAACUACUCUCACAACUUAUCUCGUUUCUAUCUAUUUAUUGCACUAACAUUUAUAGACAAAAGACAACCAUCCUUGUAGGUUCGAUAUCCGAUAGACUCAUAUCUGUCUACUAUACUUACAUCGACAAUGUAUGCUUGCACAUUAUUACUGUGACGUUAAACAGCCGAUCAAGUUUUGGCGUUGUUGCUAGGGAUGGCAUUUGUUUGAUGUUUUUUUUUGUUUUUAUUUCAUAAUAUUUAGUUGUUACUAACUUGUUUUAUUUUUGCCGCUAUUUUCACAUUUUAUUUUAGGUGUUGUAUGACUCGAAGCAAUUCAGAGUUUAUUGUCGAUUUUUAAUCCAGAAAUUGAAAGAACAGUUCGAAGGAGACUUCGAGAACAAAGGAAUAUGGCUUUACCAAGAAACUAUGAAGUCAUACCCCUGAUGCAGCAACUAAAUGCUAAUGACCCACCAUUCCUGCAAGACUCUCAAAUACAAAACAGGACUAUACGAGACAUUGUAGUACCUGUCUUGGAUGACUUACAACUGGGGGUUGUUAGGCCAACAAUCCAAACUGGAAAUUUUGAACUCAAGCCAGUAAUGUUUCAAAUGCUGAAUUCUAAUAGGCAAUAUGCGGGACUACCUCAUGAGGAUGCUUGAGAACAUUUUAAAUCAUUUUUAUUGAUUUGUGCUUCUUUUAGUCAACAAGGUGUUCCUGAUGACUCUUUGAAGAUGAAAUUAUUUCCUUAUUCCUUGCAGGGAAGAGCUUGUACUUGGUUUCUUGGGCUACCUGCCGGAUCAAUUACUUCUUGGAAUGAGCUAGCAACAUAGUUUGUUUUACGAUUUAACCCACCGAAAAUGAAUACUCGCCUCUGAAAUGACAUUAUAACUUAUCAUCAGCUAGAUGAUGAGAAUCUUCACACUACAUGGGAACGUUAUAAACCUUUGCUUCGACGUUACCCCAUACACGACAUUCAACAAGAAACAUAAAUUGAGAUUUUCUAUAAUGGGCUAAAUUCACACACAAGGAAUCUUGUCGACGCAUCAGCUAAUGGUCCUUUGCUGGAUUGUACUUAUAAUGAUGCUAUUGGAAUUCUGGAGAGAAUUACUUAGAAUGAUUACCAAUACCCUACCUCUAGAGCUGCACAAGCAAAAGCUACUCCGAGAGUUAUUGAAUUGGACGCAAUAUCUGCACUUAGUGCUCACGUUUCUUCUCUUGCAAAUCUAAUAAAAAAUAUGCAAGGGACUAGUGACGUUGCACCCAUACAAGUCACUCAACAAGUUGAUGUUCCUACCUUUUGUUGUGAAAUUUGCAGUGAGAACCAUAGCUAUGAUGAUUGUCCAAAACAUGCAGAGAAUGCCUUUUAUGUAAGUAACAUCCGCAACAAUUCUUAUGACAACUCUUAUAACAAUUCUGCACGCAAUCAACAGUCUUGGGGAACUCAGAAUUCUGGACAAAAUGCUACGACAUUCCGAUAUAGGAAUAUAUCUACUCAAGGCAAUUAUAAUCCAAGACAAGGGAAUUACAAUAAAAAAUAGUAGAAUUACAAUCAAUAUACUCAGAGACAUCCUUAAAAAACAAAUCCACACUAGAAUCAGACGCAACAAUAAUAUUCUUCAAUGCCAAAUCAACAUGUUCAAGAACAUCGACGAAAAUAGUACACGUAAGCUUGUCCUUCUGACCCUUUAGCAGCUCUUGAGGCUUUAAUGAGGGAGCAUAUGACUUGCACAGAAGCUAUUGUGCAAGGGAAUUCAUCUUCUAUUUGGGCUUUGGAGGCAUAAUUAGGACAACUUGCUUCGAAUCUGAAUACUUGACCACUGAGCACACUACCUAGUGACACAAAAAAUCCUAGUCCAAGAGGGAAAGAACACUGUAAGGCUAUCACGCUUAAGAGUGGUAAACAAACCGGUGAGCCAACUACAGGCUCUACUAUAGCACCUCAAGAUACUAGUAAAGUGAUCCCCGGUGAAAAGGUUGAAUUUGAAGAGCUUGUUGAUGUAUCAGACAAAAACGUUCCAUAAUUUGUCACUCAUAUGCCUAAUAUCUGACCCUCAAAACAUUUGAUGCAAUCAAAGGUGUCAGCGCAAUCAGAUGUAUCUCCAUAUUUGCCUUUUCCACGAAGAUUCAGGGAGAACGAGCAGGAUAAGCAAUACCAAUAAUUUCUGAACACACUAAAGCAACUUCAGGUCAAUAUUCCUUUAUUAGACGCUCUUGUGCAAAUUCUAAAUUAUGAGAAAUUUAUGAAGGCGUUCUUGUCCAAAAAGAAGAAGCUCAGUGAUAUGGAAACUAUUAUACUCAUAGAAGGCUGUAAUGCUGUUUUGACUAAUAAGUUGCCCCCUAAAAUGAAAGAUAUUGAGAGCUUUACUAUCCCAUGUUCAAUUGGCAACCAUUAGUUGGGCAAGGUUUUAUGCGACUUGGGAGCUAGCAUCAACCUAAUACCACUAUCUACUUUCAAAAAGUUGGGAAUUGGUCACAUGAAACUUACUGCAGUGACAUUGUAACUAGCUGCUCAAUCUUUAGCUCAACCUGAAGGGAAAAUCAAAGAUAUCUUAGUUCAUGUGGAUAAAUUUAUUUUUCCGGCUGAUUUUAUCAUACUUGACUGCGAGGCAAACAAUGAGGUUCCCAUAAUCUUAGGACGACCAUUUUUAGCCACCGGACAAACCCUUAUUAAUGUUUACAAAGGUGAACUAACCAUGCGACUUAAUGAUGAGCACGUUACCUUCAGUGUUUUUAAAUCUAUUCAAUGCAAGGAUAAAAAAGAAUGCCAUAUUGUCAAUGUGCUAGAUGAUCUAAUUAAGGAAGAAUUUAAUAACCAAAGUAUAAUACUUUCUGAGGAGUUUGUAGUGACAUCUGAUGAUGAAUUCUUAGAUAAUUGUGACAACAUAGUUGAAGCUAAUAAUAUUGAACCCAGGCAUGGAUGGUAGAUUGAAUGCUUAGACUUAGCCAACAGAAUAACUCCAAUUUUCAAGCCAUCUAUCAACAAAGCUCCUAUUUUAGAAUUGAAACCACUACCUACUCAUCUUAAAUACGUCUUUCUUAGUGAUAACAAUACUCUCCCAGUUAUUGUCUCCGUAACAAUGGAUAUAACUCAAGAAGAGAAAUUGGUUUAAAUUCUUAAGCAACAUAAAUGAGCUAUUGCUUAGAGUAUUGCCAAUAUCCGAGGCAUUAGUCCAUCUUUUUACAUGCACAAGAUCAAGUUGGAAGAUGAAGGCAAGUAAUCGAUUAAGCAACAAAGAAGACUAAACGAGAAGAUGAAAGAAGUGGUUAAGAAAGAAAUUAUAAAAUGGCUUAAUGCUGGAACUAUUUACCCUAUUUCUAAUAGAAAUUGGGUAAGUCCAGUGCAAUGCGUUCCUAAAAAGAGUGGCAUCACUGUGGUUAGCAACUACAAAGACGAAUUAAUUCCUACACGCAUUCUUACGGGAUGGCGAGAUUGUAUGGAUUGUCGCAAACUUAAUGCUGCCACAAGGAAGGACCACUUUGCACUUCCUUUCAUUGACCAAAGACGAAUUGGGUAAGUCCAGUGCAAUGCGUUCUUAAAAAGAGUGGCAUCACUGUGGUUAGCAACUACAAAGAUGAAUUAAUUCCUACACACAUUCUUACGGGAUGGCGAGUUUGUAUGGAUUGUCGCAAACUUAAUGCUACCACAAGGAAGGACCACUUUGCACUUCCUUUCAUUGACCAAAUAUUGGACAGGUUUGCUGGAAGAGCCUAUUACUGCUUCUUAGACAGCUAUUCUGGGUACAAUCAAAUUGCUAUUGCACUGAAGGAUCAAGAGAAAAAAACUUUCACCUGUCUCUUUGGUACUUUUUCUUUUCGACAUAUGUCUUUCGGUCUUUGCAACGCACCAGCCAUAUUUUAAAGGUGCAUGAUGGCAAUAUUCUCGGAUAUGAUUAACGAUUCUUUAAAGGUUUUUAUGGAUGAUUUCUCUGUCUACAGGAAUAAUUUUGAUCAUUGCGUUGACAAUUUGGAUAAAGUAUUGCAAUGAUGUGAAGACACACAUCUUGUUCUAAAUUGGGAAAAAUGUCAUUUCAUGGAAAUUGAAGGCAUUGUGUUAGGCCAUUGCAUCUCUAGUUAAGGCAUUGAAGUAGAUAAAGCUAAAGUGAAAAUCAUUCAGAAACUACCUCCACUAAAAAAUGUGAAAGGUAUUCACAGUUUUCUUAGGCAAAUGGGAUUACCGAAGCUUUAUUAGAGAUUUCUUGAAAAUUUUAAAGCCUUUAUGCCAUUGCGAGAACAGAAUCGAAAAUUUCUCUUUGAUGAUGCAUGUCUAGAGGCAUUCAUUCAAUUAAAGACAUAGCUAGUAAAUGUACCCAUUGUCGUUGCACCAGAUUGGUCUCAACCUUUUGAAAUUAUGUGCGAUGCAAGUUACUUCACUAUGGUUCCUAUUUUAGGACAACGCAAGGGAAAAAUAUUUCACGCCAUCUAUUAUGCUAGCAAAACUCUUACAGAGGCUCAAUUAAGUUAUACCACUACAGAGAAAGAAUUUUUGGUUGUAGUCUUUGCUUUUGACAAGUUUUGUUCAUAUUUUGUCGGUGCAAAGGUUACCAUAUUUACUGAUCACUCGACGUUGAGAUAUAUUUUUGCGAAGAAGGAUGCAAAAUCAAGAGUGAUACACUGGAUCUUACUGUUGCAAGAAUUCAACAUCGAGAUAAAAUAUCGCAAAGGCUAAGAGUCUCAAGUUGUAGACCAUCUAUCUCGAUUGGAAGUUGGCAGCGAAGAUGAAAACAUACUUCAAAUUGUCGACACAUUCCCAAAUGAGAAGUUAUUUGUUGUAGAUGCAACCCCUUGAUAUACGGAUUUGGUUAAUUAUCUAGUGUGUGGAAAACUCCUAUUGGGUGUCACAGGCCAUAAAAAAUAAAUAUUUCUUUCUUGAAGUAGUGAAGUAUCAUUGGAACGAGCCGUAUUUAUUCAAGGCAUGCAAUGACAACAUUAUUCGGCGUUGUGUUCCGGAAGAGGAGAUGCUUUCAAUCUUGAAGCACUGUCAUAAUGCUCUUUAUGGAGGUUAUUUCGGUGGCAUGCGAACUACUGCUAAGGUUUUGCAAUCAAUAUUUUACUAGCUUUCAUUAUUCAAAGACGCCCACAAUUUUGCGAAUCAAUGCGAUAGGUGUCAGCGCACUUGGUCUAUAUCCCGACGAAAUGAAAUGUUGCAACAGCCAAGUGGUAGCCGCACUGAAGAGAUAUAGAGUUAAUCAUAGAAUGGCUACUACGUAUCAUUUUCAAACUAAUGGACAAGCCGAAGUAUCGAAUCGAUAAAUUAAAAACAUUCUUGAGAAAGUUGUGAACCCUUUCAGGAAAGAUUAGUCUUCCAGACUGGAUAACGCUUUAUGGGCAUUGCGGACAGCAUACAAAACUCUAUUAGGGAUGUCGCCAUAUCAAUUUGUUUUUUGGGAAAGCAUGUCACUUGCCAGUUGAAUUGGAGCACAAAGCAAUGUGGGCAAUUAAGCAAGUGAACAUGGACUAUGGAGCUGCUGGAAAGAAAAGGCUGUUGGAUAUCACUGAACUAGAGGAGAUUAGAAGAAAUGCCUAUGAAAAUGCUGUAGUUUACAAGGAAAAGACCAAACGAUGGCAUAACAAAAUUAUUUUGCAGUGACAAUUUAUCAGGGGACAACUAGUUUUAUUAUUCAAUUUUAGACUAAAAUUGCACCAAGGUAAAUUACGCUCUCGUUAGUCUAGACCUUUCGAAGUUGUCGAAGUAUUUCCUCAUGGUGCAGUCACAAUCAAAUAUUUACAUGGACACCUGCUCAAAGUGAAUGGAUAGUGGUUAAAACACUAUUUUGGGAAUAUUAAUCAAAAGUAGGUAGAGAUCAUUAAAGUGGUCGAAAAAUUUUAAUUUUUAUAGAAUUUAUCAUUAUGCUAUUUUAUUUUAUUAUUAUUUUUUUGUUUUUGUUCAAGCUUGUUUUUUUUUUUGCAGAAUAAUUAAGUACCACUGUCGACGCACUUGGGCUUUAUUGUCAACGCAGUUCAUCCGAUUGUACUGUCACUUAUGACUCAUCAAGAAGGAGGGCAUAUCAGAAACUUUAGAUCCCACUGUUUGAUCAAAAGUCACCUAGCCGUCUGAUCUGGCUGAGCGGGCGCAAUUCUCAUUUGACAUAUUUGUUCUCUGCCAGCUUUAUAUCCCACCACAAAAGUCACGCCUUUCCAUCUUCUUUCACUCGCUAUAAACCCCCUUCAUUGUGCCGAAUAUAACACUUACAAAACAACCAUUUUUAUUCACUUUCUCUUCCCCAAGUUCGUACCUUUACAACUUUAAACCAUCUUCACUCCACAGAACAAAAAAAAUAUGGAAAGAAUGAAAGGAUUAGUCAAGAAAGCCACCAAGCCUGUUGAAUAACAUUCAUCCUCUGCAACUACAGUUUGUGAAUCGAAAUCUUACAUGCCAACGAAGAAAAAGGAGUCGAUGAUCUUUUUAAUGAAAGCGGCCAAGGACUGAUAUCAAGACAACAUUUUGAAGUGACAUUUCCACCCAAAAAAGGGCAUUCUCCUUUCGCAACUAUAAGACUUAGGCAAGCAAGUCUACAAAACCAUCUCUAAGAUGAAGUGGAAGACUUUUUGCACUCAUCCUGGAAGCUAUUCUCGUUCAUUGGUACAUGAAUUUUACACUAACCUUUAUGACCAUGAGUUAGAUUUUGUCUUUGUUUGAGAAGGCUUAAUCCCAUGAGAUGCUAAAAAAAUCAAUGAGUUGUACAACACUAAAGUGGAUGUAGAUGAACGUUCCAAGUUUUUUAAGGAUAUCACUGACGAUAAAAGGGACCUGUUGGUGAAGCAUUUAUGUCUCGAAGGAGAAUUGUGGACGGGUUCACAUCAAAAUAAUUAUACAAUGCACCGCUGCUUCCUGACACUGCAAAGAAAAAUCUGGUUUCAUUUUGUCAACUGCAGGCUACUGCCCUCUACUCACAACACCACAGUCAACCUCAAUAGAAUGUGCCUGAUACAUACCAUUAUCAAGGGCAAAAAGAUUGAUGUCGGUGUAAUACUCCAUUGGGAAAUUGUUGACUGUGCCACAAGGCAAUUUGGAAUUUUGGUUUUCCCGUCAUUGGUGGUGCUACUGUGCCAACAAAAAAGGGUCGUACCUUGUGUUGAUAAAGAGAUCCUUAAGAAUAAGGGUCUGAUAAAUGAAGCUUUUAUUGAAAGAAUAACUCGUGGCAAACAUACACUAACAAUAAAGGAGGCAGAGACCAGUAAGACAUGAAAGGGAAAAACCAAGGCAGAAACUAGUGGAACAAACAUUACUGCAGAGACAUCAUUGUUGCACAAAAUGCAGGAUAUAGAGAAGUUGGUUAAUUCCAUCAGUAAUAAGCAGAUCAGCUUGUCGCUGCAAUAAAGGAUAUGGACAGAUCAAAAAAAAUUUUCUAUGCUUAUACCAAGGCCUAUAACAACACUAUUGUAACCACAUUAAGUCAGUUAAGCCUGGCCCUACUCUCAGAAUUUCCAGUGUUUGCACCGAUCAUCCAAGAUUAUGAACCCUCAUCUGAGGAAGAUAACUUAAGGGACCGAGACAGAUCGAUGGAAUCCCUUUCCAUUAUGCAUGACUCUAAUGAUGAGAAAGAAGAAGACUCAAGGGACAUUGAGGAAUAUAUACGAAGGGGUGAUAAACUGGCCGAGGGUGACUUCAUUACUGGUCAAGAGGCACCUAUUGUUGAAGAGGAAGUUGCUGUGAGAGAGGAGGAAGUCUGUGUUGUAGUUGUGAACAAGAAGGUUGAUGAAGAAAAUGUUGAGAAAGAAUCUGCUGAGAACAUUUUCAAUGCAUUCAAGAUUCUGGGUGCAACUAGUGAUAAUUUGGAGUGAGAUGGAGCUAGACCAGCGGAAGCUACAGAGGUAACCAAUGAGUAGCACCAAAAUUCAUUAGAGAUAGUGUUUUAUACUAGACCACUCAAGGUGACCCUUCCUACGCAAGAAGCAGCUGAUGAUGCCAAGGCAGCAUCGAAAAUUGAGGAGCGAUCCGAGGAUCGUACGAAGCCCAAAGAAAAUAAGAGAAAGCACUCCAAAGACAAAAAGUGCAAGAAGGAUGAGAAAAAGAAAAGGAAGAAGAAACAUCGUGUAGCCACAUUGAUGGCCCAGGAAAACUGAGUCAGUUUAUUUUAAGUUUUAGUUGUAGUAUUCAUGCAUUGCAUGUAGCUGUAAUUUUCAUUUUGUUAGUGCACAUUGUCGUUGCAUUUUUAUUUUCGUAGUAUUUUAAUAUUAGUGCAUUGGGGACAAUGCAAACUUUAAGUUUGGGGGAACGCAUAUGGGGUUUGGAAAUACAGCUACAUUUCAAUUUUUUUGAGUUUGAUGAAGCAUGUAAGGUUUAUUUAUGGUUAAAUCAAAUGUGUUUGAAAAUUUUUGUUACAUUCGAUGCUUAAUUCUUGAAUCAUGCGAGCUAUCGAUAAAUGAGUUGGAUAAAUUUGACUAAAUUUUGUAUCUUCAAUUCUUUGAUGAAUGAUUUAGGUUGCAUUAGUAAUUGAUGACUAGUAGCAUUCCUUGAAUCUUGAAUGAAUCUGCCUCUUAUAGCUGCUUAUAUAUAUAUAGCUAUGAAUAAGAGACACUCGAAAGUGGGUGUAUUGUGAAAUGUUAAAGAGGGAACACUCCAAUGCAAGCAUUAGAAAAAUGAAUCUGGCUAAAGGCUGUCAUUGCAUGAGUGUAUGUCAGCGCAAUUAUGUGCUCCCUGGGGGUUUGGUGCACUCCAUCGUCACUUUUUAGGAACAAGGGUGCUGUAAUGCAACGAUAUCCUUUAUUCACAAAAAAAGGGGAGGACAUAUAUUGUACAAUAAACGUUGUAUUGGUAGAUAGAAUUUAGGAUUUAAAGCAUGAUGCUGGUUUUAAUGAAGUUGCAAUCUUAUUCAUUCAUAUUAUCUAUUAUCGAUGCAAUAUUCUGUCAUCUAAAUGUGACUCAUUUAUUAGGAUUUUAGGUGAUUCAAGUUGCUAAAAUGAUCAUUUGCCUUAGUGAAUUCUUGUGUAGCCUUUCCAGUUUUUGUUUUACUUGAGGACAAGUAAAAACUCAAGUUUGGGAGUGUGGUAGUACUAGAAAGAACAUAUGUUUUCUCCCUACUUAUUGGUUAAUUUGUCCUCAUUUAAUUAUCUUUAACACAUAUUUUAGCAUUUUCAGUUCAGUAAAUUCUAUUUUAUAACUCAGUGGAUCUUAGCCUAUUUAUCCUUAAUUUUGUCAUGUUUUGGUACUAAUGUCGCAGCAUGAGUAUUUUUAGAUUGCGCCUAGAAUUGUCGCCGCACCUGAUAGUUGCCCGAAUAAGAAGAAAAAUAUGUGCGUUGUCCAGUUUGGUAUACCCAACUUGUAUGUAAAGAGGCAAUACGAUUCUGAUGAAAGGACACCUGGACUAUUUGGGAAGAAUAUACAUAUUCAUGUGUACAAAAACAAAUGAAGCUUUUUGGGAGAGUAUCUUCUUCAACCUGUCUUUUGAAGCUUUUCGGGUAUGGCGGCUUAAACCUCUUACGGGAGAAACGACGUGAAAGGGAUGCAUCUUAGCUCUUGACGAGGAGGCCUGAGUGCGACACAAGAAAGAAUAGAGAGAUUCAAGUCGAGUUGUCUAGGAAUAGUAUUCUCCUCUUGUUUCUUUUAUUUUUCUUUUCUAAACACUGGUGAUUACUUUCUAUUUCAUGUUAGUACGAAAGUACACAUGAUUUCUGGGUAAAUGUUAUUUUAUUCAAUCUUACUUCUACUGUUUAAUCUUUGGGUUUGAAUGUUUUUAGCAUGGAGGUGUUAUUGCGGUCACUGACACUGAAAGGUGCAGCGACAGUUCAAGCUAACAAGAAUGACAACGAAAGUUUCUUGAGAAUUAGAGGAAUUUAAUCCACUUGUUCUUAAUAGUGUUUCAUUGCCAUCAUCGGAAGGUGUGGUUAAUGUGCAUGUUUAAGUCUUAAAUUAAAUAUAGAAGUUAAGCUUGGUAAGAUAUUCAUUGCAAAUUAUUGCAUCGACAAUCACCUAUCCUUUUACACCUUGUGAGCACUUAGUAUUCUGUUGAAUAUUCACGCUGGGGAUCCCAUUUUAUCAUUAUCAUAUUUUAUCUUAUUAUUUUCAAGUUAUUGCUUCGACAACUACUCUCACAAUUUAUGUCAUUUCUAUCUAUUCAUUGCACUGACAUUGAUAGACAAAAGACAACCAUCCUCGUGGGAUCGAUAUCCGACAGACUCAUAUCUGUCUACUAUACUUGCAUCGACAUUGUACACUUGCACAUUAUUAUUGUGAUGUUAAAUAGCCAAUCACCCGUACAACGUGCAAAUAACCCUAUUGGCAUGCCAAUCGUAUCCUAAUUGUUUACUAUGUUCCAACGAUCACUUUAACUGAAUUCAUCAUAUUAACAAAUCAAAAGCACUUUCAGAAUAUCCGUACAUACACUGUAAUUCCAUUGCAUCCAUUUCAAGAUCAUAUAAUUCAUAUUUCACAUUCAUUUAUUAAUUUCCAAUUCAAUACUUUUUCACCUUACACUUAAUUAUAAACAAUUUAUCAUUACAAUCCGACAUUAAAUAUUAAACCACAUAUCAAUUUUAUCUAAUUCAAAAUAGCAUGAAUUAUAAAUAUUUAUGUAUACAUUCGUCACAUUUCAAGCAAAUCUUACUCACCUUACAUUCAACCUUAAAUAAUUAAUAUUCUCAAUUCCAUAUUAAUAAUUAAAUCACAAAUUAUUCAAUUAAUUAAUUCAUACAACAUAUAACAUGAACAUAUAAAAAUAUAUCUAAUCUAUGAACUUACCUAUUAUAUGCUACCGGUUGACUCGUAGGGACUAAUCCACGAGUUUUCCUUUCCUCUUGUUAUCUUUCGUACGAUUCAAUUCUUGAUCUAUAUAAUGAUAAAAUUUAAUAUGUCAAAUUCAAAUACAUAUUCAACUUAUUUUAUGCGUAUGACCUUAAGUUAUUAUUUACACAUUUUCCCUAAACUUUUACAUUUCUCUCAAUUUAGUCCUUAAACCUGAAACUCCAAAUUUAACAAAAUUUCUCAAAUACCCAAGCUAGCUGAAUUUAUUUCUAUUUUAGUACAUUCCAAAAUUAUUCAAAAUUCACAAGAAUUCCAUGUCAAUUUUAAUAUUUUAUCAAAUUAGUCCUCUAGCUAAAAACUAACUAAAAUCACUUUACAAAAUAGUCCUAAACAACGACCAAAACUACAAAUUCAUCAUUUAACAUCAUAAACAACUAAUAUUAUUUAAUGAAAAAAUCCAAAGUAUUUAACAGUUUCAAUACCGAAAAUACAGGUUAGUUGGAACUAGUUGCAACGAUCUCAAAAAUAUAAAAUUUACGAAAAACAUAUCAAAGUUACAUACCAUGCAAGGAAAAUGAAAACUUGGCCGAAGCUUGAAUGUUCUGCCAUGGACGUUCGGUUUCUCCAAAUGAUGAAUAGAGAUGAUGAUGAUUUUUAUAAUAUUACUAUUAUAAUUAUAUGUUUUAUCAUUAUUAUCAUUAAAAUUUAAUAUAUAAAAUGCAUAGAAUUACCUACUAACCGUCCCACCAUAUAAAAAUGGUGAAUUUACCAUUUAAAUCAUUCCACUAUGAUUAUUUAAGUCAUUUAAUCACUAUAGUUCAAUAGCAAUUAAGUUUUAUGACUUUAAUGAUUUAGUCCUUUUAUUUAAUUAACCAAUUAAACAUCAAAAUUUCAAAACUAAACUUUCACAUAACAAAAUAAUAUCUCAGUAAAUAUUUAAUAAAAAUAUUUAUGAGCUUGAUUUAUAGAAACGAGGUCCCGAUACCUUAUUUUCUAAAACCACUUGACUUUCAAAACAAACCAUUUAUACCUAACUAUUUAUUCAAUUAACUAAAAUUCUUCAAAUCGAAAUUCAAUAUAAAAUUAUAUUUAACUCAUAUAAUUUAAAUAUUAUUUAUUACGGAUUUACUCGUCGAAUUUGUGGUCCCAAAACCACUAUUUUCGACACUACUAAAAACUUGUCAUUACAUAUCGUACUCUAAGUAGGAUGCUUUUCUAUUUAAAAUAAACCUCUAUAACACUACAAGGGUUUUACUUUCUCUUCUUAUAAAUAGAUGGCACCGGUAGAGCUAUUAGCAGAAAUUUUGGAAGAUUGUUAUUCUCCCAAAAAAUAUAGAGAAUUUAUUCUCAAAUUAUAAACAUAUUUUUCAAAAUAAAAAUUUUACCGAUUUUUAUUAAAGAAGAGAGAAUUUCUGUUUUUAUCUCAAAAGGAAUUUUUUUCUAGUUCUGUGUUUUAAUUCAAUUGGUUCGAGGCCACACUCGAAGCUGUUCAUGGUAUGAGAAUAGCGAAGAAAAUUGUUUGGUUGAAAGCUAGAAAAAAUCAAGGAUCUACUUAUCUAAAAACACAAGUACGAAUUCAUUUAAGGUUUAUUGAUAUAAAUAUCACAAAUCGAGUCAAUUUUCAAAAUUUUAAUUUUUAGUUGUACAAAAAAACGGUUUUCAAACCAAUUUUUUUUCAACAAUUGGUAUCUAUAGCCAGGUUGUGCUAUGGUUAUAGUGUAAAUCUUGACCAAAUCUCUCUCUUCAUCUUGUAAGUAUUCAUAUGUUUAGGGGAAUGUAUGUCAAUGAAUGGAAUAUUAUAUAUAUUUGUUAUAAAAAAAAUUUAGCCAAGGUUGUAGUUCUUAGGAAAUAGAUAGUGGACUAUCACCUCCACAUAAGAUUAUUUUUUAUUUAUAGAAUUCUUGUGAGCUAGAAACAGAUAUAAGACAUAAAUGUAAGUUUCCAAAAAGGAGUCCAGGACAAGGAGAAGAUGCAGUAAUGGCGAUCGAAGACAUAAGUAAUGCCUUGUGGCGGAAAACAUGUGUUGCAUUUUUCCAUUCACUUCUUUAGGUUAUUCAAUUAUUAUGAGAAGUGUGGUAACGAGAAGGUGCAUGUCAAGGAAUGGAUUUGGCAAGGAAAGGUUUGGUUUUUAACUUGUCAAAUACGACUCACCUCCAUUUUGCUUAAAAGAAAAACUGUGCAGAAUCAAAAUUAUUUGAUUGACUCUUGUGAAUAAUUGAAUAUGAAUAUUAUAAAAUUUUCAUAGCAUAUCAUGCAUACAUGAAAUAAACAUGCCAUAUGGUUUAGGAAAGAAUGCCACUUGUACUUGUCAUGUAUAUAUUGAUCAUACAUGAUUGAGACAGAAAUUUAAAAAUGUUGCAUUUUUUUUAAAUAUUGAGUGGAAGAAGGUCCCUAAAGAAGAUCUACGACCUCCAUCGAUAGUUUCUUGUGAUGGCAUGAAAUGGACCUGCCCUAAGGUAGACAUUGUCAUAUGGAUUUCACUAAAGAGACUUCCUAAAAGUAAGUAGAAAUUUUUUUUGAUCAUAUGAUAGUUGGACUUGCCCCUGUGGUAGGUAUUAUCACGCAAUGUAUUAACAAAUUCUAUCUUCAAAGAGGAAAACUAGUCAUGGCAUGCUACUUGAUGAUAUUGUCCCAAGAUGACUCAUUUGUGGUGCAUGAAGUGAUAGGUGUUAAGUUGAUGGUUAUAUAUUCAAGAUCAUCUAGUUAAAAUACUCCUCACGGAGCUCUACUUAAGUUAGAAUGAUGUCCAAACGUUGCACGAUUAUUAGUACGUGUGAAUGCCUAAGGAAUUAGGUUCAUGUACUAAUUGGAUGGAAAUCCAUGUUCUUACUAGUUGACCAUGAUCACCCCACGGUGGUUUGAUAAAAUGGGUGUAUGAAUUAUCAUUGCAAUAACUUACAAAUGUUUUCCAGGUUUAAUGUAAGAUGCAUGCAUCAUCUUAAUGCAUAUCAUAAUAUUGCAAAACAUUUUCAAACAUUUGCUUAAUACAGAGAUAUUAAUAUAUGAAUGUUUUAUUUUUAGUUCGAAAAUGGCUCUAACUCCCUUAUUGAAUAUACUCACUGAAAACAAAUUGAACGAAAAUAACUAUAAGGAAUGGAAAAGGAACCUGAUAAUUGUCCUGAGUUGUGAGACACUUAAAACAAUUCUUGAAAAUAAACGUCCAUUGGCCACUCAAGUUGAGGCGAGAAAACAUUAGGAAAAGUUUGAUGAGAUAGCUCUUUGCUAUAUGCUAGAAAGCAUGACUAGUAAUCUAUAUAACCAAUUAAAGAGCUGUAAGAAUGCUAAAACGAUUCUAGAUAAGCUAGAAGACAUGUUCGAAGGCCAAGCUUCCUUGGCUUGAUAGUUUACCAUAACUAGCUUGAUGAAUACCCAGCAAAAACCCGACACUCCUGUCAAAGACCAUAUGAUCACUCUUAUGGCUUACUUUGUCGAAGCUGUGAAAAAUGUGGCCAAUCUGGACCAGAACACUUAAAUUGAAAUGGUGUUCAAAAGCUUGUCAAAGGAUAUUGAUGGUUUUCAGGUUGCAUAUAAGCUUGGAAACAAAAACCUGAUGCUUACACAACUCAUGAAGGAGUUACAAUCUUAUCCAUUGCUGUUGAAUGACGGUUAGCCGGUUUGAAGAGCAGAAGUGAAGAUUGUAACAACCCAUUUUCAGUGGUGUUAGAAACUGUGGUUUUGGGACCACGGUUCCAAAGAGUGAGUAAAUAAUUUAAUAUUAAUUUAAUGUUUAUAGAGUUAAUUUAAGGUCGUACUAAAUUUUUAAAAGAAAUUUUGAAGUUUAAAUAGUUAAUUAGGUAAAAAGGACCAAAUCGUAAAAGAUGCAAAAGAUGGUUUCUGUCAAUGACAUGGAUUAAAUGGACUUAGAAAUAUAAAUUAAUGGGUUCUUAUGGUAUUAUGCCAUUUAUAAAUGUGGUGGAAAAUGAUGGAUAUGAUUUAAUUAUUUUAUAAGUUUAUUAGUUACGGGUAAAAUUGUAAUUAAUUAAAUAAACCUAAAAUAAAUAACUAAAAUGAUAUCAUCUUCCUCCUUUUGCUUGUUUCAAUUGAAAGUGCCAUUAAAGAAGGGGUUUGAAGUUUUGACUAGGUUUGUUUCAUUACAAGGUAUGUGUUUGAGCCCGAUUUUUGAGCUCAUUUUAGCUUAAACUACUUAGCCCGAGGGUUAAUUUGCAAAAUUUUUAAAGGUUGAGGGACUUUCCAUGAUUGAGUUUUAAUGUGUUUUGAUUUUAGUUGAUAGAUUAUUACAUUUGGUUGUUAAAUAAAGUUAUUUUGUUUAAGUGAUUUUUGAUGAAUUUAGAGUUAAGGAUUAAUUUGUUAAAUGUGUAAAAUUCCUUGAGGUUAAUGUGAAAUUUUGGUAAAUAUGGGCUAUUUAAGCCCCCUAGUAAAAUCAACUAGCAUGUUUUGGUUAGGAAAUGGUGAAUUUGCAAGUUUUGGGUCUAGGGACUAAAUUGUAAGAAAGUUAAAGUAUUCGGGGUAAAUUUGUAAAUUGAUGAUGGAAGGGUUAGCUUUUGACUUAACUGUAACAACUGUGGUGAUUGAGGUAAGUUCGUAUAGAGAUUAAAAUUGUCAUUUGAUGUUUUGAAUUAGUUAUUAUGAGUUAUUAUAUGAUUUUAAUCUUGGUUUGUAGCGUAUUUGGUAAUUGAUAUUGUGGAUUAUGUUGUAAUAUUAGUUUACUUAAAGUUGGUAUUUGAGAAAUGUAUAUUUCAUGAAGCAUGUAUGGAAUGGGACAAUAUAAUGAAAUUAAAGGAUUCAGAUAUAUGCAAAGAUCCCGUUUGAACCUUAAAAAUUCUUAGGAUACAAAUGAUAUGACAUUAGGGUUUAUACGGUUUCGAGUGCUUGUCCUGAAUGUCCUACCGAUGGCUGAGGUCCUGUAAUUGUUGCAGAUUCUCCAUAGCUCAUGUGAGUAGCAUCGUAUAGCUAACAUUUCGAUCCAUAGCUCGUGUGAGUAGUCACAUUUCACAGCUCGUGUAAGCACUAUUGGAAAGGAAAGAUUAUGGCUACAUGAAAAGGCACACUAUGUGUGAGCAUUCCUGGAUAUCCGAUAAAAUUUGUAUGGUUCAAUGGGUAAGUAAAGGAAAAUGAAUAGGUUUGUACCUGAAAUAUUGAUAUAAAUGACCAUAUAAAAUGGAAGUUUGAUGUAUUCAAAUGAAUGGAAAAUGGGUACUAAAUAAACAUAUGAAGAAAUGUGACUUAAUGUAAUUCAUUUCAUGUCAUAUACCAUUUUCCAAGGAUUUUAUGUUCUUAAUUUAUCUACUAACUAUGUAGAUUGUAUUGAAUAGGAAAGUAUGAUAUUUAUAUGACAUUUUGAGCAUGGUUGAAUUAUUUAAAGUUUGGGGCUCGGUAAGUUCGAGUUUAUCUUAUACGAGCUUACUAAGCACUUGUUACUUACAUAGUUGUUUUUCCUUUGUUUUGUAGAUCACCAGAAUCUCCAUCGAUUGUAAUCUUGUCAGAGUUUUAUUACACUAUCCAGCAAUCAAUUUGGUAGUUUUGGUUCUUUUUAAUUAUGGUUAUAAAUGAAAUGUACAGGGUUUGAUGUCAAUGAAGCCUUUUAAUAUGUUUUGGUUUCUUUUGUAAAUGAUUACAUGUAUAUAUGGUUUAGUUUGGCUUGUAUUUGCUAAAACUCUUAUGAUUAUGGUCAUUUUGGUAUGCCUAACUAAAAUGGUAUGUUGUAAAGGUAAUGGUUUAUAAUAAUUAGCUCUUUAAGUCUAUGUUAUGUAGUUGAGCUAUGGCAUUAUAGUUUUGUUCUAGAAUGAUUUUGAUUUGGUAUGAAUUGAGGGGCCUUUGAAUGGCAUAUUUGUUAGAAUUUUUAAGUUAAUUGAUUUGGUAUAUUUUGGGAGGUUUGAAUAGUGUUUUGGUCAAUUGAAUGCAUUUGCAAAUGUUGUAACUUGUUGGGCAAGGUUAGGCAUUGAAAUGGAUUGCUUUAGGGGCUAAAUUUGAGUACACGGGUUGUCACAUGGUUGUGUGCCACACACAGUCACCUCACACUUCCAUGUGCCAGACAUGGUCACCUCACACGGCCGUGUUUCAUUUAUAUUUUAACUGCAAGUUUCAUAUGGUCUGAGACACAGCCUAAAACAUGGACGUGUGACACAAAAUAGUUUGUUACACGGUCUUGCACACGACCUGUGACACAACCAUGUGGUUCUAUUUUGAAUACACACAUGGGUAGACACAGGGGCUAAGACACUGCCAUAUGGCCCUAAUUCAAAUUUCCACACGAUCUGGGAUAUGUCACAUGGCUGUGUGACCCCUGUUUUCACAAUUUUUCAUUUUUCUCAAAAUUUUCUAAUUUAUUCAAAUUGAUCCCCGGUUGCUUUUAAAAUUUUUUUAGGUCCCUGAAAGCUUGAUUUAAUGCUCAAAUGUGUAUGUUUACUAUGAUUGGAAUGAGAUAUUGAAAUUUAUACUUAAGUUGAAUUAUUUGUUUUGUUUUUGAAUUUAAAGAUUUUUUUUGUAUAGUAAAGUUUUGUAACCCUAAUCUGAUGACGAAGACGAGUUAGAGGUGUCACAAAUAUAUUUGUUGCUUCUUCUUCAAAAGGGAAGGGAAAGUGCACUAAGAAAUGUAAGGUUAGGGUCUCUAGGCCGCAACAAGUGGAAAGGAAGAGAACUAGAAAGGCUAAAGACUUAUUUAAGUCUCAAUGCUUAUUCUGUAGCAAGAAAGGGCACUUCAAGGCAAACUGCAAAUAGUGGAAGGAAUACUUAGCUACCAAAGGCAAAGGUAUGAAACUCUUGAUGAUAGAAGCUUCUUUAGUGGAAGACUCAAUAGACCACUGGGUCUUUGAUUUGAGAGCCACUAAUCAUGUUUGUGUUUCUCUAUAGGGAUUCGAGGAGACAAAAAAACUUAGAGAUAAGGUCUUAUCAUGGUGGACCGGGAAUGGGACAAGUGUGGAAGCUGAAGCAGUGGGAGAUGUACAUAUUUACUUUGAUAAUUUUAGGAAGAUUGUUUUAAAAGACAUUUUCUAUGCACCAAGUUUUAAAAGAAACUUAACUUCUGUUGCAUUUUUUAUAUAAACAUGGCUUGAUCAUGACUUUUAAUAAUGGAAUUACAAUAUUUAGAAAUCUCAAUCUUAUCUAUAAUGGAUGGAUGUCAAAUAAUCUCUAUUUUAUCAAACCAAAUAUGUACACACUUAUUCAGACUGAAAUAUCAAAUAAAAGACUUAAGCUUCUCACUCUAAUGAGACAUACCUUUGACAUUUAAGACCUGGUCAUAAUAACCGAGAAAGAAUCACUAAACUUGUGAAAGAUGACAUCUUAAGUUCACUUAAAGAAGUUUAUGUUCUACAAUGUGAAUCUUGCUAGAAAAGUAAGAUGACUAAGGAAUCUUUUAAUGCAAAAGGAACGAGGGUCGAAAAACCUCUAGAACUUAUGCACACUGACCUAUGUCGCCCCAUGAGCAUUAGUACAAGAGGUGGCUAUAAGUAUUAUGUAACAUUGAUUGAUGACUAUUCCAGAUAUGGAUAUGUAUAUCUAAUGCAUUGGAAGAGUGAAACCUUUGAUAAAUUCAAAGAGUUUCAUGCGAAAGUGGAGAAACAACUAGGUUUACCCAUAAAGACACUUCAAUUUGAUCGAGGUGGGAAAUAUUUAUCUGACAAGUUUUUAGAGUACCUCAUAGAGAAUGAUAUUCUAUCCUAAUUAACUGUGCCGAGCACUCUAUAAUAGAAUGGCGUGGUAGAGAGAAGAAAUCAAAUAUUGUUAGACAUGGUACAUUCGAUGUUAAGUUAUUUGAAGUUGUCAAUCUCUUUUUGGGGAUAUGCGGUACAAAUGACUUGUUAUAUUCUGAAUGAUGCGCCAACUAAGGUAGCAUCAAAAACACCAUAUGAAUUGCAGCAUGGCAGGAAGCUAAGUCUUAAUCAUUUUAGGAUUUGGGGAUGUCUGGCCCACGUAUUGGAUAAAGAUGCGAGGAAGUUGGACUCACGAAUAGAAUUGUGAAUGUUUGUAAAAUUUCCAAAGGGACCAAAGAGUUGUUUGUUUUCUAACUCGAAAAAGCAAAUUGUUAGAGUCUCAACUCAUGCUACUUUCCUUAAACAAAGUUACAUGAAUGGCGUCAAACAUUGGGGUAAAGAUGUACUUGAGAAACUUUCGAGAAAUAUAUAAAACCCUAAUGGAACGGUUCCAGAACCAACUGCUAAUAGUAGACUUGCAGACGAUCAGCAGGGUAGGGUGCUUCAUCGCAGUGAGAGGGUCUCUCAUAGGCCUGAGUUCUUCCAAUCUAGUGGAAGUGUUUUUAAGUCUAAGUCUGCCGAACAGGAAGAUAACAACCCACUCACAUAUGACGAAGGGAUGCAGAGUGCUAAUUCCAAGCUCUGGGAAAUAGUUAUGAAAGUUGAGAUGGACUCUAUGUAUCCCAACUCAUUGUGGGAACUUGUAGACUUACCAAAAGGGAUAAAACCCAUAGGGUUUUGUAAGUGGAUCUACAAGAGGAAAACAAAUAUUGAUGGAAAAGUGGAAGCUUAUAAGGCCAGAGAUGUAGCAAAAGGAUAUACUCAGAAAGAAGUUAUUGAUUAUGAAAAAACCUUUUCUACAGUUGCCAUGCUUAAGUCAAUCUGCAUGUUACUAUCCAUUGCUGUAGCUCUCAAUUAUGAGAUUUAUAAAAUGAAUAUCAAGAAAACACUUUUGAAUAACUAUCUUGAAGAGAGCAUCUAUAUGAUACAACCCACCGGAUAUAUGGCUAAAGGAAACAAGAAUAAAGUUUGCAAACUGCUUAGAUCCAUAUAUAGACUUAAACAAGCAUCUAGCUCAUGGAAUCAAAGAUUUAAUCAAAUGAUUAAAACUUUUGAAUUUGAUCAAAACAUAGAUGAUCCUAUUGUGUUUUCAAAUGUUUAGGGGAUGGAAAGGUGGUCUCACUCGUUCCAUAUGUUGAUGACAUUCUACUUAUUGGAUGUAGGGACAUUGUCAUUGGUUAAACUGUGGUUAACCCAACAAUUUAGCAAAAGGACUUGGGAGAAGCUAAUUUUUUCUAGGUAUUCGAAUCCUUAAGGAUCAAAAGAAUAAAGUGAUAGCACUAUCUCAGACUUCAUACAUAGACAAGAUAUUAAAGCGUUAUGCAAUUAACAAUUUGAAAAAGGGAAAUAAACCUCCGUAUCGAGAUUUCAUCUCCCUUUAGAGGACUGUCCUAAGACAGCGGGAGAAAGAGAGAAUAAGAGAAAGGUUCUUUUUUUCCAGUGGAGUUGGUAAGCCAAUAUGCAAAGCCCAGAUAGCUAUUUUGUAGUGGGGUUGGUAAGUUAAUAUCAGGCAAAUCUAGGACCAAGACAUGAGUAAGCAGUUAAGCAUAUACUCAAGUAUUAAUAGAGAACAAAGGAUUAUAUGCUUGUAUAUUUCGGAUGAGAUCUCACUCCUAUCGAAUAUACUGAUUUUGACUUCCAAAAUGUGUCAGGAUUUGAGGAAACCAACAUCAGGUUGUGUUUUUGUCUUAGAUGGCGGAUCCUUAGUGUGAACAAGUGUCAAGUAGGGUUGCACUGUUAACUUUACUAUGGAGGGUCAAAUAUCAGGUAUGCAAAAGCUAUGACAUUAUAAUAGUAUUGACAUAGUUAAAUCUGAAUUAACCACAUAAGAACAAAACACAUAAGGGAGACAAUAGUGUUUGAUGGAAUGGUAAACGUAGCCAAAGAUAGUAUAUGUCGACAAACCCCAGAGAUUUAUUUAGCCAAGACUUUUAUAGCUAGAGAGCUCUUUGGAAAACAUAUGGAGGGGCACAAGAAUGUGAAACAUGACUCAUCUACUUCACUAAGGCAAGUGGGAGAUUGUUGGAUCUAGUGCCCUAAGUGUAGUAUUUUCAUUAAUAUACACUUGUAAAUUUUUUGAACAGAUUGAUUAAUAAAAAAAAUUCAUUGGUUGCACUAAUAUAAUUUGUAUAAUUGUCCUCACAUAUUUUUGUAUGCAAAUCAAAAUGGAGGCGAAUGUUGCUCAUUGGUUGUCUAAAUAUUUAACUAAUACUAAAAGGUAUUAUGUAGUCGGAUCAUAGUACGAAAAGACAACCUGUAUUAGUAUAUGAACCUAAAGAUGUGCUUAGUCUAAUCAGAAAUGAGGAAACCGAUUCAAAGACUAAUAUCUCAUUUAUCAAGUCCAAUUAGGGAGAUGUCUUGUCUUAGGCAUCAGAGCGGUUGACUCCUAGAAGAUAGAGACAUAGAUGUGACUGACUGGACUGGCAGUACAUCAGACAGGAGCCAAGCAAAAUAGAUCCUGAAUCCGUUUAUGGAUUUAUUCACUUGUGACGUUCAUAGUGUGGCAUACCUAAAUCUUGAGUGGAUGGCGGACUAUGUAUGCGUGACUCAUACACUUUUAUGUAAGCUAAAGCCUGGGUUCAAAUAGAUAAGGAACCAAAAACUGGUGCACUAGAUGUAUGACUUUUGUAGUAUGUAGCGUCAUUCACAAUGGUGGAAUUUAUAACCCAAAUCAUGGGUAAAUGAUAUUCUUUAAUUGACAUUACAUGGUUGAUGAAAAUUAAACGUGGCCACAAGUUUUCCGUCUUUUUGAUGGAUAACUUGAUCACUAUUUGAUAGUGAUUGACUUUUCAUGAAGGAAGAUGUAAUUUUUACCAUGAGAUAAAAUAUGAUCAUAUUGGGAGAACAGAUAUUAUCCAAAAGAGAUAAAUGAUAUCCCAUGAGGGUAACACACUUAUGACAAGUCAAUUGUACGAGCACUGAGUAGUUGUUUUCGUAAUUGUAUGGCAUUGAAGAGAGCUAAGUCACGAUACUAUAGUGGAAUGACUUCGUGACUAAGUGAUUUUAUAAUUAAUAGGUAAAAAGUCAGAACUUAAUUAUAAAUCAUUUGAGCCUCAACCACAUAUGUUUAAUUGGUCCAUUCGCUAGCAUAUUGAAACCAGAAAUGAAUUGCAUGUUUGAAGAAACAUGAAUGGAAUGAAUAGAAAAAGAGAAAUGGGAAACAUUUAAAAAUGAUUAUGGUUUUCUCCGAAAUAGAGAAAUGGAAUCAUUUGGAAAUAAAUGUAGGUUUCCAAAAAUAGAAAUGGAAAUUUGCAAUCCUAUAUGAUUACUUAAAAAAUGAUGGAAGAAUGAGUUUAUGUUUUUCGACUAUUUUGAAUCCCGAAAAUGAAAAUAUAUUAUUUGGUCAUAGUGAACAUGUUGAUGUGUGACACAUUAAAAGAAUUUUCUUGAAAUUAUCAAGGUUAAAAUUGUCAACAUUUUACUGGGGUAAAAUUGAGGUAAGAAAAUUAUUUAAUAUGUAGAUAUUAAAUUUUAUUUUGUGAAAUAGAAAAACUAGAUCGAGUUGGAUCAUAUUAUAGAAUACUAUGUCAAAAAAGGCCUAGGAAGUAUUCAUAAUUGGAACCAAUGUGAGAGAGGCCCAAAACACCUCAUAUAACAUGAAGGGGAUGACAACCCUAGUAGAAAUACAACGGUGAGUCGUUCACCCCUCUCCUAUUCUAAGUAGCAUGUUGUUUUUCUAUUUAAAAUAAACCUCUAAGACUCUACAAGGGUUCAACCUUCUCUUCCUAUAAAUAGAUGGCAUCAGUAGAGCUAUCAACAGAACUUUUAAGAGAUUGUUAUUCUGCCAAAAAUUAGAGAGAAUUUAUUCUCAACUUAUUUAGAAUAACAAUUUUACCGGUUUCCAUUAAAGAAGAAUGAAUUUUUGUUUUCACCCUAAAAGGAAAUCUUUUUCUAGUUUUGUGUUUUAAUUCAAUUGGUUCGAGUCCACACUCGAAGCAGAUCGUGGUAUGAGAAUAAUAGAGAAGAUCGUCUGGUUGAAAGCCAAAAAACCUCAAGGAUCUACUUAUCCAAAAACACAGGUACGAAUUCGACUAAGGUUUAUUGAUAUAAAUAUCACAAACCGAGUUGAUUUUCAAAAUUCUAAUUUUCUGCUAUGCAAGAAAACCAUUUUUAAACUGGAUUUUUCCCAACAGUAGUGACAUGAGAAUGCAUUGUAAAUAGACAAAGCUUCUUUAAUUUCUCAUAAAUUGCUAAAAUAGAACCUUAAAAUUGUUGGCACAUGGGGAUGAAGAUAAGAGAAAUUAACGAAGGCUUCAAGGAGUGUAUCAAUGACACUCUCUUUAAGGGUCUAUUCCUCCCCACCUAUAUUAUGGUAUGCAAAAGAGUUACCAGCAAAUGAACCUUGAGGAUACAAUGAAGCCUAAUGACUUUUUACGUUUUGCACUGAUAGAAACAGUCCAUUGAGAACUGAGCAGAGUAUAACAAGGAUAUCAAUUUCUAUAAAUAAUUUCUAUAGUAAUUCCUUAUACAACAAUCUAGAAAUAUAAAAGAUGGUGAGAGAUCAGAAAGAAAAUUUUUUCUAUAUUUUUGGGUUGUCAUGCAAAUGAAACUUCACUUUUAUUUAUAGGAGACCUCAUGGACAUAACUACCUAAAUGGAUUGUCAUAUCUUCAACAAACAAAAUUAUUCAAUAGAUAUCUACUUGAAUAAUUAGGAGUAUUUGUUAAUAACUAAGUGACAUCACAUUUGGUUACUUAGAACUUUUCAUUUACAAAUAUUGGAACACUAUAUAUAUUUUGCAAAUGUUCCAACAAGAAUAACCAUAUGAUAAAAUCAAAUUCAAAAUCUGGAGGGCUGCCCUUGAAACAAUUAGGCCUCGUCUAAGACAUUUUAGUAUGUCGUCGAACCGUAGCUCCAUUUUGAUAACAAAUUUUCUAGAUGGGAGGAAAACCUGUAAGUCCAUUCAGGAAAAGAGGUCAAAGUUCAAAAAUUGCCCCAUCAAGUACACUAUCAUUAACAGACAAACACAUAAAAGUAUUGAAUGUGCCAUCACAAGAUAACUAUCCAUUUUUCAGUCACUUGCACAAAACCUCAAUACUUGGAGAACGAAUAACACCAUAUAUGCAUAUAGCUUCCAAAUCAACAAUUGAAAGCAAUAGGAGUACUGAGGCCUUUGCUUAUGCAAAUAAAAACUACAUUUUUAACCAUACAUCUAUUUCAAAAGCUCUCUAAAAAAAAGAAAGUAGUUAAUUAAGCUGUGUUUAGCAAUGUGAUCGGCUGAUAACGCCAAAGAAAUAAUGUGCAAGCGUACACUGUCUAUGCACGUAUAGUAGACAGAUGUAAGUCUUUCGUAUAUCAAUGCCACAGGGAUGGUUUUCUUUUGUCUAUUAAUGUCGGUGCAAUAGCUAGAUAGAAACGAGAUAAAUUGUGAGGAUAGUUGUCGGAGUAAUAUCUUGAAAACAAUGAAAUAAAAUAUGAUGAUGAUAAAUUGGGAUCCCCAACAUGAAUCUUCAGCAGAAUACUAAGUGUUCACAAGGUAUAAAAGGAUAGGUGAUUAUUGAUGCAAUAAAUUUCAAUGUAUAUCUUACCAAGCGUCACUCCUAUAAUUAAUCUGACACUUAAAAAUGCACACUAACCCCACCUUCCAACGGUGGCAAUAUGACACUAUUAAGAACAAGUGGACUAAAUUCCUCUAAUACUCACUCAACUUCCGUUGUAAUGCUUGUUAGCUCGAACUGUCACUGCACCUUCCAGUGUCAGUGACUGCAAUAACACUUUCGUGCUAAAAACAUUCAAACCCACAGAUUAAAUAGUAGAAACAAGAUUGAUAAUAAACAUUUAACCCAGAUAUCAUGUGUACUUCCAUACAAACAUGAAAUAGAGAGUAAUCAAAAAUGUUUAGAAAGAAAUAUAAAAGAAACAAGUGGAGAAUACUAUUCCUAGAAGAACUCAACUUGAAUCUCUCUAUUCCCUCUUGUGUCACGCUUAGGACUCCUCGUCAGGAGCUAGUCUACAUCAUUUUCACGUUGGCUCACCCGGGGGAGACUUAAACUGCCAUAGCUGUAAGCUUCCCCCUAAGAUAGGUUAAGGAAGAUGAUGGUCAAGAAAAAUCUCUCCUCUUUUUUUCUUUUCAUGUCAAUAUUUAUGCCCUUCCAAACAGCACAGGUGUCUUUUCCUCAGAAUCAUGCUGUCCUUAUACGUACAGGAUGGUUAUACUAGACUGGACAGCUCACGCAUUUUUGUUCUUAUCCGGAAAACUAUCAGAUGCGAUGACAAUUCUGGACGCAAUCUGGAAUUACUUAUGCAGUGACAUUAGUACCAAAAAAUGACAAAAUUAACCAUAAAAUAGGCUAGGAUCCACUGAGUUAUAAAUGCAAUUUACUAAACUGAAAAUGCUAAAAUAUGUGCUAAGGAUAACCAAAUGGGAACAAAUUAACCAGUAAGUAGAGAGAAAACAUAUGUUCUUUCUAGUACUAUCACAUCCCCAAACUUGAGUUUUUACUUGUCCUCAAGUAAAACAGAAACUAGCAAGGCUACAAAUAUUCACUAAGGAAAAUGAGCAUUCUAACAACUUGAAUCACCUAAAAUUCCAAUUAAUUAAUCACAUUCAGAUGAAAGAAUAUUGCAUCAACAAUACAUAAGCAUAAAUGAAUAAGAUUGCAACUUCAUCAAAGCCAGCAUCAUGCUUCAAAUCCUAAAUUCUAUCUACUAAUACAAUAUUUAUUAUACUAUACUAAGUAUUUAUAUAUCUCCCCCUUUUUUUGGAAUAAGUGAUAUCAUUGCAUUAUUGCACCUUUGUUCCUAGGAAGUAAAGAUAGAGUGCAACAAACCCCUAGGGAGUACGCAAUUGCGCCAACACACACUCAUGCAGCGACAGCCUUGUGCCAGAUUCAUUUUUCUAACGCUUGUACUAGAGUGUUUCAUUUUUAACAUUCCACAAUACACUCACUCUAGAGUGUCACUUAUUUAUAACUAUAUAUAUAUGUAAACAGCUGUAAACGGAAAAUUCAUUCAAGAUUUAAGGAAUGCUACUAGUCAUCCAUUACUAAUGCAACCUAAUUCAUUCAUCAACGAAUUGAAGCUACAGCAUUCAAUCAAAUUUAUCCAACUCAUUCACUGAUACUUCACAUGAGUCAAGAAUUAAUCAUUAAAUGUCACAAAAAUUUUCAAACACAAUUGUAUUAAUGAUAAUUAAACUUUGCAUGCUUCAUUAUUGAAAAAAAUAUUUUAAAAUGUGGGUGCAUUUCCAAACCCCAUAUGCAUUCCCCCAAACUUAAAGUGUGCAUUGUCCCCAAUGCACUAGCAUGAAAAUGUAAUGACAAUGUGUACUUAACAAAAUAAAACUUACAGCUACAUUCAAUGCAUGAAUACUACAGCUAAAACUUAAAAUAAACUAACUCAGUUGUCCUCCCCCAUCGAUGUGGUUGCACGAUGUUUCUCCUUUCUUCUUUCCUUUCCCUCUUUUUUCACUUUUUAUCUAUAAAGCGCUUUCUCCUCUUUUCUUUAGGCUUUGCACGGUCCUCAGAUUGGUCCUUAGUUUCCAGCUCUGCCCUAGCAUCAUCGGUUGCUACUUGUGUAGGAGGGGUCACCUAAAGUGGUCCUAUGUAGACCACUAUCGCCAAUGAGUUGUUGUGCUCCUUAGUAGUUACCUCAGCGCUUUUACCGGUCUCGCUCCAUCUUGCUCCAAAUUAUCAAUAUUGCACCCACAGAUCUGGGUGUGGUGACAAGCUUCUCAAUAAAAUAUUCUUUUUCUUUUUCUUUGUCAUUUUCAGCAACUUUUUCUUCUUCAGCAAAAACUUCCGCUUCGACAACAACUUCUUCUGCAACAUCAAUUUCUUUCUCAACAAAAUUUUCCUCUUGAUCAGCAAAAAUACCAUCCUCAAAUAAACUAUCAAUCUUGUGCAGGCAUUUCUCAAUGUCCCUGGAUUCUUCAUCUUUAUCAUUAUUAGAGACUUGUACGAUGGGAGGAGAUGCCACCGAUCAAUCUCGAUCUUCGAAGUUGUCCUUCACAGAUGAAUGCUCAUUGUUUUGAAUGAUUGGUUGAAACACUGGGAAGUCCGGUAUUGGGGAUGGGCUCAAUUGGCUUAAUAUGGCUACAAUGAAACUGUUCCAGGCUUUAGUAUAGGCAUAAAACAAAUUCUGAGAGUUAUCCAUGUCUUCAAUUGUAGCAACAAGUUUCAUUUGCCUAUUGCUGAUGGAAGUAACCAUUUUCUCAACAUCUUUCAUCUUACGACAUAAGGAUGUCUUUGUAUGCAAGGUUGUUCCUUCAUUGCCGGCUUUUGCUUUGCCCUUCUUUGUCUUUCUGGUUCCUACUUUUUUCAGUAUUAGUGUUUCUGUGCCAUGAGUCAUCCUCUCGAUAGAGGCUUCAUUAAUUUGACCCUUAUUAUUCAUGAUUUCUUCAUCUUCUUUAGGGCACAAUGCCUUUUUGCUGCCAUAGUGACAUUACCAAUGAUGGGAAAACCAAAAUUCCGAUUUUCCUGAUGGCGCGUUCAGUAAUUUCUCGGUAGAUAUUUACACCUAUAUUAAUUUUUCUACCCUUGAUAAUGGAAUGUAUCAGACACAUUCUGUCAAGGUUGACGAUAGUGCUGUGGGUAGACGACAGUAGUCUACAUUUAACAAAGUGAAACCAUAUUUUGAUAUGCAAUGUUAAGAAACGGUGGUGCAUUGUAAAAUUCUUUGGAUGCGGCCUUGUCCAUAGUGUUCCUUCAAUACACAAAUCCUGUACGAGCAGGUCCCUUUUCUCAUCCAUCACUUCUGCAAAGAAAUAGGAGUGUUCGUCGACAUCAACUAUAAGGUUAUACAACUCAUUGAUUGUGUUGGCAUCCUAUGAGAGUAGACCUUCACGAACAAAAAAAAAUUCUAAAUCUUGUUCAUAGAGGUUGGCAUAGAAUUCACCUACUAGGGAAGGGGAAUAGCUUCUAAGGUGUGCGCAGAGAUUUCCCCAUUUCAAUUUAGAAAUGGUUUGGUGAAUUUGUUUGCCCAACUCCUUUUGUUGCGAUAGGGAAAUGCCCUAUUCGGGGUGAAAAUUUCAACAUAAUAUGUUGUCUUCAAAUCGUUCCCUUGUUGUUUUAUUCAAAAGGAUUACUGAUUCCUUUUUCUACAUUUUCCUGGGGGAUUUUGUUGGCUUUCUUGGUCAAACCUCUUGUUUUUGCCAUCUUUUGUGGAGGGAAAAUGAUUUUAAGUGAAAAAGGUGGGAUCUUGAUUAAGGAAAAAAAUAAAAAUGGUUACUUGGAUGCUUUGCUGUCGGCACAGUGGUAUAGACUUUAUAGGGAGUGAAAAAGGAAGAUGUAGAGUUGUGAUGUUUUGUGGAGAGAUACAAAACUAGAGGGAAGAGUGGCGUCCAAUAAGAAUUGUAUAUGCUUAAACAGAUAAAACACCUGGGUGGUUUUUUAUCCAACGGUGAAGAUUGAAGUUCCCUUAAUUCUGAUUAAUGGUAACAUAGUGGCACAGAAUGCAUUGGCAACUGAAUCAUUUUGUGUCGACAUUGGUACCUUAUUAUUCUGCAAAAGGAAAGAAAACAAACUUUACAAAAUAGGAAUAAAAUAAUAUGAAAUCGCGAAAUUUAAAAUUUAAAAUGUCUGGACUAAAUUAAUGGUCUCUGCCUACUCUUGAUUUUUAUUUCCAAAAUAGUGUUUCAAUCUCAGCCCAUUAACUUUCAACUGGUGUCCAUCACGUAAAUUUCAAAUUGUGAUUGCAUCAUGGGGAAAUACGUUGACAACUUCGAACGGUCCAGACCAACGUGAACGCAAUUUACUUGGGUACAUUUUAAGUCGAGAAUUGAAUAAUAAAACCUGUUGACCUGCGGUAAAUUGUUGCUGCAAAAUAAUCUUUUCAUGCCAUCAUUUGGUAUUUUUCUUAUAAUCGUAGCAUUUUCAUAAGCAUUUCUUUGAAUCUCCUCUAGCUCGGUGAUGUCCAACAGCCUUUUCUAUUCAGCAGCUUCAUAGUCCAUGUUCACUUGCUAAAUUUCCCACCUCACUUUAUGUUCCAGUUCAACUAGCAAGUAACAUGCUUUUCCAAAAACAAAUUGGUACGGUGACAUUUCCAAUAGAGUCUUAUAUGCUGUCCGCAAUGCCCAUAGAGCAUCAUCCAAUCUGGAAGACCAAUCUUUUUUCAAAAGAUUCACAACCUUCUCAAGAAUAUUCUUAAUUUGUCGAUUUGAAACCUCAGCUUGUCCAUUGGUUUAUGGAUGAUAAGUAGUGGCCAUUUUGUGAUUGACUUCAUAUCUCUUUAAUACGGCUGCCACUUGGUUGCAAUGGAAAUGUGUACCUUGAUCAGUAAUCAAGGCCUUGGUGUGCCGAAAUGGGUGAGUAUAUGCUUAUGAAAAAUUUUGAGCACUAUCCUUGCAUCAUCCUUUGGGACAGCAAUAGCCUCCACCCACUUCAAGACAUAGUCAACAGCGACUAAUAUAUAAAUAUUUCUAAAUAAACUUGGAAAUGGUCCCAUAAAAUCCAUUCCCCAAACAUUGAACAAUUUAACUUCCAUAAUUUGAUUUUGUAACAUUUCAUUAUGUCGUGAAAUAGAACUGGUGUGCUAACAUUUAUCAUUGAUUCACAAAAUUAUGAGCAUCUUUGAAAAAUGAUGGCCAGUAGAAUCUUGAUUGUAGAACUUAGCAGCAGUUCUAAUACCACCGGAAUGGCCUCCAUACAGAGCAUCAUGAUAGUGCUUCAGGAUUGAAAGCAUCUCUUCUUUCGGAUCAUAACAUCGAAUGAUGUUGUCAUUGCAUACCUUCAAUAAAUACGGCUCGUUCUAAUGGUACUUCACUACGUCAUGAAGAAAUCUUUCUUUUUUAUGGCCCUUGAUAUUCAAUGGGAGCUUACCACACACCAAGUAAUUAACCAAAUCUGCAUACUAAGGAGUUACAUCGAUAGCGAAUAACAUCUUAUCUGGGAAUGUGUCGACAAUUGGAAGUAUUUUCCUAUCUUCGUUGCCAACUGCCAAUCUAGACAAAUCAUUGGCAACUUGAUUCUUUAACCUCUUGCGGUCUUUUAUCUCAAUGUCAAAUUCUUUCAACAAUAAAAUCCAUCGUAUCAGUCUUGGUUUGGCAUCUUUUUUCAUAAAGAGAUAUCACAACACAGAAUGAUCAAUGAAUACCGUAACUUUUGCACCGAUAAGAUAAGAACGAAACUUGUCAAAGGAAAGGACUACAGCCAGCAGUUCUUUCUCUGUGCUGGUAUAAUUGAGUUAAGCCUCUGUAAGAGUUUUGCUAGCAUAAUAGAUGGCGUGAAAUAUUUUUCCCUGGCAUUGUCCUAGCACUGCACCCACGGCGAAAGCAUUUGCAUCGUACAUGACUUCAAAAGGUUGAGACCAAUCAGGUGCGACGACAAUGGGUGCAUUGCAUUGACUAGCUACUUCUUUAACUGAAUAAAGGCAUCCAAACAUGCCUCGUCCAAGAGGAAUUUUUUAUUAUGUUCCGGCAAUGAGCACAAUAGUUUUACAAUUUUUGAAAAAUUCCUAAUAAACCGUCGGUAAAAUCCUGCAUGUCCAAGAAAGCUACUGGUAGCUGUCGUUACGACCACCGAAUUUUAUACACUACUCAGCCAAUAUUAACUGGUAAUACAGAGUAAGUAAGGAAUCGUCCCACGAAGAAGCUCGUGUUAAACCUAUUUAAGAAGAAUUGAAAAUAAGAUAAUGUAAACGCAUGCAAGAUAGUAAAAUGGGGGGAUUUAUGCUAAUAAUGAUCUAAAGUAACGAAUAAAUUGAUUUGUGAAUGCUAAAAAAUUAUCGAAUUAAAGAGAGAGGAUGCUCAGUUAUUGACACCUUAAUCCACCAAGCACAAGUCCUUCGCGAUCUUAAAUUAUUUAAGUAGUCCAAUCUAGCAACAAGGGUGAAAAUUCACUUACGAAGUGAAUUCCUAUCCCCAAAUAAAUUUAAAUUCAAUUAGAGAACAUUCGUAAUUGAAGCCCUACCUUUAAUUAUUCUUUGUUGGCUAAUUAAAAAAACAUUCAGUAUUUAGAGACUUCACAUUGUGUUAAUUAAAGAAAAUCCUCCAGCGGCUUCCAAAAUAAAAUCUGUAGUUGCGUCAAUUUGCAUCAUGCCAAUUAAUCAUCACCAGUUCUAAGUUAAGAAAUUCGAUUACUCAGUUGCACUUAGAUGAUUAUGAGAAAAAUCCUAAAUUGAAUAGGUGAUCAAUCUAAUUAAUUUAUAAAAAUUCCUUGAACAAUAAAACUUAGCAAUUUAAGAAUGCUAAAUUCGAAUUUAAAACAAAUUAAGUCUUCAAAUUCCUUGUGCUAGGCUUCAUAACUGUCUAACUAAGCUUAAGUAUUCAGCCACUCAUAGCAAGUAAAGCAAAACCAAAGUCAAUUGUAAACAACAUGAGUUACAGACUAGAUUCUUGGAAAAGAAAUUCCUCAAAUCGUCGAGCUUCCUUCCUUUCGCUUAGCUGAAAUCUUUUAAGCUGCUAUUCCAGCUGCUUAAUUGGCUUAUGCUGGUUCAAUUAGAGAAUUUUCCUGCUCAGUUGUGAUGCCCCUCUGCUAUCUCUCUUCUAUUUUUCGACUCCCUUUUAAAGCUGCUGCCCACCUAUUUUAUGGAAAAAUUAACAGCCUCCAGCAAAAUCAUAAAUAAUUCGAUCUUAUCCCCCCUUUAACCUAGCUAAACCCAUUGCAUAAAAAUAGCUCUAGCCUACUAGAGUUCUACUUUAGUUGAAAUCUUUAAGGCUGAUUCGAUUUCCUUGAAUUAAUUGAGGUCGGUCACCGCUAGCAAGAAAGGAAUUUGGAGAAAAAUUAAUUCCCCUGCUGAUUUUGUCGCAUGUUCGGCCUGCUAUAAUUCUAAUUGGACCGACUUUUCUUCCAAUGUUAAUUUAAUUCCUUCAACCAGCAUAUGAUCGUCAUUCAGCAGCUCAUUCAUGCGGAUUAAAUUCCCAAUUGAGCCCAUGUGAACAUCCAAAUGUCCCUCACCUGCACAUGACUUAAAAAUUUAACAUUAAAUUAUUGAAUUGGAGCAAAAAUACAUUAUUACGGCAUGGGAUGUUCUUGCUGUAAUUUAGACUAAUUUAAAAUUCAAUUGCUCAAAAUUUAAUCAAUAAUUUAAAUAAUUUAGUUGGAUAAAUCAAGCUCAAAAUUGAACUUAACAGCUACGAAUACCUUUCACAUUUUUCGGUGGGGGUACUUUCUCGAUGAUUUCCACCUUAGCUUUAUCUACUUAAUAACCCUGAUUAGAGAUGCGAUGGCCCAACACAAUGCCUUCAGUUGCCAUAAAAUAACAUUUUUCCCAAUUCUAGACAAGAUGAGUGUCCUCACAUCGCUUCAGUACUUUAUUCAAAUUGUCAACACAAUGAUCAAAAUCAUUCCCAUAAACUAAAAAGUCAUCCAUAAAAACCUCUAAAGGGUCUUCGAUCAUAUCUGAGAAUAUUGCCAUCAUACACCUUUAAAAUGUGGUUGUUGCAUUGCAAAGACCGAAAGGCAUACAACGAAAAGAAAAAGUACUAAAGGGACAGGUGAAAGUUGUUUUCUCAUGAUCCUCUAGUGCAAUAGCAAUUUGGUUGUACCUAGAAUAGCCGUUUAGGAAGCAAUAAUAAGUUUUUCCAACAAGUCGAUCUAACAUUUGGUCAAUGAAGGGAAGUGGAAAAUGACCCUUCCUUAUGCCUGCAUUUAAUUUACGAUAGUCCAUGCAGAUUUACCACCCCGUAGGGAUGCGUGUUGGUAGUAAUUCAUCCUUAUCAUUGCGAACCACUGUGAUGCCACUCUUUUUCGGGAAAAAUUGCACUGGACUCACCCACUUACUAUUAGAAAUCAGGUAUAUAAUUCCUACAUCAAGCCAAUUUAUGAUUUCUUUCUUGACCAUUUCCUUCAUAUUCUCGUUUAACCUUCUUUGUGGAUCAAUUAAUUGCUAGCCUUCAUCUUCUAACUUGAUUUUGUGCAUGCAAAAAGAAGGACUAAUACCUUGAAUAUCCGCAAUACUCCAGGAAAUAGCUCGUUUGUGCUGCUUCAGAAUGUAAGUCAAUUUAUUUUCUUGUGUUUCAUCUAGUGUUGUGGAGACAAUAACUGGAAGAGUAUUGUGAUCACCCAAUAAGAUGUAUUUAAGAUGAGGAGAUAGUGGUUUCAAUUCUAGAGUGGGAGCUUCUUCAAUUGAUGGUUUGAAAAUAGGAGUGGUUCUAUUGGUUAGGUCUAAGGAUUCAAUUUUCCAUUUAUGUUUGACUUUAACAGUACUAGCUUUAACCGUGCUAUCACAAUUGUCUACAGAUUCAGCCUCAAAUGUCACUGUAAUUUCUUCAUCAAUGACUUUGCUUUGGUUGUUGAAUUCUUCCUCAAUUAAAUCAUCGAGCACAUCGACAGUAUGGCACUCUGCUUUAUCCUUAUGAUGAACAUACUCAAAAAUACUGAAGGUAACUUGCUCAUCAUUCAGUCGCAUCGUGAGUUCUCCCUUAUAAAAAUCAAUGAGAGUUUGACCAAUGGCUGAAAAUGGUCAUCCAAGAUUAUGGGAACCUCUUUGUCUGCCUCGUAGUCAAGUAUGAUAAAAUCUAUCGAAAAAAUGAAUUUUUGCACAUGAACUAAAAUAUCUUUGAUUUGCCCUUCAGAUUGAGCUAAAGAUUGAUCUACCAAUUGCAAUAUCACUAUAGUGGGUUUCAUAUGACUAAUUCUCAACUUUCUAAAAGUAGAUAGUGGCAUGAGGUUGAUGCUAACUCCCAAAUCGCAUAAAGCUUUUCUCAAAUAUUGAUUUCCAAUCGAACAUAAAGCUUCCAGGAUCUUUCAAUUUAGAGGGCAACUUGUUUGUCAAGAUAGCACUAAAGCUUUCUAUGAGUGCAAUAGUUUUAACAUCAGUGAGUUUAUUCUUCUUGGACAAUAGGUCUUUCAUAAAUUUCUCAUAACUCAGAAUUUGUACCAUAGCGUUCACUAAAGGUAUGUUGAUCUGCAGUUGUUUCAGUGUAUCUAGAAACUGCUGAUACUAUUUACCUUUUUCAUUCCUCUUGAAUCUUUGUGGAAAAGGUACAGGUGGAAGUACAUCCAGUUGCGGUGAUACUUUUAGUUGCGUCCACAAUUUCGAGGGUCGAAUAUAAGGCAUGUGAGCGACAGUUGGCGGUACUUUUUUGUCUGGUACAUCAAUAGGCUCUUCAGAAUCAACCUUCCUAUCAAGGCUUAUGUCACCAAUAUUUGGGGAUGGUACAGUAGAACCAAUAAUUGGCUCAGCAGUUUGUUUACCACUCCUAAGAGUGAUAGCUUUACAGUGCUCUUUCCCCCUCGGGCUAGGGUUUUCGAUGUCACUAGGUAAGGAGCCUUGUGGUUGAGUAUUCAAAUUUGAAGCAAGCUAUCUAAAUUGUGCCUCUAAUGCUCGAAUAGAAGAUGAAUUUCCUUGAACAACAACUUCUGUGUGAGUAAUAUACUCUCGUAUUAACGCCUUAAGAGCAAUUAAUGGGUCAGAAGUAGAAGCUCGUGUAUACUGUUGUUAUCGUUGUCCUUGAUCAUUCGGAUUCAACAUUUGUGGUUGCAUUUGCGUUUGAUGUGACUAUAUCUGACCUUGUUGUGGAUACAACUGAUGAUGCUGAUUAUAGUUCUAUUGUUGAUUGUAAUUCCCUUGUCACAUAUUAUAAUUGCCCUGAGUAUAUGCAUUCCCAUAUCUGAAUGUCCUAGCAUUUUGUCUAACACUCUGAGUUCCCCAAAACUGUUAGUUGCGUGCAAAGUUGUUGUAAAAGUUUCCAUAAGAAUUGUUGCAAAUAUUAUGACAUAACAGGUAUUUCCUACAUGUUGCGGACAUUCUUCAUAACUAUGGUUGUCACCACAAAUUUCACAGCAAAAGGUAGGAGUAUCCAAUUGUUGAGCAACCUGUAUAAGUGCAAUGUCACUCGUCCCUUGCAUAUUUUUAAUUAUGUUUGUGAGUGAAGAGACUUGGGCACUUAGCGCGGAUAUUGCAUCCAAUUCAAUAACUCCCGAAGUAGUCUUUGCUUGUGCAGCUCUAGAGAUGGGAUAUUGAUAAUCAUUUUGAGCAAUUCUCUCAAGAAUUCUCACAACAUUAUUGGAAGUGCAAUCCAACAGUGGUCCAUUGGCUAAUGCAUCGAUAAGAUUCCUUGUAUGUGAAUUCAGACCAUUAUAAAAAUCUCAAUUUGUGUUUCUAGUUAGAUGUCGUGCAUGAUACAACGUCGAAAAAAAGAUUUAUAACGUUCCCAUAUGGUGUGAAGAUUUUCAUCAUCUAGCUGAUGGUAAGUAGUAAUAUCAUUUCGAAGAUGAGCAUUCAUUGUUGGUGGGUUAAAUCGCAAAACAAAUUACGUGGCGAGAGCAUUCCAAGAAGCAAUUAAUCUAGUAGGUAGCCUAAGAAACCAAGUGUGAGAUCUCUCUUUUAAAAAAUAGGGAAAUAAUUGCAUCCUUAAGGCAUCAUCAGGAACGCCUUGUUGACUAAAGGAAGCAUAUAUCAAUAAAAAUGAUUUAAAAUGUUCUCUUGCAUCUUCAUGUGGCAGUCCAACAUAUUGGCCAUUGGAGUUCAGCAUUUGAAACACCACUAGCUUGAGUUCAAAGUUCCCAGCUUGAAUUGCUGGUCUAACAACUCCUGGUUGUAAAUAAUCCAGAAUAGGGACUACACAAUCUCGUAUGGUUCUAUUGUGGAUGUGAGCAUUUUGUGGUAACAAUGGGUUAUGAACGUUUUACUGUUGUAUCAGGGGUAUGGCUGUAUUGUCCCCUGGUAAAUCCAUAUUUCUUUGUUCUUGAAGUCUUCUUCGAACAGUUCUUUCAAUUUCUAGAUAAAAGUCAACAAGAAAAUCUGAAUUUCUUCUGGUCAUAAAACAUCUAAAAUGAAAUUUAAAAAUAAAAAGAAAGAGAAAACAAGUUAGUGAAUACAAAAUAUUAUAUAAGGAAAACAAAGUACAAAGACACACAAGAACAAAAAUAAACAUCAAACAAAUACCAUCCCCGGUAACGGUGCCAAAAACUUAAUUGGGUGAUAACAUCACAACAAUAAUGUGCAAGCGUACACUAUCGAUGCAAGUAUAGUAGACAGAUGUGAGUUUGUCGGAUAUCGAUCCCACAUGGAUGGCUGUCUUUUGUCUAUUAAUGUCGGUGCAUUAGCUAGAUAGAAACGAGAUAAAUCGUGAGGAUAGUUGUCGGAGGAAUAUCUUGAAAACAUUGAAAUAAAAUAUGAUUAUGUUAAACUGAGAUCCCCAACAUGAAUCUCCAGCAGAAAACUAAGUGUUCAAAAGGUAUAAAGGAUAGUUGAUUGCCAGUGCAAUAAAUUUCAAUGUAUAUCUUACCAAGCUUCACUCCUCUAAUUAAUCUGAGACAUAAAUAUACACACUAACCCCACCUUCCUAUGGUGGCAAUAUGACACUAUUAAGAACAAGUGGACUAAAUUCCUUUAAUCCUCACUCAACUUCCAUUGUAAUGCUUGUUAGCUCAAACUAUCACUGCACCUUCCAGUGUCAGUGACUGCAAUAACACUUUCGUGCUAAAAACAUUCAAACCCACAGAUUAAACAGUAGAAACAAGAUUGAAUAAAAUAACAUUUAACCCAGAAAUCAUGUGUACUUCCAUACAAACAUGAAAUAGAGAGUAAUCACCAGCGUUUAGAAAGAAAUUUAAAAGAAACAAGCGGAAAAUACUAUUCCUAGAAGAACUCGACUUGAAUCUCUCUAUUCCCUCUUAUGCCACACUUAGGACUCCUCAUUAGGAGCUGGUCUGCAUCAUUUUCAUGUUGGCUCACUCGGGGGAGACUUAAACCGCCAUAGCCACAAGCUUCCCCCCAAGAUAUGUUAAGAAAGAUGAUGGUCAAGAAAAAACUCUCCUCUCUUUUUCUUUUCAUGUCAAUAUUUAUGCCCUUCCAAACAUUACAAGUGUCAUUUCCUAAGAAUCAUGUUGUCCUUGUAUGUACAAGUUGGUUAUACCAAACUUGACAGCUCAUGAAUUUUUAUUCUUAUCCGGACAGCUGUCAGAUACGGCGACAAUUCUGGACGCAAUCUAGAAUUACUCAUGCAGAGACAUUAGUUCCAAAAUAUGACAAAUAGGCUAGGAUCCACUGAGUUAUAAAAUGCAAUUUACUAAACUGAAAAUGCUAAAAUAUGUGCUAAGGAUAACUAAAUGGGAAUAAAUUAACCAAUAAGUAGGGAGAAAACACAUUUUCUUUCCAGUACUAUCACAAUACUUUAUAGAAACACUUUUGACAUGAAAAAUAUUUUUGGAGCAAAAGGAAUGCUAAACAAGCAAGUUUUUGUUGAAAUUUUUGGCUUUUUAAAAACACUUUUGGCCAAAUGGAGAAGCUAAAAUUUUCAGAUUUUCUUCUCCCAAAAGUAGUUUUCAAAGCUUGAUUACUUUUUCACCCCUCCAACACACGAUACUUUCCCUUCUCUUUCAUUUUCAUUUCUUCCUCCAUUUGCUCCAAGGUUUUUGCUGCUCUCUCUCUCUCUUUCUUCUACUUCCCUAAUCUCAUCUUCCCAUUUCAACUCUCCAUUUAACUUUUUCGUGUUUCCCCAUUUAAGGUUAAACUCUUUUUGAUUACUGCUGAGUUUGGUUGCUCCCCAUUUCAGGUUAACUUUCUGGUUUCACCUUUGAUUUUCUCAGGUUUUCUAUUUGGUUGUUGAGUUUGAUUCUUUUACUGAGUUUGAUUUUCUUGAGACUUAUAAUGAAGCUAUUAAAAGAGUCCUAAUAAUGGCAAGCACACAGAACAAUUAAUCCCUAAUCAAAGAGAAACAGUGAAAAAUAGGAAUUCCCUUUUACAACAUCAUUUAUGCAUGCAGAAAGAAUUUAUUAAAAAAUAAAAGAUAAAAGAACUUGACAGGGUUCUUAACAACGAAGCCUUCAUCAAUUACUAUAAUACUUUUUUAAAGAUUGAAAAAAGGUAGCUACUAUCCUUGGGAUCAAUUCUUUUCUAGCUUCUGAUUGGUUUUUGGCUUCGAAAUUUGUUUGGCUUCAAGGUUCAAAAAC
Molecule: long non-coding RNA, 90050 nt
Filed under: Gossypium barbadense (sea-island cotton)
Lineage: Eukaryota; Viridiplantae; Streptophyta; Magnoliopsida; Malvales; Malvaceae
Description: long non-coding RNA (GBAR_LNC018359)
Source: RNAcentral